CAUAUACACUCACAAUUUUGUCUAUGCAUUAAUGAACAUGAUGAAGUUAUAUCAAUUUGAAUUUCUCUUAUCCCUCUUCCUUAUCAUUGUCAAUACAACCUUUUCGGGUUAUGUCCCUCAAUUGUCUCCUUCUCUUGGCAAACAAAUAGGGAAGACAUUAGACAAGAUCAAACAAUCUCCUCCAUCAGAUGAACAACCAACAAAAGAGAUUGAAGGCCUAUCUCAAAUCAAACAACAUUUGGACACUUUCGGCUACUUCCAACGAUCUCCGCUGGACUUUGAUGACGUUCUAGACAAGGAAACAAUAUCCGCUAUUAAGGCUUACCAACAAUUUUUCAAUCUCCAGGUUACUGGUCACCUAGACUCCGAGACUUUACAACUACUCUUGUUACCAAGAUGUGGUGUUCCUGAUAUGAAUUUUGAGUACAGCUUCACUGACGCAAUUAAUAUAUCAUUACCGAAAGGAAACAAGUGGUUUCCCAAGGGCACGAAAAAGCUUACGUAUGGUUUUCAUCCGGAGAGCCAAAUCUCAACUGACAUGAUCAAAGUGUUUAGAAAUGCCUUCACACGAUGGUCGCAGACCACUAGGGUCCUAAAUUUUAGCGAGACAACAUCAUACGAUGAUGCUGACAUUAAGAUUGGAUUCUACAAUAUUACCUACAAUGAUGCAGUUGAUGAUGUUGUUGUGGGUGACUCUUUCAUCAGCUUGAAACUUGAUUCGAAGGCGAAGUCAGGUUUGAUACGUCUAGACGCUUCAAAGUACUGGGUGUUGCCAACUACCUACUUUUGGUACUGGGAAUUUCACCAAUUCGACUUGGAGACUGUUGCCAUGCAUCAAAUAGGUCAUCUACUAGGACUUGAUCACUCGUCUGAUGAGGAGUCUAUUAUGUACCCAACAAUAGUGCCAUUGCAACAAAGGAAGGUGCAGAUAACAGUUUCAGAUAACUUAGCUAUUCAACAACUCUACACCAACUCUGUCAAAGCCAAUCCAGACUCUGAUCAUAGUGGGUGCUUCAAACUUUUUGAGUCUACUUUUGAUACCUCUUUGUCCCUUGGUUUUGCUUUCGUGGCUCUGAUGAACUUGGCUUUCUAAUUAAUACAUCAUUUGAUUAGGGACUCACUUUUACGUAAGUUAAAUAAUUAAUUUGUGUACUUUACUUCAUGUGUCAUUUUCGGUUAAUGUUAAAUAGUUUGUUAUGGGGUAUCAUGAUACGUGAUUAUUGUAAUUGAUUAGAUAUCCAUUGGAGUGCAAAAUUCACUACAAUAUUGUUGGGAUAUUUAGCAACAUUUGAAAAAUGAUACAAAGCCAUACAAAAAUGUAAUGAAUUUGAUUUAGUAACAUCUUAGCCUCCGAGAUAAAACCAACGUUGCUAAAAGGUUCUAUUGGAAUGAUAAAACCUUGGAGUGUGCUCAUUUCAAAGUUUUAGGUUAUAACAUAAGCCAGAUGAAGGAACAUAAAGACCUAUAUUAUAUACCCACUCAUGAAUUUUCUCGAACUAACCGAACUCCUUCAUAUACGUCAGGAGUCCAUUGAUGAGAGGGCGUUGGAGAAAGCUUGAACCCAAUUCCUACGGUGAUGAAUAUAAGAUCAAUUGAAAUAUCUCUUUGAUAAAGGAUUUCUCCAUAAUGGCCAUGAAUGGUUGCUCCUUGAGUCGCCAAUAUAGAUUAGCUGACUCUCUCAAGUGUCAAUUUCAGUAGGCUAAUUUAUCUUCUUUAAAAAUGAAUUAAAAAUGGUACAUGCAUUAAUGAAUUAAAAAUGGUACAAUGCAUUAAAAAUAAAUCUGCCAAAUAAAAGUUUUAAAAAUGUAUAAAACAUGUGGUGCAAACAUAAAAUUAUUUUACGCCGCUAUGGUGAUUUGCAAUAGUUAUAAGGACACUCCGCAUCGGUGGCUAAUAACAAUUCUAAAAUAACUUGAAUAACAAUGUCACAUAGUUGAUCUAUCUAAGAUCGAUGAAGAUGAAGAUGAAGAUGAUGAUGAGUUGAGUAGGUGCGGUGUAGCGGAGUAGCUGGAUAUCUAGAAAAAUACUUCGACGCUCGGUAAGAGCUAAAGGUGUUUCGAGGUUUUUUUGGAUUGAGAAUGUGUACUAUUUUUUUUAGAAUGGGUGACUCCUUUUAGAGGCGGUGAUUCGGGUUGUGAUAGUGAUCAAAGGGGCCAUAUUGUCUCUGCCUGCCAUUCUCUAUUUUGUGGUUUUAUGUUGACGUUAGUGUACUGCGUUUGAAUCAGGUAGCUUAUUGAGCAGUCAUGUCUUAGAAUUGGACCUUGACUGGUGAAAAACAAUACCUUAAAAAGAAAAACAACGUGCUAGUUAUUGGUUGAUUCAAUUACUACUUAUUAUAACUUCAGUUUUUCAAGGAUCACUUGUUCUUUUACAUAUUUGAAAUCAUACACUAAUGUAUAUUAAUGUUAAAAAAUGUUUGAAUUGUUAACCUCUAAUUGUUGCAUAUGAAACAACAAUUACAAACUGUCACCAUCAAAAUAUAAAAUUGAAUUAUAAACACUUUUGAUGUCUAAACUACCAAUUUAAAAGUUUUUCUCUAUAUUUUAUUUCAUUUACUUUUAUUUUAUAAACCCUCUAAUUCUUGCCCUAUUUUCAGUUCAUAUUUUAUCUAUGCAUUGAUCAUUAAUGAACAUGAUGAAGUUAUAUCAAUUUCAAUUGUUCUUAUCCCUCCUCCUCAUCAUUGUCAAUACAACCGUUUUAGGUUAUUAUAUAGCUCAAUUGUCUCAUUCUCAAAUCAAAAAACAUUUGAACACUUUCGGCUACUUCCGACGAUCUCCGCUGGACUUUGAUGACGUUCUAGACAAGGAAACAAUAUCCGCUAUUAAGACCUACCAACAAUUUUUCAAUCUCCAAGUUACUGGUCACCUAAACACCGAGACUUUACAACAAUUCUCGUUUCCAAGAUGUGGUAUUCCUGAUAUGAAAUACGAGUACGGCUUUCAUGAUGGAAGUAAUGUAUCAUUUCCGAAAGGAAACAAGUGGUUUCCCAAGGGCACGAAAAAGCUUACGUAUGGUUUUCUUCCGGACAACCGAAUCCCAAUCGACAUUAUCAAGGUGUUUAGAAAUGCCUUCACACGAUGGUCGCAGACUACUAGGGUCCUAAAUUUUAGCGAGACGACAUCAUAUGAGGAUGCUGAGAUUAAGAUUGGAUUCUACAAUAUUAAUUACAAUGAUGCGGUUGAUGAUGUUGUGGUGAGUGACUCUUUCAUCAGCUUGAAACUAGAUUCAAAUGUGAAAUCAGGUAUGUUACGUCUAAACGGUUCAAAGUCUUGGGUGUUGCCAACUUACACCAAAUUUUGGGACUGGCAAUUUCAGCAAUUCGAUUUGUUGACUGCGGUGAUGCAUCAAAUAGGUCAUCUACUAGGACUUGAUCACUCUUCUGAUAAGGAGUCUAUUAUGUACCCAACAAUAUUGCCAUGGCAACAAAGGAAGGUGCAGAUAACAGAAUCAGAUAACUUAGCCAUACAACAACUCUAUUCCAGCUCUACAAAAGCCAAUGCAAACUCUCAUUAUAGUGGCCUCUUUGCCUCUUUGUCCAUUGGAUUUGCUUUUGUGGCUCUGUUGAACUAGCAUUUAAAUUAUAUCCCUUCAUUAGAGACUCUUUUUUACAUAAGUUAAAUGAUUAAUUUGUGUAAUACUUUACUUCGUGUGCCAUUUUCCGGUAAUGCUUAAUAAUAUAUGUUUAGGAUUUAGCAACAUUUGAAAUAAGGUGCUAAAACAUGCUAAAAGUUAUAAACUUUAUAUAUUAACAUUUUAACUUCCUAUAUACACAUUUUGAUCACAUAUAUGGAAAAUUCUAUGGUGAAGUUAUGAGAAUGACUUUUUUGGUGAAGUUAACACUAUAACAUCAAAAGUUUUGUGAGUAACACCCCACUGUUUAUACAAUGACAUCAAAGUUCAGUCCCAUAAUAUCAUCAAUUCAUCAAAUUAACAAGAAUACACUUAAUUUAAUUUUAUUCUACCUUAUUUUAAGUAUAACACGCCCCAAAGUGUAUCAAUUAAGACUAUCAUAUGAUAUCAACAACUUUGUUUACAUGUUAAAGAUGUCAACUAUAAAAUAGUACUUGUAAGUCCAAAAUAUUGUAAGCAUUACUAGAUGAAUUACUAUUAAUCAUUAAUCAAUAAUCAACAAUUUAAAAAUGAAUCAAACAUUAAAGUUAAAAUUAACUUUUUCAAAAAAAUUAGUUUCAUGACUUCACCUUAAAAGCUCCCAUAGUAUAUAUCCAAUUGCAAAAUGAAGUAUUAUCAAUCAAUUCAAACCACAAAAAAGUUGGUACACAUUGGCACACCAAUGUGUUCGAAGAAAUGCUGAAUAAAUUUAUAUACCUUCUUGAUGACCAAAGAAUCCAUUUGACAUACUAUUCCAUUGAAACUGUUUCUUACGUACCCAAUCCUUAGUUUCAUGUUUCUUACGUACCCAAUUUUUAUUCCUUUUAUUAUUCUUUGUAGUAAAGGUAGUUUGUGAUUAGAGAAGCAUGAACAUGAUUAAAUCACAUUGAUUCAACCGUAUGAUAUCAUAUUUGGAUAAAUCAUGUUUCGCUAUUACUCAUCAGUUUACGAUGAGCAAAGAAGUAACUAAAUAACAAGAGUUUUUUUUUCUUUUGUUAUGGUCGGAAUUCGAACCCGGACCUUGUAUAUAUUAUACAUUGUUCAUACUAACUGAGUUAAGCUCACGAAGACAAAUAACAAAAGUUAGUUACAUAUGUUAAUAUAUGGGUUUCCCUCAAAAAAUAAAAAAAUGUCAAUAUAUGGGAUUAAAUUAUUAGUAUCAUGUAAUCGUCCUUGCGCCGAAUAGGGAGUUUAAGAAAAAAAUUGUGUAAUCGUAAGAGAGAAAUAAUUUUGGAAUAUAUUUGGGAACUUCUACGGUACACCUCACAAAUAAUUUGUUAAUACUUUAAUUUUAAGAAACAUCAUUUCAUAAAAAAAACAAAACAUCAAUUCAUUGUUUAUAAGAAUCAUAUUAAAUUUUUAACAUUUUUUCAUAAAAAAUAAUCAAUAAUCUUUGUCAUGAGUAGUAGAAAAUAAAAAAUAAAAAAUAUUUUGUUGACGCUUUUGGAAAAUAAGAUUUAAUUAUUAUAAUUGUCAAUGAUAAAAAAUAAUUCUUUUUCUUAAAAAAAAAAAAAAAACAACCCAUUUAAUUAUUAAUUUAAAGAUUUGGUGUACCGGAACACUCAAAUUGUUGAAUUUACCAUAAAAUUUGCCUAUGUAUUAUUUCGUUCAUGCAUGUGAAUGCUUUUGUUGCGGGCAAAUUUUAUGGUACACCCAAUAAAUUUGGGUGUAUCGAUACACCAAGUCGUAAAAUUAAUAAUAAAUGAGUUGUUUUUUUGAAGAAAAAUAAUUAUUUUCUAUCAUUGACAACUAAGAUAAUUAAAUUUUAUAUACCAAAAGAUUCGACGAAAUAAAAUUUAAUUUUUAAGAAUUUUUAUUACUCAUAACAAUGAAUAUUGAUUAUUUUUUAUGACAAAAUGUAAACUUUGUAAUAUGAUCCUUAUAAACAAUGAAAUGAUGUUUUCUAAAAUAUAAAUAUUGACAAAUACCUUUUUAUUUCAUUAAAGUGAUCUUUAAUUUAUAUAUUUUGUGAAACAAGAGUACCGGUACACUCAAAAAUGUGAAUGUACCAUAAAAGUUCCCUUUGUUGCGGCCGACACAAGUAUUACUGCAUCUCGACAGUGGACGCCAAAUGUUCUUGCUGGUACACGUGGAGACGAGCCAUGAGAUAUUUGUGCCAUUUGGAUAAAAGUUAAUUAUUUAAUAUAUAUAUAUAUAUACACUCUUUUUUAAAAUUUUAGUCCCUAUUAAAAUUUAUUGAAAAAUUUAGUUCUCCAUAAUAUUGUAGCUUAAAAUAACGGUUCCUAUUUUAAAAAUAUUUUACUGAAAAUGAAUACUCUUAGUCCUUAAAAUAAUCGAUAUAAAAGGAAAAUAAGGUUUAAAAGUGAAUAGAUUUUUUUGAAUAACUAAAUUUGAAAGCUCCUGUUUUUGUACUAGGAUAUUUAUAACCAUUAAUAAAAUAAAUUUGUAAGCCAAAUCUUGAGAAAACAAUUGUUAAAACUUAAAUGUAAUGUUGUAAACUCUUUUUGAAAUCUUCUUUUACGUAUCUUAUUCUUAUGCUUGAAUGCAGCGACGGAUUCAGAAUUUUUUAAUAGUGGGGCACCAUAUAAAAAAAUUUGUAGCAUUAAUAAUUGUCCUCUAUAAUUUUUCAUAUUAUGGAAACUUUGAAUGGUUUUCUUAUUUUGAAAAUCAAUAAAAAUAUAUUUCUUUAUAUAAAUAACUAAACAAUCAUUUAACCGAUCAUCUCUCAUUCAAUUUUGCAUCAGAUUCUUGAUAAUAUUCAUACUAUCAAGAAAUAAUUUGAGAUAUAUGAUUAUAUAUGUGGGCCAAAAUACAAAUAAUUUGUGAUAAAUGUGGAUCGUAUGAUCAAAAUGUCAACUAUUGAUACAUUAUACUACUAAAAAUAAUAGUUUCUUAAAAAUUUAGUGUAGGCACAAGCCCACAUAUGGAUGAACAUACAUCCGUCCCUGCUUGAAGGACUUGUGAGCUUUGAUUUUUUUAUUUUAUUUUGGCUUUUUAAACAAAAAAAAAAAAACAGAGAAAACAAUUGUAAAAAAAAAUUAAAAAAAAAAAUCCUGCAAAAGAGUCAACAAAACACUUAUUGAGUAUUUGGCUUUCAUGUCUUUGCAAAAUCUUGCCUUAGCAAGCCUUAACUCAUAACAACCAUGUCGUUCUUUCCCUCUCGUACUCACAUGAAGAAAAAUAAAUUGACUAUUAUUUUUCUCACCCUAUGUACUUUUCACGUGCCUUAUUUUUUCCCAAAAUAUCAUUGGUUCGGAUUUUAUAAUUUGAACAUGAUUUCAAGAAAUAUUCAUAUUACAUAAUCCGAAAAUGUCUUUUACCAAAAUUUUAAUUUGAGUUUGGUUUAUUUUAUAUUAUUUAGAUGCAAAAAUCAUAAAAUAAAUGAAAAAAAUAAAAGAACAAAAGAUAUACAUAAAAAUUUCAUUUUAUUAUUAUAUCAAUACAUUUACAAUAAAGCUGAAUCUUAAAGCUUAUUACAUAUAACAUUCAAACACCUAAAACUAAUUUAUUAGCGGGGUAUAACUAAAUCUGCAGCACAAGAAGAUGUUGGGGGAGCUAAACUAGUGGCGCAAGCUGAUGGGGAGGAAAGGUGAACGGGUGGGCGAAGGGGAAAGAGAUGUUGGGGGGGGGGGCAUAGGUAUGGUUUGUUUCCUUUUAAGGGCGAAAGAGACCUUGAUGGUAAACUUUGCACCCAAACAAACCGUGCUUCUUUGCAGUGCAUUGCCUUCCCCGUUAACCGUUCAUACAAUCCUUGAGUCCAAAGUAGCAUCUUUUUAUGAAAUGCCAACGAUGGGAACACAUUGUUGUAUAAGGAAGAUGAGGAAGAGGAUGAGAGUGUGAGAUGAUGGUGUGAGAAAUGGUGAAGGUUUAUACGUUAUUUAUAGGGGGGAAUGGUUGCAUAUAGUGUAUCUACACUUAAUGUUGAGUCAAAAAAACGUGGUUCAAAGGGGUUUUACCACCCAUUAAUGCUGGUAAAAACCUUUGAAAAUGUGUUUUAUGUGGUUCAGACCACCGGCCAAGAAACUCACUUGGUUCAAAUUAUAUAAUCUGAAAUCAUACCCAUGGUUUUCGGAUUAUAUAAUCUUAAUUAAUUCAAUGCUAGGUGGAAAUGAAGGAAACUUCAUACCUUAUGCAGGGUGAGAGACUUUUCGGAUUAUAUAAUAAGAAAAUGUUUAGGACAUGAUUUUUUUCUGUGGUCCGCAUUGCACCGACAGUUUAUGUGCUAUAGGACACCCAAGUACCUCUAUAAAUAGGUGUCCUUGUUUUCAUAACCAAAAAACCACACACAAAAAACAUGGAAAACUCUCAUUGAUCCGAACACCAAGCUAGCUACAGUUUACUACAACGGGGAGAAACCAAUCCAUUUGUUCAGGAUUCACACUUAUGUCGCCCUCUCCGUGUUGAAGGGUCAGCUGGAUCGAAUCAACCGCCAACUCAACUAAAGAGACACACAGAGGGUGGAUGGUGUUGAGUAUCGACAUCCAUCGAUCGACUCAGCCGGGAGUGUGCGGUUCACCCGGAUGAUGCCUAUGAACGACGAUGUGAGAACCAUAUUCUUGAUCUUUGGUCAGUACAGUACUAGAGGGCCGAUCGAGUUAGACGCUUCGUUGGUCAUAUAUGUUGAACAAAUUCAUAAAAGUUUGAUCCGACCGAAGAACUACGAAGAGAUUAGGGCACUCCUGGACGCACCAUAUGAAGACAUUAAUUUAGCUCAUAUGUGGUAUGAUUCUCAUCAAAGGGUCCAUAUUUUCUUUGGUUCCCAUUCUCUAUUUUGUGGUUUUAUGUUGACGUUAGUGUACUGCGUUUGAAUCAGGUACCUUAUUGAGAACUCAUGUCUUACAAUUGGACCUUGACCCAGUGAAAAAACAAUACCUGAAAAAAGAAAAACAAUGUGCUAGUUAUUGGCUUAUGCAGUUACUACUUAGUAAUUGUUUUUCAAGGAUCACUUGUUCUUUAACAUAUUUGAAAUCAUAUACUAUGUAGAACGAUGUUAAAAAAUGAUAGAAUUGUUAACCUCUAAUUGUUGCAUAUGAAACAACAGUUACAAACCGUCACCAUCAAAAUAUAAAAUUGAAUUAUAAACACUUUUGAUGUCUAAACUACCAAUUUAAAAGUUUUUCCUCUAUAUUUUAUUUCAAUUACUUUUAUUUUAUAAACCCUCUAAUUAUUGUCCUUUUAUUUUUUCUAUGCAUUAAUCAUUAAUGAACAUGAUGAAGUUAUAUCAAUUUGAAUUGUUCUUAUCCCUCCUCUUUAUCAUUGUCAAUACAACACUUUCGGGUUAUAUCCCUCAAUUGCCUCAUUCUCUUGGCAAACAAAUAGACAAGAUUAAACAAUCUUCUCCAUCAGAUGAACAACCAACAGAAGAGAUUCAAGGCCUAUCUCAAAUUAAAAAACAUUUCGACACUUUCGGCUACUUCCCACAAUUUCUAUUGAACUUUGAUGACGUUCUAGACGAGGAAACAAUAUCCGCUAUUAAGACGUACCAACAAUUUUUCAAUCUCCAAGUUACUGGUCACCUAAACACCGAGACUUUACAAAAAAAUCUCGUUACCGCGAUGUGGUAUUCCUGAUAUGGGAUACGAGUAUGGCAUCGAUGUUGGAAGUAAUGUAUCAUUUCCGAAAGGAAACAAGUUGUUCCCUAAGGGCACAAAAAAGCUUACAUAUGGUUUUCUUCCAGGGAAAAAAAAUCUCAUUAGACAUGAUCGAAGGGUUUAGAAAUGCCUUCACAUGUUGGUCGCAGACUACUAGGGUCCUAAAUUUUAGCGAGACAACAUCAUACGAUGAUGCUGACAUUAAGAUUGGAUUCUACCAUAUUUACAACAAUGAUGUUGUUGAUGAUGUUGUGGUGGGUGACUCUUUCAUCAGCAGGAACCUUGAUUCGAAUGAGAAAUCAGGUAUGGUACGUCUGGAAUGUUCUAAGUUCUGGGUGUUGCCAACUACCACCUACUUUAAGAAGUGGGAAUUGCAAGAAUUCGAUUUGGAGACUGUUGUCAUGCAUCAAAUAUCUACUAGGACUUGAUCACUCUUCUGAUAAGGAGUCUAUUAUGUACCCAUUAAUAGAUCCAUUGCAUGAAAAGAAGGUGCAAAUAACAGAUUCAGAUAACCAAGCUAUACAACAACUCUACACGGUUUUCCUUCCAAAAAAAAAAAAAAAAAAAAAAAACAACAACUCUACACCAACACUACCAAAGCCAAUCCAAACUCUGAUCAUAGUGGGUGCUUUAAGCUUUUUGAGUCAAGUUUUGUUCUUCUUACCUCUUUGUCCUUUGGUUUUGCUUUUGUAGCUCUCAUGAACUUGGCUUCCUAAUAAUUGUGUACCUUACUUCAUGUGCUAUUUUCCGUUCAUGUUGAAUAGUUUGUUAUAGGGGGUAUCAUGAUAUAUGGUUGUUGUAAUUGAUUACAUAUCUAUUGGAGUGCAAAAAUCACUUCAAGUAGACUUUCGACUUAUCGACUAUAAUAAAGAUCAAUAAAUUAUAUUAUCUAUUUUCAUUGAUGAUAAAUAAGUUGUAGGGUUUAUUACCAUAAAAUAUGGUAUGAUAAACAUUCAUAUAUUUUGAGGCCAGUGGCGGAGCCAGGAUUUUUAAAGAAUCUGAGCAAAAUUUUGAAUGCAAAUUCACAUGUGACAUAAUAUAUAAAUAGUGUUAUACAUCGAAAUCAAAUAGGCUCGUCAUUUUGACAAUAAAAGUACAAUUUGAAAUAAGAGAGAUGAAACAUAACCUGCUAAUAUUCAUAUUUUGUUACCAUAAAGUAAAUGAGCAAUAUUCAAAUUUUAUUACCAUAAAGUAAAUGAGCAAUGAAGUAUAUAUAGAUUUUGAUUUAUGAGAGUAUUAAGUAUUGGUUUGGGUGAAUAGUAUAAUAGUUCAUAGUUAGGAGAAUUAUUCAAGUUAAGUCACUUUAAGAAUUUAUUCAAAAAAUUGAUUAUAGUAAUCAAUUUCAAAUUCCAAUGAUAUUGAUUAUAAUAUAAUAUUUUAUUAUAUUGAUUAUACUAAUUUUAGUGGUAAUUUUAUGAAUUAUUCAUUUUUAAAAUUUAUAGUAGAAUAGAAAAUAUAAAAAAUAAAAUAAAACAAUGAAUAAGUUUUAGUGACAGCCGCAACCGUAGGUAGAGGUCCAUAAUAUUUUUAAAAUGGCCUCUUAGAAUUACCAAUGGUUUCGUCCGUAGUUAAAGGUGGAAAACAUGCAGUGACAACCACUUGACAACGAUAGAUGGAUUUAGCUACGGAAAUUUUUCCUACAGUGACGAAUUUUGGCUGUCACUGAUGAGUCAUUUAUAUACUAUUUUAAUAUGCUUUUUAGUUUAGUUUUAUUUAGAUUUUAUAUAAUUUUAUAUUAGUAUUAUUUCCUUUUUAGGAUAGUUUACUUUAAAUUGCAAUUUAUUAUAUUUCAGGGAAGAAUAUUGGAUGGAUUGAGUCUUGGAGCAAAAGAAAGGGAUUUGGAGCAGAUUGGACACGAAAAUAUGAAGAUUGGGAGACAAAAUAUGUCUCCCACAAGUCAGAAGCCUGGCACGGCCCGUGCUAGCCUUGGCACGGCCGUGCCACCCUCCAGAAGACCUUUUGCUGCUUUUGCUUGGGCUCUAAGCUAUUCUAUUUUGGCGCACAAUCUACCGUGGAAUAUUCUUGGAAUAUACUUGCUUAGAUUUUAAGUCAAUUGUGUACUAUAAAUAGAGUAGCUAGCCAUCACAAAUAUUCAUCUUUUCUUGGAAUGCAAUAUGUGACAAUUGUUUUCUAAUAAAAGUUCAUUUACUUUAUUGUUAUUUACUUUUAUGCUUUCUCUCUUCUUCUCCUUGUCUACGAUGAACGUCAGUGAGUAGACUUCUCUUGUCUUGGGAUUGUUGGAUAAGUCUAAUGACAUAAUCCUAAUCAAACCAAGCUUUAAACCUUAAUCUUAUGUAACCCUAAUUCCUUAUCUAAAUUCACCGCUUUAACAUGGAUCAACCAUUAUCAAACUGUGGAAACGAAAGUGGAGGGUUUGAUAAUUGUUUAUCCAUCAUCUCAAAUAUCAAUUCAUAAAACGAAAGUGGAGCUUUGAUAUUCGAACAAGUGAAUUUAGACAAGGAUUGCAAAGUCAGCGAAAUAGGCUUUGCAAUCUUUGAGACAUAUAGUUUCGAUCUUCAAGGGAACUAAUAACAAUCAAGUCAGCGAAAUAGGCUUGGUUGUUAGAGGAACCAAAAUCUAAUAGUAAUCAAGUCAGCGAAAUAGGCUUGGUUGCUAGAGGAACAAAAGAGAAACUGUCUUGAGAAAUUAGGUCUAACAUAAAGUUAUAAGUUUAAUAGUUUGGUUUGAGAAGGACUUGUCGUUAGGAUGAACCAAUAACCCCAAGGCUUUUAUCUUUUAUUUUAUUAUUUGCUCUUAAUUAAAAUCCCAAACUUUUCUACCUUAUAAACCUUUAGUCCAAUCAUUAUCUAAAGUUAAUUGAAUUCGUAACUCCCUGUCGGAACGAUACUCAUAUUUUACUACUUCGGUAAGACCGUGCACUUGCGGUUUUAUCCCAUCAAGUUUUUGGCGCCGCUGCGGGGGAUUGUCCGAAGGUGAUUCAAGAAAACGAGAAAAUUUUGAGGCCCCAUGUCCAGAACCUUGGCACGGCCCGUGCUAACACUGGCACGGCCGUGCCAGACCUUGCUACCCAAAAACUGACCCACAAUCCAGAAAGUUGGCACGGCCCGUGCUAAGUUUGGCACGGCCGUGCCCGAUCCCAGGUUCAGUUUUAUCUAACUUUUCAUCUUCUUCAUCCCCCAUUCUCAACCACUCACAUCCCUCAUCCUCCCAUUUUUAUCUAAAACCUCCAUAACCAAAAAACCUUACAAACUCCAUACCUCCCUCAAAACCUCACCAAUUCUCAAAAUUUCUUCACCCCAUCAACCACAAUCCACAUUUCAAUCAUAACCCUUCCAUCAAAAACAACUUUCUUCCAUCCCUACCAAAAAAAAAAAAACAUCAAAUUCGUAGCCCCCAUUCAACCAACUACAAAACCCACAAAUUCUUCACCAAUUCACCCAACCCAACUCCUAACACUUACUCAAACCCCAACCCCAUCACCCAACCUUCACCCAAAACACAAAAGGUCCACCAAGGUUAAGGAUAAUGGCAUCUAGGAAAGGUGGAGCAAGCUCUUCCGGAGGACCACAAUCAAAGAAGAAAACGCAAGCCAAGAAUCAUGGCAUAAUCUUCAAGGACACCAAGCAAAGGGACAGGUAUAAAAUUCUUCUCUCUAAACCUUUGCAUCCUUGUCGAUAUCCAGAUCCUUAUACUUUGAGUGUGCUAGGACUAAGGGAUAAUGUGUUUAAAUUACUAGGAAAUUUAGGAUGGGUUGAUAUGCUUAGACCUAUGAAAGGUUUCGAAAAUUUCACUUAUGAAUUCUUAAGUUCUAUUGAAUUUACGAAGGAUAAGGUGAAUUUUGACAACCCCGAUCAUAGAGUCUCUUUCCGACUUUUGAAUAUGGAUUAUGAGAUGUCUCUUGAAAAUUUCUGUUUAGAGAUGGACUUUGCAAAUGCGGGGUUCAUCCAUGACUCUUGGAAUCCAAAUUUAAAGUCGGAAAACUAUGACCCCGCUCUCUUUUGGAAACGCAUUACCGGGUUAAGGCAAUAUAAUCCCCGCAACAAUAAGGCUAGUAACAUUCACAACCCAGUACUUAGAUACCUCCAGAGAGUCAUGGCUUGUACCAUUUGGGGUAGAAAAGAGGUAGGAACAACUAGGACGGAUGAACUUUUUAUGCUUUGGGCAAUGCUUAGUAACAAUCCCGUUAAUACUUGUUUCUACCUACUUGAUUACCUUUCCUCCAUAGGAGCUAGACCUGAUAAUAGAGCUGAGAUAGUAGUCGGUGGUAUCAUUACCUUCAUCGCUAGGAAGUUUGGAGCGGGUGAGGAAGAUGGGAUAAAUCCAAUUGAGGGCAACAAUAGACUUAAUAUUGAAACCCUUGUUGCUAUGAACUUCAUUAAGAUUCACCCACCCAUGACUUAUGCACUUCAACUUCGCAUACCACUUUUAUUUCUACUUCCUAACCCAUCUCGGACUAACCCCGAGGUGGAGGAAAAUUUGUUGUAUGUUGGUGAUGGAUUACAGGUACAUGAAGAGCAUAAUCAAGGUGACGAAGAAGGUGCACACAUGCACCAUGAAGAGGAGCCCCAUGACCAUAACGACAACAAUGAAAGAUGGGCAUGGAUGCAAACCGAGGUACAAAGGAUAAGCACCGAGCAACAAAGGCAAGGUGUUGAAUUAUCCGGGCUAAGAAAUGAUGUCCUACGGGGCAACCGCAUAUCCGAAGAAAAUAACCAAAUGCUUCGGAACAUGAUGCAACACUUCAACCUCCAAGGCCCUCCCUAUGGACCUCAAUAAAAAUGUGAGCUUUCCUCUUCCUCUUUUUUCACCUCAUCUCUUUAAUCUCUAUCUCACUCUUCUACCUCUCCUUCUCUUCUACUUUUCUUUUAUCUUGAAUCAUUGAGGACAAUGCUUCUCCUAAGUGUGGGGGGAGCCUAAUAAAGUGUCUUUAGUCGUAGUGUUUCCAAACUCCCUUGAACUUUAUUCUUUUGUUUUGUUUUAUUGUAAAAGGCAUGGUUAAGUAGCUAAUUUUUAUUGAAAAUAUCAUGACACAAAAAUUUUCAUUGUCUCCUCUUAUUUUGUUGAUUAUUGUACAUGAAAGCAAACUCUUGUGUUUUAAGUCUUCUUGAUAUACCCACAUCUUGUUUUAAAGUGAAUAAAAUUCUCCAAUGAGAAAAACACAAAGUUGCUUCCCUUGAGUAAAUGUAUGAAUAGGUAUUUUAAGGAAACGCGUUUUAAUCUUAGUGGUGCAUUAACCUUUAAAGAUUCUCAAAAUGCCAGUAGUAUAAGUCAGUAUAAGGGAGUUCAUGAAAAGCCAAAAAGCCAAAUAAAUUCCAAGAUCUCAUCAUUGAAUCUAGAUUGGGGAAGGAGGUAGGCCCUCCGACUUCCUACGUGAAGAUGAUUGUUAUCUUGAGGAAAAACUUUAAAACGCAUCAUUGAAUCUAGAUUGGGGAAGGGGGUAGGCCCUCCGACUUCCUACGUGAAGAUGAUGUUUUAAGGGAUACCAUUGAAUCUAGAUUGGGGAAGGGGGUAGGCCCUCCGACCUCCUACGUGAAGAUGUUGUUCCUUAAAUAAAGAACUUAAAAUGUGCAAAUGGCAAAGAACAAAGAUUCUCAAAUACUCCCAUCUCUCUUAUAUGAAUUAUAGAAGGAAUCUUUCUUGGUUGGUUUAGUGCUAGGAUUAGACCAUGUUUCCUCAUAAUGCCUAUCUUAUACAGGAGCAAGAAAAGGGUUGGACUUCACACACACACUCACUUGAAACUUGAUCGUUGGGUUGAAUAAAAAUUACAAGAAACACUUGAGUUUGUGAUUAGUGUACACUUGGGAUUUAAGCCCUUGAGGAGACAUGUGCUUUAAUUGAAUUGUCAUUUGAUAUAACUGUUGGUGCUACUAUGUUUAUGCCUUUUGCUUGAGGACAAGCAAAGAUUCAAGUGUGGGGGAGUUUGAUGAGUCAUUUAUAUACUAUUUUAAUAUGCUUUUUAGUUUAGUUUUAUUUAGAUUUUAUAUAAUUUUAUAUUAGUAUUAUUUCCUUUUUAGGAUAGUUUACUUUAAAUUGCAAUUUAUUAUAUUUCAGGGAAGAAUAUUGGAUGGAUUGAGUCUUGGAGCAAAAGAAAGGGAUUUGGAGCAGAUUGGACACGAAAAUAUGAAGAUUGGGAGACAAAAUAUGUCUCCCACAAGUCAGAAGCCUGGCACGGCCCGUGCUAGCCUUGGCACGGCCGGGCCACCCUCCAGAAGACCUUUUGCUGCUUUUGCUUGGGCUCUAAGCUAUUCUAUUUUGGCGCACAAUCUACCGUGGAAUAUUCUUGGAAUAUACUUGCUUAGAUUUUAAGUCAAUUGUGUACUAUAAAUAGAGUAGCUAGCCAUCACAAAUAUUCAUCUUUUCUUGGAAUGCAAUAUGUGACAAUUGUUUUCUAAUAAAAGUUCAUUUACUUUAUUGUUAUUUACUUUUAUGCUUUCUCUCUUCUUCUCCUUGUCUACGAUGAACGUCAGUGAGUAGACUUCUCUUGUCUUGGGAUUGUUGGAUAAGUCUAAUGACAUAAUCCUAAUCAAACCAAGCUUUAAACCUUAAUCUUAUGUAACCCUAAUUCCUUAUCUAAAUUCACCGCUUUAACAUGGAUCAACCAUUAUCAAACUGUGGAAACGAAAGUGGAGGGUUUGAUAAUUGUUUAUCCAUCAUCUCAAAUAUCAAUUCAUAAAACGAAAGUGGAGCUUUGAUAUUCGAACAAGUGAAUUUAGACAAGGAUUGCAAAGUCAGCGAAAUAGGCUUUGCAAUCUUUGAGACAUAUAGUUUCGAUCUUCAAGGGAACUAAUAACAAUCAAGUCAGCGAAAUAGGCUUGGUUGUUAGAGGAACCAAAAUCUAAUAGUAAUCAAGUCAGCGAAAUAGGCUUGGUUGCUAGAGGAACAAAAGAGAAACUGUCUUGAGAAAUUAGGUCUAACAUAAAGUUAUAAGUUUAAUAGUUUGGUUUGAGAAGGACUUGUCGUUAGGAUGAACCAAUAACCCCAAGGCUUUUAUCUUUUAUUUUAUUAUUUGCUCUUAAUUAAAAUCCCAAACUUUUCUACCUUAUAAACCUUUAGUCCAAUCAUUAUCUAAAGUUAAUUGAAUUCGUAACUCCCUGUCGGAACGAUACUCAUAUUUUACUACUUCGGUAAGACCGUGCACUUGCGGUUUUAUCCCAUCAGUCACUAAAAGUCAAAUUUCUUGUAAAUUUCUUGUAGUGAUACAAAGAAAAUAUAGGUUGAACCCGGGUAUGUGCCCAUACUCGCGAGGUGGUAAAACCGCCCCUGCCACUAGCCGCAAAAAUUCUAAAGAAAUAGAUUCAAAGUUGCCUCUUAUUCAACGUUAUAGAAUUGACUUGUAAGAAACUUUUAGUUGCGACAAUUUAAUUUAUUUCAAAUGUUUCAUAAGACUAAUUAGUGGCUUCUCCUUGUGAUCUGAUUAAGGCAUAUAAACAAAAAGCCAUGUUGAUUUUCAUAAAGUAUUUUGUCGAAAGAAAAGUUAAACUUAUCACCAGCUUCCAACCACUUUACUUUGCAAACUGAUCUAUAUCCAUAGUAGACAUUUGUGUCUUUAUUUCAGUCCUUAAUAACAUGCACUCAUAGAAUGCUAUGAAGAAUUUUGAGUUAGCAUCACCUUUCUGAAGCCAGUCAUCCUCGCCUUCUACCAAUUAAUACUUGUUUGAACCCGUGACAAAGAAUGCAAACUAACUGACAACUCAUGAAGCUCCUGCACCUCAUCUUCAAGAAGCGUAGAUUCCUCCCCUUUGUGUUCAGGGAAGAGUUAAUUGUUUUUUUUUUUUUUUUUUUUACAAAAGGGAAGAAUUAAUUGUUAAUGACCAAACUAAUUGUAAAUUGUUAAAAUAUAUGGGAUUAAUUGAUAUAUAGUAAGUUGCUAAAUAUAAGGACCAACUCGACAGUUGAAUCGUGUCAAGAACCUUUUUAAAAUACUCAUAAUCUCAAGGAUGUAUUUGAGAAUACUCAUAAUCUCAAGGACGUAUUUGAUAGGGCACAACAUAGUUAGGGACUAAUUUGAUAGUUAACUCGUUAAUAAUCCUUCUGAAUGGUGCGUUGGAUAGGUCAACUGGUUUUAGUUAAUCUGAUUAAAAUUAGUUAUCUUCACUGUCAAUCAUUUUUUUUGCGCAUUCUCGGGCGAUUUCACAGAGAAUUCAUUCUCUCACGUUUGCAUUUUAUUUGUUUCAUAUUUUCUUUCUAUGCUAUUUAAAAAUCACUUUAGUCUUUUCAUACUUAUCAUUCUUAUAUUCUUAAUUUUUUUUUGGCUUAAUUGCACUUUUUGACCCCUAUCUUUUCAAAAGUUGCGGUUAUGGAUCCCUAACUAAUUUAAAUACAAAACAGCCCCCUAUGUUUUGAUUUUUUGGCAGUUUUGGACCCCCAAGGCAAAAAAAAAAAAAAAAACCACACGUGGCACCUCACUUAGGAUGCCACGUCAGCGUUGACCGAGUCAACAAUGGACUGGGGGUCCAAAACUGCCAAAGAAUCAAAACAUAGGGGGUUGUUUUGUAUUUAAAUUAAUUAGGGGUCCAUAACCGCAACUUUUGAAAAGAUAUGGGUCCAAAAGUGCAAUUAAGCCUUUUUUUUUGAUAAUUUUUAGUAUACUUUUACUUUGAACAUAUAUUAUAAUUUCUAAUUUUUUUUUUGAAAGAUUAUAAUUUCUAAUUAAAUUGCUUGUCUGUGCAUUCAAAAAUUUAUUUUUUUCAUUAGUAAAGUAUACUUUGAAUAUGGUCCCUUAAGCGUAAUUGUUGACUCAGUCCCGGCUAGUACAACUAUAUGACGGUGAUAGAAUGUAUUUAUUUUUGCUUAUAAUUAUAAUUAUAACGUGGACAGCAUAACAAUCGUUGAUUUAAGAACGAAGCGAGUAUUGAAAGAGAAAGAAUGAUUGAAGCUAACGCGUCCUAUUUUGUUUGUGUAUUUUAAAAUAGUUGAGGGAUGAAUAAAAAAAGGAGUGGUUAUACUCAAAUAGAAGGUAGAUGAGUUGUAUAAUUAUUGUUUUGUAUUUUUUGUACUUUGUGUUUUGUCUUGUAAUAAUAGUUGACUUGACUCUUGAGUAACGAUGUCUUCCUCUGAUCAUCCAUGGAUCUACCACAUGUUCAUCAACUUCAGGGGGAAGGAAUAUUUUUUGAACUUAGAUAGAUUCUUUAAAUUUUGUUGGAAACAUUGUAAAUAAAAUAUAUUUAUUGAAUGUGGAUUGACUUUUAAAAUUGGGAAAAAUGACCAAAUUUCUUUAAAAAUGUAAUUUUAGAAAAGAAAAUACUAAAAUAGAUUAAAAAUAGUUAUUUUUUCUAUGUUAAAAUUAAUUAAUUCCUUUAUGUAUAUAUUGGUGAUUGAAAGAAAUAAUUAAAGAGAAAAAGAAGAAUUAAAUACAUAAAAUUAAAUUUCUAUUAUUCAAAAUUGUUUUUUUUUAUUGGUAAAGAAAGAUAAAUAUUGGUAAAAAAAAAAAUAAUUAAGUGAUUGGUAAAUUUGGAAAGAAAAAAUGUAACACCAAAAGCAAUUAUUUUAUAAGUUUUUUUAUAAUAUCCAAUAUUAUCCUUAUUGUUAUGAAGUGUUCUUUCUAUUUUAUAAUUUUAAUUGAUGAGUGUAUUCCCUUAGGUUUUGUUUGAGAGUUUGAAGGGGAGUGGAGAUGAGGGUUUUGAAGGAAAUGAAUGUGCAAGUGGGAAAAAUAGAAGACAUUGGAAGAAGAGGGUUUUGAGAGGUUAAUUUUUUAUUCAUAAUACAAAAUCUUUCUCAUUUUGGUUAACUCAAAUUGUGUUGGUGGAUGAUUUUGUUGGAACAAAAUGUGUUUCACAAUGAACCUUAUUAAGUUUUGAUGAUAACAAGGUAUUAAAAAUUGUCAAUUGGUUAUUACUAAUAAUUGUUCAAGUGUACAGGACCAAAGGCUACUCAAGUUAUUUCAAUAGGUCUUGGAAGAACAAUGGAAAGAAAAAGAAAUUCUGAGCAUCUGAAGAAAACUGCUCCUGAAGCUAAACUGCUCCUGAAGAGAUGACGUCAUCAGAAGCAGAAAGCUGCUCCUGAAGCUAAACUGCUCCUGAAGAGAUGACGUCAUCAGAAGCAGAAAGUCAUCAGAAGCAGAAAGUCAUCAGAAGCAAAAGUUUUCAUCAGAAGCAAUAUUUUCACCAGAAGCUACAUUUGAUCCUUUAAUCAAACUGAAGAUUCAAAGUUGCUGAUUCUCAAUUCAGUCUUAUCAAAGAAGAACGAAGAAUUGAAAGGGAGGUAUCAACGGAUAUAUGGAUAGCACUGAGCACUUGUCUCUCAUUAAUAGAGUUGACAAAGUACAAGUGUACAACCACUACCUCCACUACUCUGUUUUCUGUCUACGCUACAAGACAAAACAACAGCCAUGCCUGCAGAAUUUGUACAACUCAAGAUGGGAAUGAAUUUGAAGUUUAUCCUUCAAAGGACUACACCCAAAUCAGGCAAAAGAUCACUGGUGGAUAAUCAAAGGAUUUCAAACGACUCUUUAGACGUGCUGAUUAUCUCAACGUCUCUUUCACGCCUCUAUAUAAAGGAGUGAAGACUUGAAGAUUCAAGAUAGAGAUACAUAAGUUCAAAAGCGCCAAAACUCUGUCAAUUUGAUUCUACAAAGCACACUGAAUUUCUGCACUGAUUUGAUACAUCUUAGAAAUUCAAAGUCUAGAGUCUUUUCUGUAUUGUAUUGUGAACACCACUGAUUGUAUAUCAAGUGUUCAAUUCAAACUCAAUUCUCUGUAUUUUUGUUUGAUUAGAAGUCUCUUGCCUGCGUGCUUGAGCAUUAGAAGUCUCUUGCUUAGUGCUUGAGCAUUGGAAGACUCUUGCGUGUGUGCUUGAGCAUUGUUUUGUGAAGUCUCAUACUUUGAAAGUAUUGAGCAGUUGUAAUCUUGUGAUUAUAGUGAAAUCUCCUUGGAAGUGCAAGGGGGACUGGACUACUUCCGUGUUGUGGAAGGAACCAGGAUAACUGCCUGUGUCUUUGUCUUUCUUUUCUCUGCUCUGUUCUUUUCCGCUGCAAUCUGACUCUGAUCAUUUCAUCAGAAGCAAUCAAACUGCUUCUGAAGUUUUAUCAGAAGAAGAAUCCUUUUUAUUAAGAGAAAAAGAAAACACAAUUCAACCCCCCCCUUCUUGUGUUUUUCACCUUCAAUUGGUAUCAGAGCUUGCUCUGUUAUCACAGCACUUAACCGUGUUACAGUUCAAGAUCUAUUAGAAAAACAUGUCUGGAGAUGAGGAAUCAGUUACUCCAAAAUACACAAGUGUCAAGCAUGACUAUGAUACUGCUGACAAGAAAACAGACUCUGGAAAAGCUCCAAAGUUUAAUGGAGAUCCAGAAGAGUUUUCAUGGUGGAAAACUAAUAUGUACAGCUUUAUCAUGGGAUUGGAUGAAGAGCUAUGGGAUAUACUGGAAGAUGGAGUUGAUGAUCUGGAUUUGGAUGAAGAAGGAGCUGCUAUAGACAGAAGAAUACAUACUCCUGCUCAGAAGAAGCUUUAUAAGAAACACCACAAGAUAAGAGGAAUCAUUGUGGCUUCUAUACCUCGCACCGAAUACAUGAAAAUGAGUGACAAAUCUACUGCGAAAGCUAUGUUUGCUUCUCUUUGUGCAAACUUUGAAGGCAGCAAGAAAGUAAAAGAGGCUAAAGCUUUGAUGCUAGUUCAUCAGUAUGAACUUUUCAGAAUGAAGGAUGAUGAGAGUAUAGAAGAAAUGUACUCAAGAUUUCAAACUUUAGUUUCUGGAUUGCAGAUACUGAAGAAAAGCUAUGUUGCUUCUGAUCAUGUUAGUAAGAUUUUGAGAAGCUUACCUUCAAGAUGGAGACCCAAAGUAACUGCUAUUGAGGAAGCUAAGGAUCUAAAUACUUUAAGUGUUGAAGAUCUUGUUAGCUCACUCAAAGUGCAUGAAAUGAGUUUAAAUGAGCAUGAAACCUCUAAGAAGAGUAAAUCCAUUGCUUUACCAUCUAAAGGAAAGACCUCAAAGUCUUCCAAAGCCUACAAAGCCAGUGAAUCUGAAGAAGAAUCACCUGAUGGAGAUUCUGAUGAAGAUCAAUCUGUAAAGAUGGCUAUGCUGUCCAACAAGCUUGAGUAUCUGGCAAGGAAGCAGAAGAAAUUUUUGAGCAAGAGAGGUAGCUACAAGAACUUCAAGAAAGAAGAUCAGAAGGGAUGCUUCAAUUGUAAGAAGCCUGGUCAUUUCAUUGCUGAUUGCCCUGAUCUUCAGAAGGAGAAGUUUAAAGGCAAAUCCAAGAAAUCAAGCUUCAACUCCAGUAAAUUCAGAAAGCAAAUCAAAAAGAGCUUGAUGGCGACCUGGGAAGAUUUGGAUAGUGAAUCUGGUUCUGAUAAAGAAGAAGCUGAUGAUGAUGCUAAGGCAGCCGUUGGGUUAGUGGCAACAGUAUCAUCAGAAGCAGUAUCAGAAGCUGAAUCAGAUUCAGAAGAUGAAAAUGAGGUAUAUUCCAAAAUCCCUAGACAAGAACUUGUUGAUUCUCUAAAAGAACUUUUAUCACUGUUUGAACACAGAACCAAUGAGUUGACAGAUUUAAAAGAAAAAUAUGUUGAUUUGAUGAAACAACAAAAAUCAACUCUAUUGGAACUGAAAGCUUCUGAAGAAGAACUCAAAGGGUUUAACCUCAUAUCAACAACAUAUGAAGAUAGACUCAAGAGUCUUUGUCAGAAGCUACAAGAAAAAUGUGAUAAAGGUUCAGGCAAUAAACAUGAGAUUGCCUUGGAUGAUUUUAUUAUGGCUGGAAUAGACAGAAGCAAAGUUGCUUCUAUGAUCUACAGCACAUACAAGAACAAAGGCAAAGGGAUUGGAUAUUCUGAGGAGAAAUCCAAAGAAUACAGUCUCAAGAGCUACUGUGAUUGUAUCAAGGAUGGAUUGAAAUCCACCUUUGUGCCUGAAGGUACAAAUGCUAUAACUGCUGUUCAGUCAAAACCUGAAGCUUCAGGUUCACAGGCUAAGAUCACAUCAAAGCCAGAGAAUCUUAAGAUCAAGGUAAUGACAAAAUCUGAUCCUAAGAGUCAAAAGAUUAAAAUUCUGAAAAGAUCAGAACCUGUUCAUCAGAAUCUGAUUAAACCAGAAUCUAAAAUUCCAAAACAAAAGGAUCAGAAGAACAAAGCAGCUACUGCUUCUGAGAAAACAAUACCAAAAGGUGUCAAACCUAAAGUAUUGAAUGAUCAGAAGCCACUCAGCAUUCACCCUAAGGUACAAGGGAGGAAAAGUAAAACCUCCAAAACUAACCCAAAAGGACCCAUGAAGAUAUGGGUACCUAAAUCUGAAUUGGCCAAAAAUGCAGGUGUGCUUAAGGGCAAGAGAGAAACAAAGGUCAUGGUACCUAGACAGCGGAUGUUCAAGGCACAUGACUGGAGAGAAAGCUUUGUUCCUUACCCUUACAAUGAAAGAUGGAGGAGAAGUGAAGUUUGGUGGCAACCAAACUGGAAAGAUCAUUGGUACAGGUACUAUUGGUAAUUCCUCCAUCUCAAUUAAUAAUGUGUGGCUAGUAGAUGGUCUGAAGCAUAACCUAUUGAGCAUUAGUCAAUUUUGUGACAAUGGGUAUGAUGUAACGUUCAGUAAGACCAACUGCACACUAGUCAACAAGGAUGACAAAUCCAUUACAUUCAAGGGAAAGAGAGUUGAGAAUGUUUAUAAAAUAAAUUUCUCUGAUCUGGCUGAUCAGAAGGUAGUUUGCCUUCUGUCAGUGAAUGAUAAAAAAUGGGUAUGGCAUAAAAGGUUGGGACAUGCUAAUUGGAGAUUAAUUUCUAAAAUUAGCAAGUUACAACUGGUCAAAGGAUUGCCUAACAUUGAUUAUCAUUCAGAUGCACUUUGUGGUGCAUGUCAGAAAGGGAAAAUUGUGAAAAGUUCUUUCAAAUCUAAAGACAUUGUAUCAACCUCCAGACCCUUAGAAUUACUCCAUAUUGAUCUUUUUGGUCCAGUUAACACUGCAUCUUUAUAUGGAAGUAAAUACGGAUUAGUCAUUGUUGAUGAUUACAGCAGAUGGACUUGGGUAAAAUUCAUUAAAAGUAAAGACUAUGCAUGUGAAGUGUUUAGCAGCUUCUGCACUCAAAUACAAUCUGAAAAAGAAUUGAAAAUUUUGAAAGUCAGAAGUGAUCAUGGUGGAGAAUUUGAAAAUGAGCCAUUUGAACUUUUUUGUGAAAAACAUGGGAUUCUCCAUGAGUUUUCUUCUCCUAGAACUCCACAACAAAAUGGGGUUGUAGAAAGAAAGAACAGAACCUUACAAGAAAUGGCCAGAACCAUGAUCCAUGAAAACAACUUAGCUAAACAUUUUUGGGCAGAAGCAGUCAAUACUUCAUGUUAUAUUCAAAAUAGGAUCUAUAUCAGACCUAUGUUGGAGAAAACAGCAUAUGAACUCUUUAAAGGAAGAAGACCAAAUAUCUCUUACUUUCAUCAGUUUGGAUGUACUUGUUACAUCUUAAACACUAAAGACUAUCUGAAGAAAUUUGAUGCCAAGGCUCAAAGAGGAAUCUUUUUAGGUUACUCUGAAAGGUCAAAGCCAUACAGAGUGUAUAAUUCAGAAACACAAUGUGUUGAAGAAUCUAUGCAUGUAAAAUUUGAUGAUAGAGAGCCUGGAAGUAAAACUUCAGAGCAAAGUGAAAGUAAUGCAGGUACAACUGAUUCUGAAGAUGCAUCAGAAUCUGAUCAACCUUCUGAUUCUGAAAAGUAUACAGAAGUUGAAUCUUGUCCAGAAGCUGAAAUCACUCCAGAAGCUGAGUCUAAUUCAGAAGCAGAACCUAGCCCAAAAGCACAGAAUGAAAUUGCUUCUGAGGACUUUCAAGAUAACACUCAGCAGGUUAUUCAACCUAAAUUCAAGCACAAAUCUUCACAUCCUGAGGAGUUAAUCAUUGGAAGCAAAGAUAGUCCUAGAAGAACAAGAUCACAUUUUAGACAAGAAGAGUCUUUAAUAGGACUGCUUUCAAUAAUUGAGCCUAAAACUGUUGAAGAAGCUCUCUCAGAUGAUGGAUGGAUAUUAGCUAUGCAAGAAGAGCUAAAUCAAUUCCAAAGGAAUGACGUGUGGGAUCUGGUACCCAAACCUUUUCAGAAGAACAUUAUUGGAACAAAAUGGGUAUUCAGAAACAAGCUGAAUGAACAAGGAGAAGUAACCAGAAACAAAGCCAGACUUGUUGCUCAAGGCUACAGUCAACAAGAAGGCAUUGAUUACACUGAAACAUUUGCUCCAGUUGCAAAAUUGGAAGCAAUCAGGUUACUUCUAUCCUACGCAAUUAAUCAUGGCAUAAUAUUAUAUCAAAUGGAUGUCAAAAGUGCCUUUCUUAAUGGAGUCAUUGAAGAAGAAGUGUAUGUUAAACAACCUCCUGGGUUUGAGGAUCUUAAGCAUCCUGACCAUGUUUAUAAACUUAAGAAAUCACUAUAUGGCUUGAAACAAGCUCCCAGAGCUUGGUAUGAUAGACUAAGUAAUUUCUUAAUUAAAAAUGAUUUUGAAAGAGGACAAGUUGACACAACACUCUUCAGAAGGACUCUUAAGAAAGAUAUUUUGAUUGUGCAAAUAUAUGUUGAUGAUAUAAUAUUUGGUUCUACUAAUGCAUCUCUUUGCAAAGAAUUUUCUAAGUUAAUGCAGGAUGAAUUUGAAAUGAGUAUGAUGGGAGAAUUGAAAUUCUUUCUGGGAAUUCAAAUCAACCAAAGUAAAGAAGGAGUAUAUGUUCAUCAAACAAAAUAUACAAAGGAGCUUCUGAAGAAGUUCAAGCUAGAAGAUUGUAAAGUGAUGAACACUCCAAUGCAUCCAACCUGCACCUUAAGCAAAGAAGAUACUGGAACAGUAGUAGACCAGAAGCUUUACAGAGGUAUGAUUGGUUCUCUGUUAUACCUCACUGCAUCUAGACCUGAUAUUUUAUUCAGUGUAUGCUUGUGUGCAAGAUUUCAAUCAGAUCCUAGAGAAUCUCAUUUAACUGCAGUUAAGAGAAUCUUCAGGUAUCUGAAAGGAACAACUAAUCUUGGACUCCUGUAUAGGAAAUCCCUAGAUUAUAAGUUGAUUGGAUUCUGUGAUGCUGAUUAUGCUGGUGAUAGGAUUGAAAGAAAAUCAACCAGUGGAAAUUGUCAAUUCCUGGGAGAGAAUCUGAUAUCCUGGGCAAGCAAAAGACAAGCAACUAUUGCUAUGUCUACAGCAGAAGCAGAGUACAUUUCAGCUGCAAGUUGUUGCACACAACUGCUUUGGAUGAAACAUCAGUUGGAAGACUAUCAGAUCAAUGCUAACAGUAUUCCCAUUUAUUGUGAUAAUACUGCUGCUAUUUGUUUGUCAAAGAAUCCAAUUCUACAUUCAAGAGCCAAGCAUAUUGAAAUCAAACACCAUUUUAUCAGAGACUAUGUUCAAAAAGGAAUUUUAGAUAUACAAUUCAUUGAUACUGAACAUCAAUGGGCUGACAUAUUUACAAAACCUUUGUCUGUUGAAAGAUUUGAUUUUAUUAAGAAAAAUUUGAACAUGCAUUUUGGGUCUGAUUGAAAAAUUGCUUGCCUCUGAAUAAGAAGUUUGGUUCUGAAGUUUAUUCAGAAGCAUUUUGGUUCAUCAGAAGCUCUUAAUUGAGGUUCUGAGGAAAAUGUGCUUCUGAAGAUGACGUCAGCGCUAAAACUUCAGAAGUGUUAUUCUUUGCUUCUGAAUAGCUUGGUUAGUGGGAACGUUGGAAGUUACUUUAUGUAACAGCUGUCUCAUUACCCAAAAGGUAGUUUUCUGAAGAGUCUCUGACGUGGUUUAUUUGUAUUGGAGUAUAACAAAAAGGGCAAUGAUGUUUUUAUUCGCUUUUUAACGUACUUACACGCGCCCCCAAUUUGUCAUUAAUGCUGUGUUUGUCUGUCCCCUCUGAAUUACAAACGUUUUAAUAAAAACACUAAGUCAUUUCACACACUUCUCACUUCACAACAAACACUUUCUAUUUUCUUCUCAACCCUCUGCGAAAGUAAGCGCAUUCUCUCAUCCUCUCAAAAACUCCUUAGAACCCUAAAACCACUUCAUAUCAAUGGCUUCUUCAAGUUCUGCAUCUGGUUCAUCAUCAAACGAACAACAAGGAGAAGCUCCUGCUUAUGAGAUAAAGGGAAGAACCAUGUCCUUGGAGGAAUGGGAAUUAAACAUUCAAUCAGAAAGUCCGGUGGAUUUUGAUUCUUUGGCCGCUCACGACUGUGACAUUGGCAAGUACUACGAGAAACAAGGUCUGGGAAGGUACUUCAAUCUUCUAAAUGGACCAACUUAUCAAACACUGGUUCGUCAUUUCUGGGUUAGAGCCAGCAUCUACGACAGGGAAGCCGCCAAGAUUGAAGAAGAUGAAAAAGUUCUUCUCAAUCCUGAACUCAAAGGGAAGUCUAGAGCGGAAAUGGGCUUGGAAACUUUCUCCAAAACCCAGAUAAGAUCAAGCAUCAUGGGAAUCCGUGUCUGGAUCACUGAGGACACUAUUGCCUUUGUCAUCAGAAGACCAGCAGAAGGAGAACAUGAGGCUGGGAUUUCAAAGCCAAAGGACAGCCCCUGGAAUGCUAUUGUUAACAAAACUCUCUACAACAAGGUAAAGGACUUUGCCUAUUCUGACAUGAACACCAAGACAAAGGUUAUGUUGAAGAUUCAGAACGAAAACCUACUACCAAAAGGUGGUGGUGGUGAUCAGCCCUCUCUGGAACAUAAAAUCCUCUUACACUUUGUCAUAAAGGGUGUAGAGGCAAAUAUUCCCAGAUACAUAUUCAGACAUAUGGUUCAUCAACUCAGAGAGAGUCAACUGAAUAAAAGGUCUUGGGUACCCUAUGGAAGACUACUCUCUGAGAUUUUCCAUCAGGGAGUGUUAUCAUGGUUUUUGGGUGCCAAGCCAUUAAUUGGACUUGAACCUUUCGACCGUUGAUAUCUCUCUUUUUUCUUGGGAAGGGAAAAAUUGAGAAAAAAACCCUUAGAUUCUAAGUUCGGGGGUCGGUUUUACUACGGGAAGGUGUUAGGCACCCGGAGUAACUAUAGUCCUCUAUAGGAGCCGUUUUCCUAAGUCUAUAUUCACGCUUAUUUUUACUUACUUUUGAAAAUGGGAGGUUUAUUUAGUUAAGAAUGGGGGUGAGAAGAAGUAGAAUUUUGAUUUUAUUUUGGCUUGGAUGAGUUUUGACUCAUUGCCUACGUACCCUUUUAAGGGAUCAAAACCGUUCGUAGUUCUUGCUAAAAAACUUGUUUUUGUUCUAAUUGUUUGAUUUUAAGUUUUGAAAAUGGUUUUGAAGAAGGAGAUUGGGAGGCUUCAUGAGCAUUAGAUUUAGCAAAAAAGUGAGGUUUGAUUAGUGAUUAGAAAGAAAGUCUAAAUGGUUAAGAUGAAUUGAAUUUUCCUUAAGAAAAAGAAAAGAAAAAAAAUGAAGUGUUGACUUCAUAUUUAUUAUGAAAUUUUUUGAAGUGAAGUUCAAUUGUUUUUUUGGAAAAAGAUGGAUUUUCUCUAAGUGUUUAAAACCUAAACGCUUAUUUAACCAUACAAUCCUAUGCAUACAUCUAAGGUGAGUGUGUGCGUGUCGGUGCGCCAUAGUGUCCAUAGUCCAUAUUACAACAUUUCCUAAAUACAUUCUAUGGCCUCUUUGCCAAGCUACAAACCAAUGAUAACAAAUUACAUCACUAAAUGAAUCAAAACUUGCAAAAAAAAAUAAAUGCUAGACUAAAGAGGGUGGAGAGUGGAGAGGGUGGUGGAAUGCUUAUGAAAUGUAUGGCACAUGAGAUGAAAUGGUUAGUAAUCAUAAAGCACAAAAUAGUAGGAAAUAAUCAAAAGGAAAUGUAUAAGAAUGGCAAAGGAAAGGUAAUAAAGUGGCAAUAAACCUAAAACUUUUGAUGUGAUACCUAAAGGUGCUUGUAACCCAUAAUCAUCACAUCAUGGCAAUUUUGAAAGAAAUUUUGUUUCAAGCCAUGACAUGAAAUUAGUGGAAGUACAUGCAAGCAAAGUAUCACACCAAACAUAAAGAAAUUUACCACUUUAUUCCUAAAAAUAAACGCUUAUUACUUGUAAAACAAGAAAUCCAUAAAAUCACAUCCAAACACAGCAAAAAUAAACACAAUUCCAGAGGCAUAUUCAUCACCAUAUUAGGCAUCAUUUAUCCAUGUCAUACUAUCAAAAUGUCAAGAACAAAACAUAGCAAAAUGCAUACAAAAAACAUAAAAACACAUGGAAUUAGUUCACACCAUUUUAACAUCUUUUUUACAUGCAAAGAUACCCUAAAAAUACCAAGAAUAUAUCAAGAAACCACUAGGAUUUUUUUAGAAAUUUUGUAAACAAAAAUGAGCAGGCCACAGGUGCAGAUAGCAAAGAAAAUGGUGUAAAUAGCAUACAAAAGCAAGCAAAAAAAACGUAAAACCUUAAGCCCAAACCAAAACCCAAUACAGACUGGGCCUGGAUCAUCCAAAGGCCUUAGAGGCGUUGGAUUGAUCCAAACCUAGAUCUGACGGUUCAAAACACGCAGCGCAUGGUAACACAGAUCAAACACGUGGGAGCAAACGCAUCACAGCCAUUCAAAAGAGAAACCCUAGAUCCUACGGUCCAAAAAGGAAACCAAAGUGAACCGGACCGGUCCAGGUGUCUAUAUAAACGUAAGGACACCGGUCCAGCUCACUUUGCUCACCUCUUUCUCUCUCUAAGCUCUUCUCUCCUCUCAGUCCUCUCUCUUCUCUCCAGAAAACCACCACCGGAGGUGAUGAAGCUACGGCGGAGACCUUGAAGGUCCGCCGGAAACUUCAUCUUCUCCGGCGAGACUUAUGAACUUCCGGUGACCUAAAUUUCCAGAUUUCAAAGAUUCUUACUCCUUUUGAUUCGUCCUUUAACCCUAAACACGAAUCCAGCAACUAUUUUUUCAAAUACGGUUCGAAACGACGUAGAUCUUGAAGGAACUUUGUACGGUUUUGAAAUGAUUUUUGAUUUUUGAACAAAAACGUUUAGAUUCUUACAUCGUUUCGUUGUUUGAUUGAUUUUCUGGUAUGCGUUCUUGCUUUCAAAACUUAGAUCCUUAUGGAUCUAGGUUUUGUGUUUACGGUUACGGCUUUGGCUUUGAAUUCUGGAAAUCUUUGGAUUCGGUUUGUUUUUUACUUCACUGAUUCAUGCUUUUUUUUUAAAGAAAAUGAUGUUGAAGUUAUGCUUUUACCUGUGAUUUCAAUUGGAGGUGCUGAUGAAGAUUUCUUCGGAAAACUUCAGAUGCGUUUCUAUUGAUUCUUGCUGCUUUGAACCGAAAAUAAAUCGGUGUUCUUCUUUCUCACUGAUUCUUCGUGAUUUUGGCUGGAAACUUCAUCUUCUUUCUCUGCUUCUUUCUCACUGAUUCUUCUUUGUGAUCGGUGCUGGAGUUUGCUGCUGCUGCAGCGAGCUCGUGCCUUGAAUUGCAAAGAAGAUGAUUCGAUGAUGAUGAUUCCUUAGGAAUCUCUGAGAAUCAAUGGAAAAUCCAAUGAAUUUUGAUGAUUUUUUGGUCUUCUGGAAAUCUAGGGUUUGGAUUUUGUUCUUGCUUGUUCUUGGAGAAUUUCUGUUUUUGAUCUGUAACUGAAUGGAGAGAGAAAAGAAAUCUGUUUGUGAUGAAUUUCUGACUUUUUGACUGUGCAUUGAAUGCGCCUUUUAUAGGCUGCCAUGUGUGCAUUGGGACCAAUAGGAAAUCGACAUGUGGCAUUGGACUUAAAAUGGACUUUGGACCUUUCUGCAAUUUUGUAAAAUAUGGGACUGGACUGCAAUUUUAAAAACAGAACUAAAAAAAAUAAAAAAAUAAAAAUUGGACAGUUUGGACUUAAAUGCAAUUUUAAAAAGUUGAAGGAUUAAAAUGCAAAGUAAAAAUAAAAAAUGAAUUAAAAUAUGUAAUUUGACUAAACGUAAAGCGAAAUAGAAAUAAAAAUAAAAUCGACAAAACGGACUAAAACGAACCAAUGGCCUAAAUGAGGUACUUCAAAGUAACCUCCCUAUGUCAAAAUUUUGUGUGAAAUGACCAAAAUGCCCCUAGGGCUAAAACGACCUAAACAGAUUCAAAUUGAUCUGACACUGACUCAGACGCAAAUUUAAAAUGAACUUAAUCAAGAUUUACUAAUGAAAAUGCAAAAACAAUCUGAAAAGACUCAGAGACAGUCACAAGGAUGAAAAUGGGUCCCACUGCAGGAAAUGACCAAAAUACCCUUCUGUAUGACUUUUUGCAAAUUUUGAAAUAAACUGUAGAAAAAGCAAUGCAAUGAUUCAGAGACACUUCUGAAUGACUUACAAGACAAGUAAAGACACUUCAAAAGGUUUUAUGCAAGAAAAACAUAAGUAAAAUUGUGAUUGGAAAUACUGCGAGGCAGAGACAAUUUGAACUUUGCAGUUGAAAUCUGAUAAUUGACAAAGUUUGAAAUGAAAUUGGGCCCAGUAUUUUUAGGUCCAAAAACAGGGUAUAACAGCUGCCCCUAUUUAAGUUUCUUUGUCUGGAGAGUCAAGAGACGGAGUCUUUGGCUUGACAGGACGAAGAUACUUAAAUAUUAGCAUUUGCACUGUGUUUGGACGUAAAAAUACGCCUACCCAUUUUCAAAUAAUAUGCAUGCCAUGCAUCAUUUGGAUUAUGAAUGCAAGACCUCAUGGGGAUUGGAAUUAACAAAAUAUGUCGUAUCCAUUGCAGGAUUGGUAGACAUUGACAAAGAUAGUGAAUAGCAGAGUAACGGGAAACUAGAAACAAAUUGGACAGGUACAAGCUGUUCUUGGAUUCAAACUAGCCACUUGACCGGGGAUGAAACAAACAGACAACUGCGAGUUGUUCUUAUGGAUUCGAACUGGUCACUUCACAGGGGAUAGAGGUUACUGGACAAACAUGAGUUGUUCUUAUGAAUUCGAACUGGUGACUCACUUGGGGAUAUUGGAAAGUGCGAGUUGUUCUUACGGAUUCGAACUGGUGACUCGACUGAAAGCAAGGCAAAUAGACAGGUGCGAGCUUGUUCUUGGAUGCGAACUGGUUACUCCACCGGACAGAAACAGAUAGACAGGUACAAGCUGCUCUUGGAUUGAGCUAGUCACUUGACCAAACGGAAACAUAUAGACAGGUACAAGCUGCUCUUGGAUUGAGCUGGGCACUCGACCGAUAACAUUGAAAAGUAAAAGGGUACAAGUCGUUCUUGGAUGCGAACUAGUAACUUGACCAAACAGAAACACAUUCACUGGGGAUUGGUUUGUUGACAAAAUAUAGAUUGAGGUUGACUUGACGUCGAUUUGAAUUGAAAGGCAGAAAUUGACCGAUAUUAUUGGCUCACAAGGUUUUGACAGAGAACCUGACAUGAGUAUUGAAUUGAGACUGAUGUUGACAUUGGAAAUGCAAUAUGCAUGGAUGAUAUAACAAUUUCAUUAAAUGCAUGGGCACGUAAUAUGCAUGAUUAUGCAUGUAUGAAUGCUUGUAAUGCAUGACCGUUGGCAUUUUGUAGGCACGACUUCACGGGGAAGACAAGACAUUAGAGUAUUGGGCACGUAGUGGCUCGUGCUAUAUUACACAUUCUUGGAAAUCCUCUUUGGGGAUGACGUCGUUGGGAGACGUAUCGGAACCAUGGCUGAGGGCAGGUAGCUAUGCAUCUUGCUGGGGAUAGAAUCUUGGAAGACCCGACUGGGGAAAACGCCGUUGUGCUGGGCAUUUCAGCGCUGGGUAUGUUGUAGACAUUGCAUCUGUGGUCAAUGCUUUUGCAUGUUAUAUUCUCAUUUUCAUUCAUCAUUUUUUGCAUCCCAUUUUUGCCUGGAUCGCCCUUUCGGGUUUUCGGUCCACCGGGGAAAUAAAUUCUUUUCAAUGCCCCAUUUUUGCCUGAACUGCCCUUUCGGGUUGUCAAUCCAGCGGGGUGCUCAUUUUUGCCUAAGCCGCCCUUUCGGGUUUUCAACUUAGCGAGCUCAUUUAUUUUCAUGCAUUUUCAUUCUGUUUUUUCAUUCUUGCCAUUGACCACAGAUUAUCUUGGAGGAGAACCUGCUGGUAACAUAUAUUGAAAUAGACACCAACAUACUCUCGCUCAUGCAUGUUUCAUUUGAAUGUACCCUGUUGCUCAGGUUUGCUUUUCAAAAUAGACAAAAGGUUUUCAAUUUUCAAAAUGUUUGUUUCAAGUAUUGUCAUUAUCAAGAAAGAAAAUGUUUUGUAUAUAGCUUUGAAAGUAGAAGAAAAUAGAAUUUCAAACAAAAGCACAAGCUCAAAUUGAUGUAUAAGAGUGGUGGUCAGCCAAAGGCGUGACUCCACGGAUUCACAAAGCUUGGAAAAUGGUAAUUUUAUUGGUUGGUGAUACAUUGAACACAGUAAUCAUGACAUUUCCUAGAAACUUUGAAUUCGCAAGCAUAGGAGCUUUUGAUGAAGAUGGUCAUUAACAGCUGCAGAUGCCCCAAGGGGACGGUGGUUAGCCAGAUAUAGUUACUUGCCUUUUGCUUCAAUCUCAUUUUUGCAUGAACCGCCCUUCCGGGUUUUCGGCUCAUCGAGACGCUCAUUCUUGCCUGAUUUGCGUACAAUCUCAGCGAGCUUUUCAUGUUUGUUUUUUUUGUCCCUUAUUUUUGCCUGGACCGCCCUUUCGGGUUUUCGAUCCACCGGGAAGCGCAUUUUUGCCUAGGCCGCCCUUUCGGGUUUUCGACCUACCACGCUGUUCUUUUCAUAUUUCUAGGCAAAGUAUUUCUUGACUAUAUCGGCAUUCACUGGAUUUGGAAGUUCUACACCAUCCAUGUGUGUAAGGAUUAAAGCACCACCGGAGAAGGCCUUCUUGACAACAUAAGGACCUUCAUAGUUAGGCGUCCACUUGCCCCUUGGGUCGAGUUGCUGGCUUAUCCUCCUUUUCAAUACAAGUUCCCCUACCUUGAAUUCUCGAGGAUGGACUUUCUUGUCAAAGGCAGUCUUCAUUCUUGCUUGAUAUGACUGUCCACGAGCCAUGGCAUCCAUACGUUUUUCCUCAAUCAAAUUCAACUGAUCAUACCGGCUUUGGCACCAUUCAGCCUCGGAUAACUUUGCUUCCAUGAUCACACGGAGAGAUGGGAUCUCCACUUCCAAAGGAAGAACUGCUUCCAUACCAUAUACAAGAGAGAAAGGAGUUGCCCCGGUUGAACUGCGCACGGUAGUGCGGUAGCCAUGCAGAGCAUAGGGUAACAUCUCAUGCCAGUCCUUGUAAGUAGUUACCAUCUUCUGGACGAUUCUCUUGAUAUUCUUGUUGGCGGCCUCAACUGCACCAUUCAUCUGAGGUCUAUAAGGAGAAGAGUUAUGAUGCUCAAUUUUGAAUUCUUCACAAAGAGCUUGCACCACAUUGUUGUUCAGGUUGGUACCGUUGUCGGUAAUAAUCUUGCUAGGAACACCAUAUCGACAGAUGAUGUUGUUCUUGAUGAACUUAGCUACCACUUGCUUGGUCACAUUGGUAUAAGAUGCUGCUUCAACCCAUUUGGUAAAGUAGUCAAUUGCCACUAAGAUGAAACGGUGACCAUUUGAAGCUUUCGGUUCAAUUCUUCCAAUCAUGUCGAUGCCCCACAUUGAGAACGGCCACGGGGAUGACAUAACAUUGAGAGCGUGCGGAGGCACAUGAAUCUUAUCAGCAUAGAUUUGACAUUUGUGGCAUUUUCUGGCGUACUGGUAGCAAUCAUGCUCCAUGGCCAUCCAGUAGUAACCUGCUCGUAGCAACUUUCUUGACAUAGUAUGUCCUGUAGCAUGGGUCCCGAAGGUACCGUCAUGUACAUCAUGCAUUAACUGCUCUGCUUCAUGUUCAUCAACACAUCUUAAUAAUACCAUGUCAUAGUUCCUCUUGUACAGAAUAUCUCCGUCUAACAGGAAUCUACUGGCCAAUCUUCUCAGGGUCUUCUUAUCUUGUUUGGAAGCACCCGACGGAUACUCACGGCUCAGCAAGAACUGUUUGAUGUCGUAGUACCAGGGUCUAUAGUCAACCACAUUCUCACCAGCCUGAUCGAUCACAUCCCCAAUAGCAAACACAUGCGAAGGUCUUUCAAGGCGUUGCACUUUGAUUAAUGGCACAUCAUUCCAAUGGUUUACUCGAAACAUGGAGGAUAGAGUAGCAAGAGCAUCAGCCAUUUGGUUCUCAUCACGAGGAAUAUGGUGCAGCUCAACCUUUGUAAAAUAUGUCAGCAAACGUCUCGCAUAAUCACGAUAAGGAAUCAAAUUAGCAUGGUGGGUCUCCCAUUCACCCUUUAUCUGAUUGAUGACGAGCGCAGAAUCUCCAUAGAUGUCGAGGUGUUUGAUUCUCAUGUCAAUUGCUUCCUCGAUCCCAAAGAUACAUGCUUCAUACUCCGCCAUAUUGUUGGUACAUUCGAACAAGAUUCUGGCGGUAAAAGGAAUGUGAUGCCCCUGCGGGGAUACAAUGACUGCCCCAAUUCCCUUGCCAUAAGCAUUGACAGCACCGUCAAAGACUAAACCCCACUUGCUAUUGGGAUCUGGACCUUCAUUAAUCAACGGUUCUUCGCAGUCUUUGGAUUUCAAAUACAUGAUCUCUUCAUCAGGGAAGUCGAAUUCAAUUGGUUGGUAAUCGUCAAGAGGUUGAUAAGCAAGGUGAUCGGCAAGAAUGCUGCCUUUGAUUGCCUUUUGAGUUUUGAACACAAUAUCAUAUUCAGACAAAAGCAUCUGCCAGCGUGCGAUCUUCCCAGUAACGGCCGCUUUCUCAAAGAUAUACUUUAUCGGGUCCAUUCUGGAUAUCAGCCAAGUCGUAUGAUUCACCAAAUAAUGACGCAGGCGUUUGGCAGCCCAAGCUAGAGCACAACAAGUCUUUUCAAGCAUUGUAUACCGAGUUUCACAAUCGGUGAACUUCUUGCUUAAAUAGUAGAUAGCAUGCUCUUUCUUUCCGGUUUCAUCUUGUUGACCAAGCACGCAUCCCAUGGAUUCAUCAAAUACUGCUAAAUACAUGAUCAAAGGCCUUCCUUCCACGGGUGGGACAAGGAUAGGUGGUUCCAGCAGGUAAUUCUUGAUGCUAUCAAAAGCUUCUUGGCAUUCAUCAUUCCAUACAACAGGCUGGUUCUUUCUAAGUAGCUUGAAGAUCGGCCCGCAGGUUGCAGUCAUAUGAGAUAUGAAUCGGGAGAUGUAAUUCAAACGUCCCAAGAAACCUCUGACUUGCUUCUCUGUCCGUGGAGCUGGCAUUUCUCGGAUGGCCCGGACUUUAUCAGGGUCGACUUCAAUGCCCUUUUGGCUGACAAUGAAGCCUAAUAACUUUCCGGACCUGACACCGAAUGUACAUUUGUUGGGAUUCAAUCGCAGCUGGUAUUUUCUCAACCUUUCAAACAUCUUUGUUAAAUAUUCAACAUGCUGCUCCUCAUCUGCUGACUUCACAAUCAUGUCAUCCACAUAUACCUCAACUUCUUUGUGAAUCAUGUCAUGAAACAGAGUGGUCAUUCCCCUUUGGUAGGUAGCACCAGCAUUGAUUAGGCCGAACGGCAUCACCUUGUAGCAGAAAGUACCCCAUGGAGUGAUAAAAGAUGUCUUUUCUCUAUCUUCAGGAGACAUCUUGAUUUGAUUAUAACCGGAAAAACCGUCCAUGAAGGAGAACACCUUAGAUUGAGCAGUAUUAUCAACAAGCACAUCAAUAUGAGGUAAUGGAAAGUUGUCUUUUGGACUGGCCUUGUUCAGGUCUCUGAAGUCAACACACAUCCGGACUUUACCAUCCUUCUUUGGCACGGGCACAAUAUUGGCAACCCAUUCGGGAUACUCAACUGUCAUGAGGAAACCCGCAUCAAUCUGCUUUUGAACUUCAUUCUUGAUCUUGAGAGCCAUAUCAGGAUGAGUCCUUCUCAAUUUCUGCCUGACGGGAGGACAUUCAGGCUUGGUAGGGAUCCGAUGCUCCACGAUCAUAGGGUCUAGACCUGGCAUAUCUUCAUAGGACCAUGCAAAAAUAUCCGGAUAUUCCCGGAGGAGUUGGAUAAUCUUCUGCUUAACCCCUUCCUCUAGAGUAGCACCAAUCUUGAUUUCUUGCUUAUUUUCCUCGGUACCUAUGUUGAUAAGCUCAAUUUCUUCCUGGUGAGGCUGAAUGGCUUUCUUUUCUUGCUCAAGUAACCGAGUAAUCUCAUAUGGUAUACCAUCACCUUCCUCAUCUUCGGCUUCAUACACAGGGAAUUCAAAAUUUGGAGGAACCGUAGGAUUACUGUGUUCAACGGGUUUAUUAUGGUUCAACCUGCAUAUAAUGAUUGGAUGAUUUUAGAAAGAGUUUUUUUUUUUUCAUGCAGAUUUUUGAAAUUAAUAAGAAAAUACAGACAUUUUGGUUUUUUCUGGCAUUACCAUUGUUUCCAAGGGAAAAAGCACUAAAAAAAAAAAAUAGUCGUGGAAGAAACGACAAAAUUUUAUUAAUCAACGGCAAUGCCGAAACAAACAUGCCCUUACAGAAAAUAUCACUCUCGCUUUGGGCAGAGCGAGAGGAUUGUUAUUUUUGAAAACAAAGCAUUAAAGCAACAAGACACAUUACUCAGAAACAUGCAUUAUUGAAGGAAUGUCAAUGGCAUCCCAAUCUCUCGCAAUGCCUCCUGGUGUAACAAAUACAGGCCUGAGACCAGAUCCAGUGGCUUCUUCAGAGAUAGCAUUAACAAACCCAGCACUGUGGAAGACUCCCGAGGAAACUCUUGAUGACGGGGAGAACCCGAGACCUUCUUUACGCUUGUUCUCACAGAGCUGUAUCACCUUGCCCCAGCCGGCAGUCUGACCUUCUUGAAUGGCUCUCUGAGCAUCCUUCAAUGAAGCCAUAGCAGCCCCAGCUUCCUUAGACUCUGCACCUUCAAUGGUCAAACCUUGGAAAGCAGUUCCUUCAGCAGACCCUGCUUCAAUACAAGAAAAAGAAGACAAUUGGCUGACUAAGUAUGCUUCUUCACCAUGGAUUGUAACGAGUUUUCCAUUCUUCACAAAUUUCAACUUCUGAUGUAAGGUGGAAGUAACUGCACCUGCAUCGUGUAUCCACGGUCUUCCCAGCAGGCAACUGUAGGAUGCAUUAAUGUCCAUCACUUGGAAGGUAACCAAGAAAUUCUCAGGGCCAAUGGUUAUCGGCAAGUCUAUCUCUCCCAGCACAUUCUUUCGAGAUCCAUCAAAAGCUUUGACCAAGAAAGUACUUCUUCUCAACGGGGUCCCACGGUAGCUCAACUGAUCUAGAGUUGUCUUGGGCAUUACAUUGAGAGAGGAACCGGUAUCUACCAACACAUUUGAUAUCAUGUCUGAUUUACAGUUCACCGAGAUGUGCAAAGCCAGAUUGUGACUCUUUCCCACUUCCGGCAGCUCUUCUUCACUAAACCAGAGAUUGUUACAAGCAGUAAUAUUUCCCACUAUGCCACCGAAACGAUCUACCGUAACUUCGUGGUCAACAUAUGCCUGCUCCAGCACUUUCAACAAGGUAUUCCUGUGAGCCUCGGAGCUCAAGAGCAAUGACAAUACAGAUAUCUUCGAAGGAGUCUGCAGCAACUGAUCAACGAUCUUGUAGUCGCUCCUCUUUAUUAUCCUCAAAAUCUCAUCUAAAUUUGAAUCCUCUAUAGAUUUGCCUGACUGGUUCACAUCUGUAGCAAUGGGUGAAACAACGGUUGGAGUUGCUUCUUCAACUGGCGGAAUGGUCGGUGUAGCCACUUUCUUCUGAAAUAAUGGCGGACGAACCUUCCCGCUUCUCAGCGCUGCAGAAGUCCCUUCGGCAAUAUUGCUUACUGUGGCAAAGGAGGCUAGAGGCACCUCUACUCCAUUUUCUAUCAUAGUAGCAUUGUACUUGUAUGGAACAGCCUUAUCCGAAACAUAAGGAAUUGGUCCUGGCAACCUUAUCACCAAAGGCUCAGCAUUCUUCUUCAAAGGUGUACUCUUGACAGGCGGAUCGUGAAAAACUGGCACGACCACGCAAACAUCACUGACAGUCAGAAGAUUAUCAUCCAUCAAGCUUUGGAUGUCGUCUCGAACAGCAUGGCAACCUAAAGGAUCACGGAGGCAUCCUAGACACUUGGCAUGCUCAUGGCUGAACAGGGAAGCUUUGCACAGCUUGAUGUGCAGAGGCACCAGAGGAGUUGCGACGUUGCGGACAUCAAGUCUAGGAGCUUCCUCACACACUUCGAUCAUAUUCACAGCGGCAUGAUUUGGUAGCGGAUUGUCAAGGACAUGUGGAACAUUAUUCUCAAAAGUCAGCUUCCCUUGAUCGAUGAGCUUCUUCACGAUAUACUUCAAAGCAUAACACCCCUCGACAUCAUGACCUAGGGCACCUUGAUGAAAGUCACAUUUGAGAUCAGACCUGAACCUUGGAGGCAACGGAUCAGGUGGAGGCUUGCCCUGUCUAGUUGUACAAUGCCCUCUCUGGAGUAAAGUUGGAAGCAACUCAGCAUAUAACAUCGGUAUCGGAGGGAAAGUAGGCCUAGCUUGCUGAUUUUGUUGUUGUUGUUGAACCGGCAUCUGUUGUUUCAUCUGUUGGGCAAUCGCAUUGACGGGCACUUGAGGCUGGCCCGGCGGCAAAGGGUACUGAUGAUAAAACGGUGGGAAGAACGGAUGCUGAGAAUACGGCAUAUAUGGGUAUGACGGAGGCAUUUGAGCUGCAUUGAUAGGAGCAACAGUAGCCAUUGAUUGACCUGCUCCAGCUGACACCAUCCCCACUUCAGUUUCUUUCUUCUUGUGGUGUCCAUUACCAUACCUCUUCGACGCACUUGCAGAAGAUUCAGCUUUCUCAAACACAAUAAUUCCAUCCCUGACGGCUUCCUCAAGACGGGUUCCCAUAGUGACCAUCUCCGAAAAGUUGUUCGGGGCAGCGAUGAUCAUCCUCUCAACAUAAUCUUUCUUCAACGUCUUUAAGAACGUCUGGGUCAUUUCUUCUUCAUCUAAAGCAGGGGUGAUACGGGCAGCCGCCCCUCUCCACCUUUGCGCAUAUUCACGGAAGCUUUCCUCCUUCUUCUGAGAUAGGGACCUGAGAAACUCCCUAUUUGGCUUCAGUCGAGUGUUAAACCCGUAGUGGCUCUUGAAAGCGGUGGCUAACUCAUCAAAGGUAUGGAUGUCAUUCUUACUCAAACUAGUAUACCACUCUGCGGCAUCCUCCAUCAGACUAUCCUGAAAACAGUGGAUCAUAAGGGAAUCAUUGUCUUUGUAAUUGCCCAUCUUCCGGACGUAUUUGAUGAUGUGAUUUUGAGGACAAGUUAGCCCGUUGUACCGGUCGAAGUCCGGAAUCUUGAACUUUUUAGGAACAUCCACUUUUGACACUAAGCAAAGGUCUUGAGUUUUGACAGAGUCUGCAUUCCCUCGAUUGGCCUGGAUCUCGUGACGGAGUUCUUUAGCAAGUUCCUCCAUCAUCUCUUCCAUAGUCUUGGUUACGGGGAUGCUUCUGUGCUGUGUGUUGAUGUUAAUACUUUGAGGCAGAGUAUGUAUCAGUGACUCAGUGACAGCAGCUGUUGUUUGUGGCAAAGUAGCAUUGAUAGAGGCAGCAUUUGUUGCAGGGAUCAGAACAUUGUUAGCAGUGCCCGAGGUGCUUGCUGUAGCAACGGGAGUGAAGAACGGUGGAAGCCCAUACGGAAACCCUACUGGCAUAGUAAAGCGGUUGUCCGCAGAAGUGGUAGGGAGCACGCUUGUAGUCACCUGUGCAGCUGUGGUUGUAGGGAUAGCUGUAGCUGAUUGCUCUUGAGCAGCUAGUAGAGCAGUCAUGACGUCAUUAGCUUUAGCCAAUUCCUCCUUUAGAGAGGCUAACUCGGUGCGAAGCUGAGCGUUCUCUUCUUCCAUAGCCCUUUUCUUUCUUCUGUAUUCUCUGGUUCGAUCAAUUCUAUCUGGUUCGUAAACUCUCUGAGCACGAGCCACUUUUCACACUGCGGCAGAGGAACCAGGAGAUAGUGAGCACUUGGAAGCCUUUGUGACCAAUGCAUGAUGCAUAUGAUGCAUGAUAUGCAAAUGCGAAUGCAAAAGACUUAUUUUUUCAUCGAAGGAUUUUAAAACAAAUUAGAAAUCUUGCAAAUAAUCAAAACUACAUAGUAUCUUUAACAGGAAGACUUUGAAAUUUCAACAAGAUGAACACAUGAAGCUCUCAAGCAUAGGAAGUAGUCGGAGGAUCAUCGGACUCGGAAUCUGAAUCACAGUAUCUGUCAAAGAAAUCUCGUCGUCCUCGAGCUCUCUUGGAAUCCCUCAUAAGCAGCUCGUCUUUCUCUUCCAAUUCCCUCCGGGCCUUAGCUAGCUCUUUCUUCAACAUUAGAUUCUCAUGAGUCUUCUGCUCAUCUCUACCAUCCAAAGUCAUGAUUAGAUUUUCGGCUUGAUUGUACCGAGCUUUCCACACUUGCUUCUCACGACUCUCCAUGGCUAGAUGCUCCUGAUACAUAUCCUGAGUCGCAGGGAGCAAAGGUAGAGGCAUAGAUGGAGUGGAUGAAGAUACGUAUCUCAUAGCUGGAUAAGGCAUACCAAUCUCCUCAGCUCGAUCUAUCACCCACUGAGUAUAGGCCUCAUGAGCGACACCGGAUCUCACACCUAGAUGCUUCACACUCUUCCUUCGAACCUUGGACCAAGCAUCCAUGAAAGCUUUCCUUUGUCCGGUAGGAGCAUUCGCAUAGAAGAAGAACUCUGGAGAUGUAGCAAGAUUGAUGGGCUUCGACUUCAUAGGAAAACCAAACUGUCUCAUAGCAAGCUCGGGAUUGUAGUUGAUUCCUCCACGAGUACCAAGAAGAGGUACAUUGAGAAAGUCUCCACAACCCAUGAUAAUCUCCUUCACCUGAGCGGCCGGAGCGAGCCAGACGACCUCGUCAGGAGUGAGGGCCAUAAUCCGCUGCGAGUAGGACCAAUUCUCCGAGUUGUCAUGGAAGGAACUCGGAAGGUGCGAAAUAAACCACCUAUACAAAAGAGAUGUGCAGCAAAGAAUAUACCCACGGCCCUUGAGAGUCCUGUCAUGAAUGGCGUGGUAGGUAUCUGCUAGCAAAGUAGGGACCGGGUUCUUGGAAUGAAAGAUCUCGAUAGCAUUCAUGUCCACGAAGUUGUCGAGGUUCGGGAAGAGAAUGAGCCCGUAGAUAAGCAAAGCAAGAAUAGCCUCGAGUGUGUCCUGACGAGUAGUACCGAGAUUGGCCUGAUCAAGAAGAUACUUCGAAGUGAACCCCCGGAUGUGAGACUUGGUGAUAAGAUGGUUGGAGACGUCGGAAGUCUUGAGGUAGAGAUCCUUAGCAAUAACCAGAGGAGUAAGAGGAGUUCCGGGACCGGUGAAAGGUGUCUUCUCGGCUAUAGGUAAACCCACUAGAUUGGAGUAAGCCUCGAGAGUAGGAACCAACUGGAAGUCCGGGAAAGUGAAGCAACGAAAGCUCGGAUCAUAAAAUUGCACUAGAGUGUGCACUAGCUUCUCGUCCACAUCGGUUCGGAGCAAAGUAAGCAAUCCCCCAUACCGGAGUCGGAACCCUGUUUGACUCUUGACCUUGAGUGCCAACUCUCUCAAACUAACCAAAUCCACUUCCUUGAACUUGUAGCACUUAGUCUUCUUCAUACCUGUGAUUAUUUACAAAAAUUUCCAUUUGUUUAAACCCUUCGAUGAAUGCAUGAAAAAUGUUUAUGCAUGAAUGCAUGUAUGCAUGAUUGUGUUGUUUAGUUAUAAUGUGGGUUGAGAUUCAAAGUAACGGAUGGACAUGGCGUCCGGUGAACUAAGGCUUUGGAUAGUAGUAACCAAGGUUCUAACACAGUUCCCAAACUGCAACCUCUCUCACAUAUAUCAUGGUAGUACAGGACGACACCCGUUCCAUGAUUAUUUGUGAGAAGGUCUAGCUUGAGUGUAGUAUCGCGUGACGACUAAAGUUUGAGACAACACUCAAUUUAGCCACCGCACUACGUCCUAAAAAGGCUAGGAUGGGUUUGGUAACUACGGUUCAUAGCUUCGUCGAACAAUUGAAAGUGAAGUGCCUAAGCAUGACAACACACGCCGACAAUAUCACCUUCAAAAUGCCUCAGCUAUGUGAGAUUGAUCGCAUAAUCCAAUACACGAGGCAACCCCCGGAUCGAAUUGUCGAUUAUAUCUCUACCUAAACAUAAGUUCACUCAGCCCGGGUAUAGGACUUUUGAUAUCCUCACCCCACACGUCAAAUGAAAGUAAACAAGUAUUCACAUAUAUAAGCAAUAAAACAAAGCGUAAAUAUAAACUAAGGAAAACUAGGCGUGACCCGCUAAAAGAAAUCCCCAGUGAAGUCGCCAUUUCUGUUAUCAUGGUUUUUGGGUGCCAAGCCAUUAAUUGGACUUGAACCUUUCGACCGUUGAUAUCUCUCUUUUUUCUUGGGAAGGGAAAAAUUGAGAAAAAAACCCUUAGAUUCUAAGUUCGGGGGUCGGUUUUACUACGGGAAGGUGUUAGGCACCCGGAGUAACUAUAGUCCUCUAUAGAGUCGUUUUCCUAAGUCUAUAUUCACGCUUAUUUUUACUUACUUUUGAAAAUGGGAGGUUUAUUUAGUUAAGAAUGGGGGUGAGAAGAAGUAGAAUUUUGAUUUUAUUUCGGCUUGGAUGAGUUUUGACUCAUUGCCUACGUACCCUUUUAAGGGAUCAAAACCGUUCGUAGUUCUUGCUAAAAAACUUGUUUUUGUUCUAAUUGUUUGAUUUUAAGUUUUGAAAAUGGUUUUGAAGAAGGAGAUUGGGAGGCUUCAUGAGCAUUAGAUUUAGCAAAAAAGUGAGGUUUGAUUAGUGAUUAGAAAGAAAGUCUAAAUGGUUAAGAUGAAUUGAAUUUUCCUUAAGAAAAAGAAAAGAAAAAAAAUGAAGUGUUGACUUCAUAUUUAUUAUGAAAUUUUUUGAAGUGAAGUUCAAUUGUUUUUUUGGAAAAAGAUGGAUUUUCUCUAAGUGUUUAAAACCUAAACGCUUAUUUAACCAUACAAUCCUAUGCAUACAUCUAAGGUGAGUGUGUGCGUGUCGGUGCGCCAUAGUGUCCAUAGUCCAUAUUACAACAUUUCCUAAAUACAUUCUAUGGCCUCUUUGCCAAGCUACAAACCAAUGAUAACAAAUUACAUCACUAAAUGAAUCAAAACUUGCAAAAAAAAAUAAAUGCUAGACUAAAGAGGGUGGAGAGUGGAGAGGGUGGUGGAAUGCUUAUGAAAUGUAUGGCACAUGAGAUGAAAUGGUUAGUAAUCAUAAAGCACAAAAUAGUAGGAAAUAAUCAAAAGGAAAUGUAUAAGAAUGGCAAAGGAAAGGUAAUAAAGUGGCAAUAAACCUAAAACUUUUGAUGUGAUACCUAAAGGUGCUUGUAACCCAUAAUCAUCACAUCAUGGCAAUUUUGAAAGAAAUUUUGUUUCAAGCCAUGACAUGAAAUUAGUGGAAGUACAUGCAAGCAAAGUAUCACACCAAACAUAAAGAAAUUUACCACUUUAUUCCUAAAAAUAAACGCUUAUUACUUGUAAAACAAGAAAUCCAUAAAAUCACAUCCAAACACAGCAAAAAUAAACACAAUUCCAGAGGCAUAUUCAUCACCAUAUUAGGCAUCAUUUAUCCAUGUCAUACUAUCAAAAUGUCAAGAACAAAACAUAGCAAAAUGCAUACAAAAAACAUAAAAACACAUGGAAUUAGUUCACACCAUUUUAACAUCUUUUUUACAUGCAAAGAUACCCUAAAAAUACCAAGAAUAUAUCAAGAAACCACUAGGAUUUUUUUAGAAAUUUUGUAAACAAAAAUGAGCAGGCCACAGGUGCAGAUAGCAAAGAAAAUGGUGUAAAUAGCAUACAAAAGCAAGCAAAAAAAACGUAAAACCUUAAGCCCAAACCAAAACCCAAUACAGACUGGGCCUGGAUCAUCCAAAGGCCUUAGAGGCGUUGGAUUGAUCCAAACCUAGAUCUGACGGUUCAAAACACGCAGCGCAUGGUAACACAGAUCAAACACGUGGGAGCAAACGCAUCACAGCCAUUCAAAAGAGAAACCCUAGAUCCUACGGUCCAAAAAGGAAACCAAAGUGAACCGGACCGGUCCAGGUGUCUAUAUAAACGUAAGGACACCGGUCCAGCUCACUUUGCUCACCUCUUUCUCUCUCUAAGCUCUUCUCUCCUCUCAGUCCUCUCUCUUCUCUCCAGAAAACCACCACCGGAGGUGAUGAAGCUACGGCGGAGACCUUGAAGGUCCGCCGGAAACUUCAUCUUCUCCGGCGAGACUUAUGAACUUCCGGUGACCUAAAUUUCCAGAUUUCAAAGAUUCUUACUCCUUUUGAUUCGUCCUUUAACCCUAAACACGAAUCCAGCAACUAUUUUUUCAAAUACGGUUCGAAACGACGUAGAUCUUGAAGGAACUUUGUACGGUUUUGAAAUGAUUUUUGAUUUUUGAACAAAAACGUUUAGAUUCUUACAUCGUUUCGUUGUUUGAUUGAUUUUCUGGUAUGCGUUCUUGCUUUCAAAACUUAGAUCCUUAUGGAUCUAGGUUUUGUGUUUACGGUUACGGCUUUGGCUUUGAAUUCUGGAAAUCUUUGGAUUCGGUUUGUUUUUUACUUCACUGAUUCAUGCUUUUUUUUUAAAGAAAAUGAUGUUGAAGUUAUGCUUUUACCUGUGAUUUCAAUUGGAGGUGCUGAUGAAGAUUUCUUCGGAAAACUUCAGAUGCGUUUCUAUUGAUUCUUGCUGCUUUGAACCGAAAAUAAAUCGGUGUUCUUCUUUCUCACUGAUUCUUCGUGAUUUUGGCUGGAAACUUCAUCUUCUUUCUCUGCUUCUUUCUCACUGAUUCUUCUUUGUGAUCGGUGCUGGAGUUUGCUGCUGCUGCAGCGAGCUCGUGCCUUGAAUUGCAAAGAAGAUGAUUCGAUGAUGAUGAUUCCUUAGGAAUCUCUGAGAAUCAAUGGAAAAUCCAAUGAAUUUUGAUGAUUUUUUGGUCUUCUGGAAAUCUAGGGUUUGGAUUUUGUUCUUGCUUGUUCUUGGAGAAUUUCUGUUUUUGAUCUGUAACUGAAUGGAGAGAGAAAAGAAAUCUGUUUGUGAUGAAUUUCUGACUUUUUGACUGUGCAUUGAAUGCGCCUUUUAUAGGCUGCCAUGUGUGCAUUGGGACCAAUAGGAAAUCGACAUGUGGCAUUGGACUUAAAAUGGACUUUGGACCUUUCUGCAAUUUUGUAAAAUAUGGGACUGGACUGCAAUUUUAAAAACAGAACUAAAAAAAAUAAAAAAAUAAAAAUUGGACAGUUUGGACUUAAAUGCAAUUUUAAAAAGUUGAAGGAUUAAAAUGCAAAGUAAAAAUAAAAAAUGAAUUAAAAUAUGUAAUUUGACUAAACGUAAAGCGAAAUAGAAAUAAAAAUAAAAUCGACAAAACGGACUAAAACGAACCAAUGGCCUAAAUGAGGUACUUCAAAGUAACCUCCCUAUGUCAAAAUUUUGUGUGAAAUGACCAAAAUGCCCCUAGGGCUAAAACGACCUAAACAGAUUCAAAUUGAUCUGACACUGACUCAGACGCAAAUUUAAAAUGAACUUAAUCAAGAUUUACUAAUGAAAAUGCAAAAACAAUCUGAAAAGACUCAGAGACAGUCACAAGGAUGAAAAUGGGUCCCACUGCAGGAAAUGACCAAAAUACCCUUCUGUAUGACUUUUUGCAAAUUUUGAAAUAAACUGUAGAAAAAGCAAUGCAAUGAUUCAGAGACACUUCUGAAUGACUUACAAGACAAGUAAAGACACUUCAAAAGGUUUUAUGCAAGAAAAACAUAAGUAAAAUUGUGAUUGGAAAUACUGCGAGGCAGAGACAAUUUGAACUUUGCAGUUGAAAUCUGAUAAUUGACAAAGUUUGAAAUGAAAUUGGGCCCAGUAUUUUUAGGUCCAAAAACAGGGUAUAACAGGGAGGAAUUAUUGAGAUGCUGAAAGAAGCUCAGAUCUUCACAGAUGAACAGUUGGGAACUGUUAGAGGGAAGAUUAUCAAUGGUGAGACUCUAAGGGCUAUGCAUCUGAUUAAAGCAAAAGAUGUGAAGAAGAGUCCUACUGACUUGAAACCUUCUGAUGCCAAAUCAGAUCUUAUCCCAGACUUUCCUCCCAUCUGUAAACAAGAUCCCUUGGAGGUUCAAAGGGCAUAUAUCAUGGAUCACUACAAAUCCUUUAACCAGAAAAUCAGCUUGAAGGAUGUUCCUGACCAAAUGUAUGGUGGUGAGCUGCCUGUGGCCAAAAGUAGAAAAUCUAAGAAGAAGCAGAUCACCAAGGAAGAAUACCUUGCUGAAAAUGCUACUGAGGUGGGUGCUCAGAAGCAUAAGAAAGCUAAGAAGGUAAAAUCUGCUAUGUCCACCAUUCUUGAGGAAGUGGAGGAUUUGGAAGAUGUCCCUCUUAUCAGAAAAAGGACAAGGAGUACUCAAGAAACAGCAGAACAGCCUGCUUCUGAACAAGCUGGUUCAGAACAAGCUGCUUCUGAAAAGCCUCCAAGUCCCAAAAAUAAAAGAGAAGCUGCUCUUCAGACCAUCAAAAGGAAAAGGUCUAAUUUAACAAGAAAUCUGAAGACAGGUGAAGGAAGAAGGGCACAAAUGUUGGAAGAACUGGAAGAGAACUGGGAUGAAGACUCAAGCCCUAAGAAAGCAAAAAGGACUGCAACUUCUGAGCCCAUAGUCAUGCCCAGUUUCGAAAUGACUGAAGAAAUGGAGCAGUAUACUAGGGAGGUUGCUGCAUCCAAGAUAGCAGAAAAGAAAAGGAUGAAGAUUUUGUAUGAAAAAGAAAGGGAUGAACGUCUCAAGGCUGCAGGGUAUGUGCCUACUCCUGACAUUGCUGCUUUAGCAUCGGAGUUAGAAACUGUUAAGUAUGGAGCAACUCUGCUUUCUCAAGCCUUGAAGAAUAAGCAAGCUUCAGGAGCAACUUCAUCAGAACCAGCUUCAGAAGCUCCAGAAGCAGUUCAUCCAGAAGCUCAGUCUUCAGGUAAUCCAUCUAACGCUCCAACUAAUACUCAGAUUCCAUCUCUACCCUCUUCACCCUCUUCAUCAUCAACAGAAUCAGAUGACCAACCUCUUAGCCAACACAUAGACAAGCUUCUAAAAACCAAACCUACCAAACUAACAGAUUUAGGAACACUUGACUGGGAGCAAACUCAAAUAGAAUUUUCUAAGAAUAGAAUUAAACUUUGUGAGAAAUUCAAUUUGCCUCCUACUCAUCCACUCUAUCCAGAUAAUCCUGAACCUGUUAGUGUACAACAACCUCAACCCAACCCAGAACCUACAACAAACUCACCACAUAACUCAACCACACAAAAAGCCUCUGAAGUAGCUUCAGAUGCAACUACUUCAGAAACUCCCCAACACCAAGAAUACUCAACCCUUCACAACUUAGAAAAACAUCUAGGUGGUGAAAUGCAACCAACACCCACUAAGGCCUCUAAGACAGUUCCUGAAAAGACUGUCUUGGAAACCCAAACAGAAACCCAAACCAUCCCUGAGCAAACUGUUCAGGAGCAAACUGCCUCUGAACAAGUUGCUCCUGACCAAACAACUUCUGACCAACAUAUACCUUCUGACCAAACAACAGAACAACAACAACAACCAGAUUCACCCACUAUAAUAGACUUAACCUCUGACCAACCUUCCAUAUCAAAUACAACUCAAACCGAACCUUCACCCAUCCCUGACCAUAUCCUAGAGUCUGAGUAUAUAGAGGAACAACUGAUCAGACUCAGUGAUGAGAUUCAGGCACUGAUUCUUCGCAGAACAGUUCCUGUACCUCCUAUUCACUAUUAUGAUCAGUGGAUGGAUCUACAGAAAAGCUUUGAUGAGCUGCUGGAUCAACUUAGAACUAAAUGUGUGUCAUCUCACUCUGCUAUGCUGAAGAAGCUUUUGGAUGAUAUGCAUGAAGCAGCUAAGGAGAAAGAGCUGAAUUUUGUGCCUCUGCUGGACAUCACUCCUUUCUAUCCAGAAGAAGAGUACAUCACUAGGGCUGCUAGAAUUCAGGCUGGAUAUAAAAGAAGAAUGAGAGAAAAGGAUGAGCUACUUCAGAAGAAGGAUGAUCAGAUCAAGUAUCUCUUAGAACAGUUGUAUAAGCAAGCCCAACCUUAGUUGCACACCCAACUCUAGCUUGUUUUUUACUUUUGUUCUUAGUAGCUGUGUCUUUGUAUCUUAAUCUUUCUUUCUAUAUAUAUUAUCAUUGUUUCUGAAUCUUGUGCUUUUUCACCUUCAAUAUGUUUUACAAGCUUUAAUUCUGAUGAUAUUUACUGUUUUCAAUGCUGCUUGCUCUGAAAUACUAUCUUUAAAAGUUAUAUGUUUAUAUCUUGGAACAAAAUGUGUUUCACAAUGAACCUUAUUAAGUUUUGAUGAUAACAAGGUAUUAAAAAUUGUCAAUUGGUUAUUACUAAUAAUUGUUCAAGUGUACAGGACCAAAGGCUACUCAAGUUAUUUCAAUAGGUCUUGGAAGAACAAUGGAAAGAAAAAGAAAUUCUGAGCAUCUGAAGAAAACUGCUCCUGAAGCUAAACUGCUCCUGAAGAGAUGACGUCAUCAGAAGCAGAAAGCUGCUCCUGAAGCUAAACUGCUCCUGAAGAGAUGACGUCAUCAGAAGCAGAAAGUCAUCAGAAGCAGAAAGUCAUCAGAAGCAAAAGUUUUCAUCAGAAGCAAUAUUUUCACCAGAAGCUACAUUUGAUCCUUUAAUCAAACUGAAGAUUCAAAGUUGCUGAUUCUCAAUUCAGUCUUAUCAAAGAAGAACGAAGAAUUGAAAGGGAGGUAUCAACGGAUAUAUGGAUAGCACUGAGCACUUGUCUCUCAUUAAUAGAGUUGACAAAGUACAAGUGUACAACCACUACCUCCACUACUCUGUUUUCUGUCUACGCUACAAGACAAAACAACAGCCAUGCCUGCAGAAUUUGUACAACUCAAGAUGGGAAUGAAUUUGAAGUUUAUCCUUCAAAGGACUACACCCAAAUCAGGCAAAAGAUCACUGGUGGAUAAUCAAAGGAUUUCAAACGACUCUUUAGACGUGCUGAUUAUCUCAACGUCUCUUUCACGCCUCUAUAUAAAGGAGUGAAGACUUGAAGAUUCAAGAUAGAGAUACAUAAGUUCAAAAGCGCCAAAACUCUGUCAAUUUGAUUCUACAAAGCACACUGAAUUUCUGCACUGAUUUGAUACAUCUUAGAAAUUCAAAGUCUAGAGUCUUUUCUGUAUUGUAUUGUGAACACCACUGAUUGUAUAUCAAGUGUUCAAUUCAAACUCAAUUCUCUGUAUUUUUGUUUGAUUAGAAGUCUCUUGCCUGCGUGCUUGAGCAUUAGAAGUCUCUUGCUUAGUGCUUGAGCAUUGGAAGACUCUUGCGUGUGUGCUUGAGCAUUGUUUUGUGAAGUCUCAUACUUUGAAAGUAUUGAGCAGUUGUAAUCUUGUGAUUAUAGUGAAAUCUCCUUGGAAGUGCAAGGGGGACUGGACUACUUCCGUGUUGUGGAAGGAACCAGGAUAACUGCCUGUGUCUUUGUCUUUCUUUUCUCUGCUCUGUUCUUUUCCGCUGCAAUCUGACUCUGAUCAUUUCAUCAGAAGCAAUCAAACUGCUUCUGAAGUUUUAUCAGAAGAAGAAUCCUUUUUAUUAAGAGAAAAAGAAAACACAAUUCAACCCCCCCCUUCUUGUGUUUUUCACCUUCAGAUUUUGGAGGAUUUUUGGGGUUUAUAUGAAUUUUUUAAAUUCAAUCUAUGUUGUUAUAAUAUUCUUAAAAUUAAAGAUAUAAUAAACAUAAGCAUUAAUUUAUCAUUAUCUAAAAAAUUACUCUUUCUCAUUCAAUAGAAACUUUUUCAUAAAAUGUGAAAGAUUUCUGCAUUUCUCUAUAUAUUUCUUACCUCCAAAACUCUCACCUUCAAACUCUCAAACAAACCCUUAGUAUAUUGUUACAAAAUAUAAAAUAUACGGUAUAUAGUAAUAUGUGCUAAACACUUGAUGAUUUUUUUCUUUUUUGACUCAGUAAGAUCGUACAAAGUGUAAUCUCAUAACCCUUCAUGGGAAAUACAACAAUGUCAAGCUACACUUUUUAAGCACAACCCUAAAGGGUAAAUAACAAAAUAAACAAAAACUCAGCCACCACGUGUACAAUCUAGCGAACACAACUCGGAGUGCGAAACCAAAUUGCAAAAGAAAGUGGUUUUUGAGCGUUCCUCUCCGUAACAAUGGAAUGAGUGUUUCUUCGUGUCAAAAUUGAUAAUUGAAAUUGUCAGCCAGCACAAAAGCAAUUACACUUACCCACCACUCACUGAUGAAACCAACAACAAAUUUACGGCUAUGAAUCAACCUCAAAAAGCACUACAAGAAAGAAAAAAAAAGCUCUUUGCAACAGUUAAAUUGAGAUUCGCGACUAUUCAAACCGUCGCAAUUUUCCAUUUGCGACACUUUCCCAAUUGUUGAGGAAAAGGGGUCGCAAGAGCAUUUUGAUACAGCUCAAAAACCCGUCGUUACAACUGCCGCAGAGCGUAUUGCAAAGCACUCGUUUUAAUUUUGAAAAAGGGUGUUGCGAUCGUUUAGAACCGUCACAAUUCAUGAAAAAUAAACUUACAAAAAUAUUGCAGCUGUUUUGAACCGUCGUUAUUUGGUGAAUUUAAUUUGAAAAAAAAAACAGAUAUUUUAGAAUUAAUAAUAGAACAUCCGAGUUAUCAUAUUUUAAUGACAACUAAAUUAAUUCAUAGUAAAAAAAUAUGAGCUAAUCCAUAAACUAAAAUAUGAAUUACAUUCAAAUAAAAUGAUUCAAUAAAACAUAAACAAGUGAUAAUACAAUAAGGUUUCUUGAGCUAACAUAAAAAUUUAAUCAAUUAUGUAGAUGCUCCGUGGCAAGAAAAUUGUUUUGAUAAACUCAAUGUGAAUAGACUCCAAAAUUGUUAAAUAGUAGUUAUUAUUAAUAAGGUUUCAAUUUUCUAGAAAUUAAAACAAAAAUAUUGAAAGAAAAAUCAAGAAACAAGAAGGAUAAAGAAGAAAAUACUUAAGAUUUUCAUUUUGUUUGGAUUAUCUCUUUUUCCUUAUGAAAGAUGAAGUGACGAAGCAGAUCUGACCUGAGACUAGGGUUUAACGAAAUUGGGAACGGAUUUGAGAAAAGGAGAAAGGGGCAACACACAAUGAAGGAGGUUAGGUUCGAUCUAAGGGUUACAUCUUUUUCUUCGGUUGGAGGUUUGAAUUGGACAUGAGAGAAGAAAGAAGGGACGAUCGAUUCAAGGUUUAGAACAAAUGUGAGAGAAGAGAGAAGGCUUUUUGGGAUGGCCGAUUGGGGGUUUCUCUUUUGGGAUUUUUUCGAUGCUGGACGGAGGUUUUUUUUUUCUUUCAUAGAUCUAUAUGCUAAAAGUUUUUUAGCGGUGAGAUUUUUGGAUUUUGAAAAUUCAAGAGAGAAAAAAGGUUAGCGAGCUUUAUGCUAAAAGACCACCUUUAAUUUCACUCUAAAAUUUGCGACGGUUGGGAUUACCAGUCGCAAGACCCGCCUCAAAUAUACAAUUGUGACCCUUAUUAUUGAACUGUUGCAGUUCAUGUGUCGCAAAAUAACAAAUUUCUUGUAGGGAAGAUUGCAAAGUCGUCGCCCUUUUGAGCAUUACAGAACCAAAUCAACAAAUUUGGUCCUCUAUGAAUAGAUCAACGACGAAGCUAGAAAGUGCAAGAAGGAAUUGUUGCUUUUUAAGGUGGAUUUCGAGAAAGCCCAUGAUUAUAUUGAUUAGGGUUAUUUAGAUGAGGUGAUGAGAAGAUGAUGUUUUCGACGCUUUGGCGAAAGUGGAUUAGAGAAUGUAUUGGUACAACAACAACUUCGGUCUUGGUCAAUGGGUGUCCUACGAAUGAGUUUCUUAUGGAGAAGGGCUUGAGGCAAGGCAAUCCUCCCUAUCUCUCUCCUUUCUUGUUCCUCUUGGCAGCAGAGGGGUUCCAUGUUUUGAUGGAGUCUUUGACUGAGAAUGAUCCUUUUGUUGUUUCUCACUUUCAAUUUGUGGGUGAUACGCUGAUUUGUCUGGUUUGAAGGUGAGCUUUCAUAAGAGCCAAUUGGUUGGGGUAAAUGUGUUUGAUUCUUGAUUAACAGAGGCAGCUAUGGUUUUGAAUUUCCAAGUUGGUAGGUUAUCCUUUGUGUAUUUUGGGAUGCCAAUAGGUGGUGACGCGAUACAUUUGUCUUUUUGGCAACCGUUGAUUCUAAGAAUUAAUUCUAGAAGGUCGGGUUGAAAACCUAAGAACUUAUCUUUGGGUAGUCGUCUGGUUCUUUUAAAGUCUGUCAUGUCAUCUCUGCAUGUUUAUGUUCUUUCUUCCUUCAAGGCUCCCUCAGAUAUUGUCUCCUCUAUUGAAUCUAUUUUAAUUUUUUUUUUGGGGUGGGGGGUGCGGACCAUAGGAAAAUCUUUUGGGUUGAUUGGAACUAUGUUUGUUUGAGAAAAGAGGUUGGAGGUUUGGGGGUCAGCAGAAUUAGGGAGUUUUAACAUUGCUUGGUUGGGGGAAAUAGUGUUGGAAGUUGCUGAUGGAUAAAGAGAGUCUUUGGUUUAGGGUGUUGUUGGUGAGGUAUCGUGUUGAGGGAGGUAUUUUGAAGGAAGGGACGGUUCUAUCUGGUGGCGCGAGCUUGAUGUUGUGCAUAAUGGCUUAGUGAUCAUGUUAGCCGAAAUGUGGGGAAUGGCGGAGGUUCUAAGGUGCGGCAAUCUAUUGUGCACUUGAUUUGGUUUGUUAGUAUGUGAGAAAUUUGGAAAGAAAGAAAUAACAUGAUCUUUAAUGGUAAAGAAUGCUCAAUGUUGCAGCUUGUGGAAAGAUUAAGUCGAUUUCCUUUUUGUGGUUGAAGGCGGAGUUUAGUUCUUUCCUUUUCAAUUAUCAUAUUCGGUGGAUUAGUCCUCUCACAAAUGUUGGGCAUUAACUAGUUGUUAUUUCUUCUCUUAAUCUCUUGUUUUUUUAUCUUCUAACUUUUGUUGCGACUCUUUUGUUCUCUUUUGACACACCUCAUACUAGAAAGGACAUUUUUAGUUAGUAAUAUAUUUUAUUUUGGCUUCUUAAAAAAAAAAAAAAAAACACUCCUCCAUUGAGAUAAAGAGUUGUCUCUUCUACUUAAUACGAAAGUUCUAAUAUUAUUUAGUCAUCAUAUAUAUCAUCCUUAACAUGUGUGUAAGGUCACUUUCUUGAAAAGUAUGAGUAACUGAUAAGACAGAACACCAAUGACAACAAUUUUUUAGAGAGAUUGUCAUAAUAUUCUAACCAAUUUAUUGAAAAUUUUAUUAAAAAAAAUAUGAAGGUUAAACAUGAGUUGACUAAAAAGUAAGGAUUAAUUCUUUCAAAAAAAAAAAAAUUAUGGAUUAAUUUCAUGGAUGAAAUUUUUUGGAGGGACCAAAAGCCUAAGGGAUAUUUUAGGAAGACUAAAAUCAAUUGUUAGUAUAUUUAGAAGGACCACCAUUUACUUAUUUUUUUUUUUUUUUGGGUAGAAGACCACCAUUUACUUAUUUAAACCUUUUUUCAAUUUAUAUGUGAUAUAUGAAUUCAAUUUAUAUAUUUUGUUUAACUAAACUUCAUUAUUAUUGUAUCUUUUUAUUUUCUAAUUUUUGAUGGAAACUUAAACCUUUUUUUGUUUUUGGUGGUAUCCAAAAUUUGCCUUGAACCUUACAUAUAUUAUGCAUUAUCUAUACCAACUGAACUAAGUUUACGGAGAUAAACUUUUUUAUUUAAACUCAUACUAAUAAAUAUGAUAUAUGAGUUCAAUAUAAAGAACAACAUACUUUAUUUUAGUCUGUAAGAAAAAAUGGUUUAUAAAUUGAACCGAAAGAUGCACAGUAAAAGAAAAUAUAUAAGAAGAGGCAUUGGCAAAUGUGGGCUGUUUUUUCUUGCUUAGCGGGUAGUUUUUUCUAUUAUGAAAAAUAAUAAAAUAAAAGUAAAGAUUAAAAAUGGUAAAAUGCAUAAAAAGUUAUAAGUUAUACGCUCAAAGUUAGUCUUUUUAGCUUCUAAAAAAAGACUAUAAGCUAACGAAAAAAGUUAGUUAUCAAACAUUUAAUUUUGUCAAACAAACUUAUAACCUAGUACAACAAACUAUAAUCUAGCUUAUUUUAUCAUACAGGCUUUAUUAUCCUAUUAAAAUUUUCAUUCAUAGAUAGAAGAACAUCAAUAUGAUUUAUUUAUCGAAUUGAUGUAUUCUAGAUAUUUUACUAAUAAAACUAUAUCUAUUUAUAAAUCGAUUUUGUAAAAAUAAUCAGUUAUAUAUCCGCAAAUAAAUUUAUAAUAAAAUAAGUCAUGAUUAUUAAUACAUUUUUUUGAAGCAAUGAUUAUUAAUACAUAUCCAUACAAAUAUUUUAUAAGUGGGUAUAAUUUGGUUGGUUAAAAUAUAUAUUUUCUUUGAAAUAACAAGAUAUUAUAUUAAUGGAUUAGAUCAUGAAAAUAUACAUCAUUAGUUUCAUACUACAUCCAUCCCUAAUUAUAAUGUCCUUUUAAAAAAAUAACGGGAAUUAAGAUAGUGGAUAUUUGUAUUAAAUAUGUUUGUAAUUACUAUUGUUUUUACAAUUUUAUCCUUUAAGAAAGAGGGUUGACUUAUGUUUUCAACAUUCUAUUUAUUGUUGAUUAAAGAAAAAGAUGUACAAUAAAUAGGGGCAUAUAUGUAAAAAAAUAAUUAAUGUAGUCGGAAAUAAAAAAUGAAUUUUAUAAAAAAGAACAAAAAAAAAAUCUCAAAAGCGUCUUAUAAUUAGGGACGGAUUUAGAAUGGGAAAUUUGAGCUAAAUUAUGGGCUAUCUUUAUACAAAUUCUAGGGAUAGAUUGCACUGCCAUUUGUCAAAAUGCCAUUGGAGGGAUUGGACUUCCUGGUGGGACCUUUUUCAACUAUGAUGAGUUUUGACUUUUGACUAUAAAUGCUUGAUCGAUAUCCAUAUAGUCUCCCGUGAUCACCCAUUUUCCUGUUUCUUAAGAAAUCAUUAUCCAUGUCGUCUUCAACCUCCAAAACCAAAUGGAUCUACGAAGUGUUCAUAAAUUUUAGGGGGGAAGAUACUCGUAGCAAUUUCGUUUCUCAUCUUUAUGCAACCCUUUCAAAUGCUGGAAUUAACACUUUUCUUGACGAUGAGAAUCUUGAAAAGGGAAAGGAGCUGGGACCAGAAUUAUUGCGAGCAAUACAAGGUUCUCAAAUAAUCAUUGUUGUUUUCUCCAAAAAUUAUGUUCAAUCUAGUUGGUGUCUUGAUGAACUCGAACAAAUCAUGGAGUGCCACAAAAGUACGGGUCAAGUUGUUAUGCCCGUAUUUUAUGGUGUUACUCCUUCAUUUAUACGUGAAUAUGCUAGCCAAACUUUUGGGGAAGCUAUCGUUAGCAAAACAAAUCAUUUCGUCCUCCAUAAUUCGGAUCCGAGGAAAAAUCCACGAAAUAAGGCACAAGGCGAUGAUCAUUAUAGGUAUUUUUUUUACUAAGAUAUUUUUUACUAUGAUAAUUAUAGGUAAAUGUCUAUUUUUGUUAGAGGUAUGGUAAAUGUCAUCGUGAGUUUAACGGUAUGAACUCUGAACAAUGUAUAAUAUAUGUAAGGUCUGAGGUUCAGACUAUGGCCACCACAAAAAAAAAAAAAACGGUAUGGUAAAAAAAAAAUUUGUCAAGUACUCGUAGCUGGAGCUCACAUAUUUUAAAUGUGGAGAUGUAUGAUAAAUAAAUGUUUAAUAAUAAAAAUAUGUGUUAUUUCCGUAGUAGCACAAUGGAUAUUUCAAAUCUAAAAAAAAUAUGUGUUAUUAGAUUUCUUACUUACAGGUAAAUGCCUCUUUUUUUAGGGGUGUGGUAAAUGUCUAAACGUAAAAAUACGUGUUAUUAGGUUUCUUACAAAUUUACUAAAUUUUAUUUUUGAUUAUAAAAUAUUUCUGGUAAUAGAAAAAGUUUCCAAAGAAAAGGGUGUAAAAUUAAAGUUUCUCGGAGAUGGAAAUAAUAUCUGUAUAUUUUCAUAAAAGUUAUUUUUAAGAAUAAAUAUAGUAAACUUGAAUGUCUAUUACCAAUUUGUAAAUUAUUAUUUGACAAAUAAUCCGUCCAUUUUAAAAUGGAUGUCUCUUAAGAUUUUUACACACAUAUUAAAAAAUAUAAAUUAUAAUGAUUAAAAGGAAGAUAAUAUCUAUUUUUAUCAAAUUAUCCUUAUCAACUAUUGAUUUCAUUUUUAUUAUCAUAAAUGCAAAGUAAAAGUAAUGUUUUGGGAGUAGUGUGUAUAAGGGUACGAUUGAAAAUAUGUAAUUAAUAUUGCAUUGGAAAUCAAAAGUGACAUUCAUUUUAAAACAAUUUUUUUUACUAAAAUGACACUCAUUUUAAAACGGAGAGAGUAGUAAAUUAAUAUGUGUUCUAAAAUGUCUGAUCAAUUUUCAAUAAAUCAAUAAUUAUUUUAUUCACCUAUACUCUACUCCCUUUAGACUCAUAAAUAAUUGUUUUUUUUUUUUUUUACCAAAAAAUAAAAAAUAAUAAUUGUUUUUAAGUUCAUUGAAAUAAACCUAAAAAAAAUCUUUUCUUAUAUAUGAGACUAGAUUGAGUAAUUAACGGUACUUCUUUCACUUUCGAUUUCAUGUAUUUCACAUCCCAUUUAUUAUAAAUAUGAAUACACCAGCGCAAAAUAAAUUUGUUAAUCUAGAUAAAUUAGUCAACUAAAUCUUUUAUUUCUAGAUAAAUUUGUCUUUUGAAAAAUAUUUAUUGUUGCUGCAAUUAUGUAAAGCCGUGACAGGCUGAAAAUUUCAGAAAAGAAAGAUUCACUUGAGCAAGCACUCGGGGAUGCUUCGAUCUUGGCUGGUUGGGAUAUGGAUAAUUACAGGUAAAUGUUUAUAGUAUUAUGUUUUGUUUAGUAUACUUGUAGCAAUGAUAAGAAUUCCGCUCUUCUUCCAACAAAAAUCACUUGUUCCCAAUUGAAAUAUCCACUAAUAAACUCACGCACCUUAUGCCUACAAUGUGAGUUAACUCACGCACCUUUGAACAGUGGCAACGAGACUUAACUCAAGCACCUUUGGUUGGUGGCGUGAGUUAGAUCACGCAAUUUUGGUCGAUGGUCUAUGCACAAAGAACACAUUUUUUUGGACGUGGUCACUUAUUCAAACUUGGUUUUACUCGAUUUUUACAAGUUUUUACACGUUUUUUUAUUGUAUUUAGUGUAGUUAAAACCUAUCUAAGACAUUCCCCCUAUAAAUACCCUUCCAACCUUCACCAUUUCUCACACCAUCAUCUCACACUCUCUCCUCCUCUUCCUUCUACAACAACAAUGUUUUUCCAUUCUUUGCCUUUCUUAGAAAGAUUCAUCUUUGAAAAUUUCAGGGAUUGUAUGAACGGUCAAUGAAAAUGGCAACACACUGUGUCGCGUCAUUUUUGGAGAUCAAGGCUAUUUGAUUAGCUUUUGACUCACUAAUUAUUUCACGACUGAACAUUUAAUUUUUAAGGAAAAGGGGAAAAAAGUUCAAAACACCCCAUAUUGAAAAGAUUUAGGGUUCGGGGGUUAGUUACAUAAAGGGAAGGUAUUAGCACCCUUUACGUCCGUAGUACUCUACGGGAACCUCUUGGUUUUAUUUAAUUUAAUGUGCUAUAACUUGCUUGCUUUUGAAAAAGAAGUUAAUGUGAUGAUUAAAAGAAAAAGAAAGUGAGACCUAAUUUAUCUACAUUUUUUAUUGUUUGGAAGGACGAGUGUCCUCUGCCUACGUACCCGUGAAGGAUCAAAACCUCGUAGUUCGGGGUAGAAAAUGACGCUUGAUUGGUUUUGUGUUUUUUUAUUAGUUUUUGAAAAAGGUUUUAAAGAUAAAAGCCAAGUGGCAAAUAAGAAUUUGUUUGUGUUUUUUAAUUUAAAUGAAAAUAAACUCAAGGUAGAAUUAAAUUGAUUGAUGUUUGAUUAAGAAAAGAAAAUAAAGAUGCGGUCACUUGAUUUGGAUCAAGGUUUAUUAUAAAAAAUAUUUUUUGUGAUUUUUUUUUUGGUUAUUUGCAUGUUUUGUGAUUUUUUUGAAAAUAUUUAAACUAACGGAGCAUAAAGAAUAAAAGCGUGGCUACCCUAAGUUAGAAAUAUAAAAUCUAUGACUAUUACAUAAAAACCUAUUUACAUUCUAAGGUCUGCAAUAAAAUUAAAAUGCUAAGAAAAAUAAAUAAAUACGAAAAAGAAUAAAAAAAGGUCCAAACACAUGGUGGGGUGCAGUGGUAAACAGGGGUGUGCAGAAAGCAGAAAAAAAAAGGAUUGGGCUCAAGGAAAAUGAACCGGGUUGCGGGUCAUGGGUCAUGGGUCGUGGGUUGACCCGUUUGGGGGGUAUAUAAGGGCUGUUGGGCCCUUUUUCUUUCAUUUUUCUUUUUCCUUUCUCUCUCUUCCUCACCGGUUCUCUCUCUUCUUCUCUGUUCUCUCUCUAACUCUCUUCUUCUCCGGCGGAGUGGGGUGGGGGUUCCGGCGGGAUUCCGGCGCGGUGGCCGGCGAGCCAUCGCGGCUGCGCCGCCGCGCCGGAGCUAAAAAAACUCCCCCUUUUUUAUUUUUUCGCUCUUUCUCUUCCUCUUUUCCCCCCUUACGUGAUACUAAACCCAAAAAUCCCAAAACCUUUACUCAAACGUCUAGAUCUAAAAAGAAAGAAAUUUAUACCUUUUUGUUUUUUUGUUGAUCCGGUUUCGUGAUGUGAUUGUCGCUGUUGUGACGGUUUGUGCGCCUCUGUGUGUGCGUGUAUGUGCUGUGUUGUGUUGCCCGCGGCCGUAUUCCCGUUUCUGUGCACGUGCGUGUGUUGUGGCGUGGACUGGUGCGUGUGUGUUGUGCGCGGACUGGUACGGUUUGGACUAGUGCGUGGCGUGAGUUGUUGGCUUGUGCGACUGUGUUGUUGCUUGUGCGACUGUGUGUUUGGCUCUUCUUGCUGCUUCUGUUGUUUGUGGCCUCUUUUUUUCGUUCUGCUGCGUUUUUUGUUGUGUUUUUAAUUGUUGUGCAGGUCUCUAUUUAUAGAGUGGGUUUGAAGCUUGAAUUUGUUACUGAUGAGCACAAAAUCAGUGGCUUGUGGAGGAGAAAAAAGGAAAUGUGUCUGUUUGUUACUGGAUUUGUUUCAGAGGAAGCGUGAAUCCGGAUUUGGAUUAGAAUGGAAAAGGAACAGAACGUGUAUAAGGAUUGAGAUGAAUUUGGACUAUUUUGUUGGACUUAUUUUUGGACAAUUUUGGGAUUUUAAUUAAAAAGAAAAAAUUAAAAAUAAAAAAAGGAUAAUGUCUAUAUUUUUGGUUUUUAAAAAGGAAAAUUUAAAAUGGGAAUAAAAGGAAUUUAAUCUAAAUUGGACUAAAAUUAAAAUUAGAGUUCUAAAUUAAAAAUUUAAAAGAUGGAAAUAAAUAAUUAAAGACUGAGAGAAGAGGGCCCGAUUCGGAACUUUAUGAGGUAUUUCAAAAUACCUCCCUGCCGAAUUUUUCACUGAAAUGCGAGUCUGGUCCGAGUUCGGAGACGUGUGUCAGUGGGACCUUAGGUCAAAAUUUGGGGUAUGACAGAUGCCCCUAUUUAAGUUUCUUCGCUCAGAGAUUCGAAGGUAAAAUCCUUGACUCGACGAGCCGAAGAGACUUAAAUACAAAAGUGCACCAAUUUUGACCUAAGAGGUUUAUGAAUGCUCAUGAUUUAAUUAUGAAUGCAUGAUGAUAAUGACGGCUCGACUGGAAUGAAAAGACACUAGGAUACCCAAAUUCUUUGAAGAAAGGGAUCCGACUUUACUGGGGAAUCUGGUUUCACUGGGGAAAAUGGUUGUUCCUCAUUGUUUCGACAUCUCGAAACAAAGUGCAAUGGUUCAGACCUCCAUGUCUAUUUGUGGACUUGGUUUUGAAAAUGGAAAAAAGAAAGAUACAAGCUUUUUGUUGGUUGAAAUUGGCCACUUGUCACAGAUUGUUCGUUGGUUGGAACUGGUUGCUGAGCAUAAAGAUAAAAGAUUGGCUCGAGUUGUUCGUUUGUUGGAACUAGUUGCUCGGAAGGUAAAAGACAUUGGCAUAGGCUAUUCGUUUGUUGGAAUCGGUCGCUGGGCAUAAAGAUAAAAUAUUGUCAUGAGUUGUUCGUUCGUUGGAACUGGUUGCUCGAAAGGGAAAGAACUGACAUAGGCUAUUCGUUUGUUGGAAUCGGUCGCUUGAAACAUAAGUUGUUCGUUGGUUGGAACUGGUUACUUAAAAUAAAGACACAAGCUGUUCGUUGGUUGGAACUUGGUCGCUUGAAAAGUUUGGAUUGGUGACAUCUCUAGAACAGCUAUGCUGGGGAUGAUACCUGGAGUUUGAAGUUGACAUCGAGAUCAACUAGCGCCAUGACUAGUACGGCCUUCUGCCGGGGAUGUCACUUCGAAACUAAAAUUGAAAUUGACUUUGAUUAGUGGCAUGACUUAGCACGGUUUUUCGCCGGGCAUGACACCUUUGAAUUUUGAAAUUGAGAUUGACAUUGAUUAGUGACAUAACUAGCACGGCUUUACGCCGGGGAUGACACUUUUGAAUUUGAAAUUGAAAUUGACAUUGAUUAGUGACAUAACUAGCACGGCUUUACGCCGGGGAUGACACUUUUGAAUUUGAAAUUUGAAAUGGAAGACGCUCAUUUGUAGAAACUUGCGGCUUGACACAAUGGUAAGCUUUGACUGAUGCGAUUAUGUGUGAAUUGAUGUUAUGCAUAUGUCGUGUACGCGUAAACGUAUGAUCAUGUGAAAAUUUUGGUGAAUGCAUGAUUGUAUGAAUGUAUGGAUAUGUGAAUGUACAUGACACGUGAAUCGAUGAACCGAGACAAGACAGGUAAGAUGGGAGUCGGACCGACAUUGUAUUCCAAACACUCGGCAACCUUCCUUGGAGAUGAUAUUAUUGUGAGCAAAUCGAGCCGUUGAUGGCGUAAGAACCUGGCACUUAGGUAGCCACCGAUGCCUCCUGGGGGGUGAGCCCAUUGUCGAUGAAAGAAGUCUGAAGAAGUCGCUAUUUGUAAAUCGGCACAGAGUGUCCUUCCAUUGGUAUGCUUCAGCAGUCAUACCUUUUGUUUUUUAAACGAAAAUCCCUAAUUUUUGCCUGGACCGCCCUUUCGGGUUUUCAGUCCACCGGGAAUAUUUUUGUUUUGCCCCUAAUUUUUGCCUGGACCGCCCUUUCGGGUUUUCAGUCCACCGGGACGCCCUCUGUUGCCUAAGUCGCCUUUUCAGGUUUUCAACUUAGCGAGCUUUUUUUGUAUUAUUUUUGUAUUUGUUUAUUCAGAGACUUUCCUUAGUGUCGAGCCACACUUUUAGCGGGAUCUAACCUCUCUUGAGUUGAUAUAUGCCUUUCUUACUCCCGAGUGCCAAGUUGUAUCUAUUUGUUUAUGCUUUUUAUUAUAUAAACCCUUUUUAGAAAUCUAUUUCAAAGUAUUAUCAUCAGUAAAAGAGAAAAAAAAAAAAAAAAAAAAAAAAAAAAAAAAAAACGAGAAACAAAACAAGUAGGAGUCAAAAGAGAGGUAAAGGCUCAAAGUUUAUUAAUCGAGUGACGCUAUGCCAAUGGCAUGACUUCAUGGAGUUAUUUACAAAGUUUGAAAAGAAAUGGUAAUUUAAAAUGGAAAGGUACGUUGAACUUCAUAACCCUAUCGUUCUCUAGCAACUUUGAAAUCCGUUAUCUUGUGGCUCGAAUGUUUUUGAUAUCAGGUAUGCCCCAAGUGUAUCUGUGUUCGACUGGAUGCAGUUACUUUGUCUCUAUUUUCCCUUUUUUUUUUUUUUUUUUUUUUUUUUUUUUUUUUUAAAAAUCCUUAAUUUUUGCAUAGACUGCCCUUUCGGGUUUUCACUCUAUCAGGAUAAUGAUCUCUGUUUAUUGUCUCUAAUUUUUGCCUGGACCGCCCUUUUCGGGUUUUCAGUCCACCGAGACGCUCAUUUUUGCCUAAGUCGCCCUUUUCGGGUUUUCGACUUACCGAGCUGUUCUUUUAAAAUUUUUAGACAAAGUAUUUCUUGACUGCAUCUGUGUUCACAGGUCGUGGAAGUUCUUCACCGUCCAUGGUUUGUAGAGUCAUGGCACCACCUGAGAAGGCUCUUUUAACAACAUACGGACCUUCAUAAUUAGGAGCCCACUUGCCUCGGGAGUCUGGUUGGAAAGAGAAAAUCUUUUUGAGCACGAGAUCACCUUCUUUAAACUCACGGGGACGAACUUUCUUGUCAAAGGCCUGCUUCAUCCUUUUUUGAUAUAAUUGUCCGUGACAUAGGGCUGUCAUGCGCUUUUCUUCAAUUAGAUUCAACUGGUCGUAUCUAUUCUGAACCCAUUCAGCUUCCGAUAAGUCAGCCUCCAUUAAGACUCUCAAUGAUGGAACUUCGACUUCUACAGGGAGUACUGCCUCCAUGCCAUAUACCAGGGAAAAAGGAGUUGCCCCUGUUGAUGUGCGUACAGAAGUACGAUAUCCAUGUAAUGCAAAGGGAAGCAUUUCAUGCCAAUCUUUAUAAGUCACCACCAUCUUCUGGACAAUCCUCUUUAUAUUCUUGUUCGCAGCUUCGACAGCACCAUUCAUUUGAGGUCUGUAAGGUGAAGAGUUAUGGUGCUCGAUCUUGAAAUCAUCACACAAUUCUUUCAUCAUCUUGUUGUUUAGAUUUGUUCCGUUGUCGGUGAUGAUCCGGUUGGGGAUGCCAUAGCGACAAAUGAUAUGAUUCUUGAUAAAUUUGACCACUACUUGUUUGGUCACGUUGGCAUACGAUGCGGCCUCAACCCACUUAGUGAAGUAGUCAAUAGCCACUAGGAUAAAACGGUGUCCAUUUGAAGCUUUGGGCUCAAUCCUUCCGAUCAUGUCAAUGCCCCACAUAGAGAAAGGCCACGGAGAGGAAAGCAAAUUGAGUGUAGUUGGCGGCAUAUGAAUCUUGUCGGCGUAUAUCUGGCACUUGUGACACUUUCUGGUAUGCUUGUAGCAAUCUGAUUCCAUUGUCAUCCAGUAGUAGCCUGCUCGCAAUAUCUUUUUAGCCAUUGUGUGCCCAUUAGGAUGAAUUCCGAAGGAUCCUUCGUGUAUUUCAUGUAUCAAUAAAUCAGCUUCAUAUUUGUCUACACAUCUGAGCAAGACCGUGUCAAAGUUUCUUUUGUACAAGAUAUCCCCAUUCAGGAAGAAAUUACUAGAUAAUCUUCUGAGAGUCUUCUUAUCUUUGUUGGAUGCUCCAGGAGGAUACUCUCGAGUUUGGAGAAACACCUUAAUAUCAUGAAACCAAGGUUUAUCGUCGAAAACUGCUUCAGCGGCAAACACAUAAGCGGGUCUAUCAAGGAAUUUGACACUGAUUAGUGGCACGUCAUUGUGAUGAUUCACCUUGAUCAUUGAAGACAAAGUAGCCAAGGCAUCCGCCAUCUGAUUCUCAUCCCGAGGAAUAUGAUGUAAUUCCACUUUGUUGAAGAAGGUCAAUAAGCGUCUUGCAUAGUCUCGAUAAGGUAUUAGUCCUGCGUGAAGAGUUUCCCAUUUUCCUUUGAUCUGGUUGAUUACAAGAGCUGAAUCUCCAUAUAUUUCGAUGUUCUUGAUUCUUAGAUCAAUGGCUUCUUCAAUACCCAUGAUGCAGGCCUCAUAUUCAGCGAUGUUGUUUGUGCAGUCAAACCGGAGUCUUGCUGUGAAAGGGAUGUGAGUACCCUUAGGAGUAAGGAGUACUGCUCCUAUGCCGUUGCCGUAUACAUUGACAGCCCCAUCAAAUAUCAAACCCCACACUGAAUCUGGAUCAGGACCUUCUCCGAAUAGUGGCUCGUCGCAAUCUUUCAUUUUUAAAUACAUAAUCUCUUCAUCAGGAAAGUCAAACUUGAUAGGUCGAUAGUCUUCAAGUGGUUGGUGAGCUAAGUGAUCAGCAAGAAUACUGCCUUUAAUUGCCUUCUGGGAACGGUACUCGAUAUCAUAUUCAGAUAGUAGCAUCUGCCACCGUGCAAUCCUUCCUGUCAAAGCGGGCUUCUCAAAUAUGUACUUGAUUGGAUCCAUUUUAGAUACCAGCCACGUAGUGUGAUUAAUCAUAUAAUGACGGAGGCGUUUGGCAGCCCAGGCUAGAGCACAACACGUCUUCUCGAGCAUGGAGUAGCGAGAUUCACAUUCAGUAAACUUCUUGCUUAAAUAAUAAAUGGCGUGCUCUUUUCUUCCGGUUUCAUCUUGUUGUCCGAGCACACAACCCAUGGAAUUUUCUAACACUGUUAGGUACAUGAUCAAAGGUCUCCCUUCAACUGGAGGGAUGAGAAUCGGUGGUUCUAGCAAGUACUUCUUUAUGCUGUCAAAAGCCUUCUGGCAUUCUUCGGUCCAUACAAUACCUUGUUCUUUGCGGAGUAGUUUGAAUAUCGGCCCACAAGUUGCAGUCAUAUGAGAAAUGAACCGGGAGAUGUAAUUUAGUCGUCCAAGAAAACCCCUUACUUCUUUUUCUGUUCUCGGAGCAGGCAUCUCUCUGAUGGCUUUGACUUUGUCAGGGUCUACUUCGAUGCCUUUCUGGCUGACGAUGAAACCUAGAAGCUUUCCGGAUCUGACACCAAAAGUGCAUUUGUUGGGAUUUAAACGAAGUUUGUACUUCCUCAGGCGCUGGAACAUCUUCUGUAGAUACUUGACAUGGUCUUCUUCAGUAAUCGACUUGACUAUCAUAUCAUCCACAUAGACCUCAAUCUCUUUAUGUAUCAUAUCGUGGAAAAGAGUAGUCAUACCCCUCUGAUAAGUAGCUCCUGCAUUGAUUAAACCGAACGGCAUUACUUUGUAGCAAAAAGUGCCCCAAGGUGUAAUAAAUGAUGUUUUCUCUCUAUCUUCGGGUGCCAUCUUGAUUUGAUUAUAACCGGAGAAUCCAUCCAUGAAUGAGAAGACUUUAGACUUGGCAGUACUGUCAACCAACACGUCAAUAUGAGGUAAAGGAAAGUCGUCUUUUGGGCUAGCUUUGUUUAAAUCACGGUAGUCAACACACAUUCUGACCUUACCAUCUUUCUUUGGAACAGGCACUAUGUUAGCUAACCAUUGGGGGUAAUUUGAUGUGACGAGGAAACCUGCGUCGAUCUGCUUCUGUACCUCUUCUUUGAUUUUGAGAGCCAUGUCAGGACGUGUUCUUCUCAAUUUUUGUUUGACUGGCGGACACUCAGGUUUCAACGGUAGGUGAUGCACCACAAUAUCAGUGUCUAGACCCGGCAUAUCUUGGUAGGACCAGGCAAACACAUCAACAUAUUCUUUGAGGAGCUCUAUCACUUGCUUUUUAACACUUGUUUCGAGCGAUGCCCCAACCUUGAUUUCUUUCUUGUCUUCUUUGGUGCCCAAAUUAAUCACUUCUAAUUCGUCCCCAUAAGGCUGAAUGGUCUUCCUCUCUUGUUCGAGUAGUCGAGAGAUUUCGUCAGGGAUCUCUUCAUUCUCUUCUUCCUCCGUUUCAUACACAGGGAACCCAAAGUUGGGAGAGAUCAUAGGGGUAUGUUGUUCAACGGGUUCGUCGAUUUCUAAUCUGCACAUGUGAUGGAUGAUUUUUUAGAAAAAAGAUACAUGCAGAUUUUUUUGAAAAUUCAUGUUGGGUUUUUUGUAUUACCACUUUUCAGAAAAGCAUAAAAGAAAAUGAGACAAAACAUCGGGAAAAAAAACGACAUUUUUAUUUUAUUGAUGAUAAUUUCUUGAAAUAAAAAAAAAGCCCUAGAUAAGUUCACUUUCGCUUGGGGCGGGGCGAAAGGAUUUUUUUGAAAAGAAAAGCAUAAACUAGACAAAUGCAUUACUUGGACAAGUGAGUAACAAAAGGAACAUCUACGGCAACCCAAUUGUGGCUGGAUACUCCUGGCGUUAUAAAACCUCGUGGCACACUUUCAGGACCAUCUUCAAUGAUUGCAUGGAUAAAGCCCGAACUGUGGAAAGCGCCCUUCUUCGCUGUGGACAAACCAGUAGAUGGGAAGAAACCCAAACCUUCUCGGUGCUUGUUUUCUGGAAGCUCUAUCAGCUUUCCCCAGCUUGUGGACCCCCCUGCUUGUAUGACCUUCUGAGCAUCUUUUAGGGACGAGAUAGAGGCUUCAUUCUUCUGGGUAUUCUUAUCUUCUAUAGUAAACCCUUGAAAAGGUGUCCCUUCGACAUCGUCUGCCCCAAUGAAAGAGAAAGAUGACAAAUGACUCACCAAUAAAGCCUCUUCACCGUUUACAGUUACUAGCUUCCCAUUCUUUACAAACUUCAGCUUUUGAUGCAGCGUGGAUGUGACAGCUCCUGCUUCGUGAAUCCAGGGUCGACCCAGUAAGCAACUAUAUGAAGCUUGAAUGUCCAUGACUUGAAAAUUAACUUGAAAAACUUGUGGCCCAACUGUGAUAGGUAGAACCACCUCACCAAGGACAUCCUUCCUCGAGCCAUCAAAAGCUUUCACCAUUACCCCACUUCGUCUUAAAGGUGCGCCUUGGUAAGCGAGUUGGGUAUAAGUUGUUUUGGACAACACGUUCAAAGAUGAUCCAGUAUCCACCAGUACAUUUGACAAAGCAUCGGUUUUACAGUUCACAGAUAUAUGCAGCGCCCGAUUGUGGUUCCUUCCUUCUGCUGGGAGCUCUUCAUCACUGAAACUCAAGUUGUUGCAUGCAGUGAUGUUCCCUACUAUUCCGCCAAACUGACCCACCGUUACAUCAUAAUCCACAAAAGCUUGUUCUAAAACCUUCAUUAAUGCAUCUUUAUGGGCCUCAGAAUUUAGUAAUAAAGACAUUAUGGAUAUUUUGGAUGGAGUCUGCAUCAGUUGGUCAACAACCUUGUAUUCGCUCUUCUUUAUUAACUUGAGAAUCUCAUCAAACUCUGCACUUGUACCAGCCCCAUUGGGUUGAUCCACUUCUUUGGCGAUACCAGCAUCUUUAGUCCGAACCUCCUUGUUUACUGUAGCAUCAAUCCUCCUUGGGAACACUAUGGGGACAACGCGCCCAUUUCUCAAAACUCUGCUGUCUUCAACAAUAUUAUCCACACUGGACAGAGGCGGUAUUGGAACCUCGCGACCCUCUUCAAUCAUGGUGGCAUUGUAUUUGUAUGGAACGGCUUUUUCAGAAACAUAUGGCAGUGGACCUGGUAAGCAGAUUACCAGAGGGGUGAUAGUUGACUUUCGACUGUCGUAAAAUACCUCCAAAGGUCCUUCGGGAGUUAUUGCACACACAUCAUCGCACUUCCUUUCGACCACAAGCUCUCCUCGGUCUAGAAGCCCUUGAAUAUCAUUUCUUACUUUCUGACAUCCUCCGGAGUUCAUAAGGCAUAUUUCACAGAGAUCAUGAUCAUGCUCGAAAAGGUCGACUUUGCAUAACUUGGCAUGUAACGGAACCAAGGGUGUUCUGAUAUGUUGAACAUCCUGAAUGGGACGAGUCUUUUGACAAUCUUCGAUCAUGUUGACUGUUGCGGCACCAUGAUUCGGCAAUGGGUUUGUUUGAACAUUUGGCGCCGAAUCUGUGAAAGUUAUUUUUCCAUCAUUGAUCAACCUCUGCACUGUGCUUUUAAAGGCAUAACAAGUUUCAAUGUUAUGGCCACGGCCCCCUUCAUGGAAGUCACAAGUUUGGUCAAGUCUAUACCAAGAUGGUAGUUUUUCUGGGAUAGGAGGAGCUGUUCUGGUUUGGACAAGGUUUUUCUGGAGUAAGCCGGGAAGUAAUUCUGCAUAGGUGACCGGUAUUGGGUUAAUCGGCAUUCUUGGUGGUCGAGGUUGUUGUGGGCGUUGUUGAUAAGGUUGUUGUUGGAAAUUUUGUUGAGGGUAUUGUUGAUAUGGGAAUUGUUGGUAUGGUUGUUGUUGGUAUGGUUGUUGUUGGAAAUUUUGUUGUUGGACAUUUUGUGGUUGGACAUUUUGUGGUUGGACAUUUUGUGGUGAAGGAUUUUGUGGGAAUUGAGGAUAUUGUGGUAUUUGAGGAUGGUUAUUUGUUUGUUGAAAAGGGUGAGAGGUGGGUGUGAUGGCAGCAAUGUGUUGAUAGGCUGGAUAAGUUUGUUGAGGCCCUCCAUGAGUCACCAUACCGACUUCUUGUUCUUUCUUCCUCGGGAAAUGGUUCCCGGUCUUCUUGGUCCCACUGGCCGGAGUUGUAUUCUUUACUAAGCGUCCUUCUCGGACUCCUUCUUCUAACUGUACUCCCAUACCAACCAUCUCCGCGAAGCUCUUUGGUGUACUCCCGACCAUCUUUUUGUAAUAAAAAUGAUUCAAAGUUUUUAGGAAGAGCUUGGUCAUCUCUUUCUCCUCAAUUCGUGGGCUGACUUGGGCAGCGGUGUCUCUCCACCGUUGGGCAUACUCUUUGAACGUCUCUUUAUCUCCCUGAGUCAUGGCUUGGAGAUCACUUCGGUCCGGAGUCAUGUCUACAUUGUAACUGUACUGUUCCACAAAAGCUUCGCAAAGGUCACGGAAAGUUUGAACUCUUGUUUUGUCUAGGUUUGUGUACCACUUUGAAGCAGGGCCGGUCAAGCUUUCUUGGAAAUAGUAAAUAAGAAUCUGAUCAUCUUGGGCGUAUGCUGGCAUCCUUCUCACAUACAUUUUUAGAUGUUCCUCAGGACAAGAACUCCCUUUGUAUUUCUCGAAAUCUGGAAUCUUGAAUUUGUGAGGUACCUGCACACUUGGUACCAAACAGAGAUCGUACGCAGUCUUCCCGAAUUUCCCUUUUUCAUGGAGAGCUUUCAUGUCUCGGCGUAGUUCAUCAUACUUCUCUCGUAGGUCACUUACCUCCCCGUAAGCCUCUGCAUUCCCUGAAUGAAAGAUAGGCUCUUCAGCUUGCGGAAUUGUAUGCAUCACGGGUGCUGAGUAGGUUAUGGUGGCGGGAGUGGCCCUCAUGGCAGGUAGGGGUACUUGAGCCGUGUACUGGUGAGUGGGCAUCUGAGCUUCACAAGUGAUAGGACGAAAUAUCUCCCCAGCAGUGAAAGGUGGAAACCAAGGCGUGGAACGUUGCGGAGCGGACUGCGUUGGAGUGUCAGCACAUAGUGUCCAAGAAGAAGAUGCCUCGGCCUGAGUUCUGACAGGAGGAGGAGGUGGAGGUGCUUGUGAUCGGGCCUGCGCCUGAGCUUGAGUUUGAGCUUGUGCCAAUGCUUGCGCUUGUUCUUGAAUCUGUGCUUGAGCUUGAGUCUGAGCUUCCGCCAUUGUUUUUAUUAAUUCAGCCAUCUCGUCCAUCCUAGUCUGCAUGGCUGUCAUUUCUUCACGAAGUACCCGAUUUUCCUGCUCAAGAUAAUCCAUCUUCUUUUUUACGUUUGCCCGAGUGUAGUGAGUACGGGUUGACUUGUAGAUGAUACGUGGGGCCACCGUAUGAAACGAGUUGACCCUUUUUCUGGAAAAGGAAGUUUGUGUGAGACUUUGAUUUGAGACUAUGAAAUGCAGGAUGAUGCAUGAUUGUUUAUGCAAAAAUGGACGUAUAUUUUUUUUAUCGAAGGACUUAUGAAAGUAUUUUUGUAAAUAUCAUAGUUGAGAGUUCCAUUUGAAUAAUUUACAUAUUACGAGAUAAUUCCCUUUCUAAACAACGAAACCAAGGGAUAGACUUUGCAAAUAAAUAAGAUAAAUAUCUAACUUAAAAAAACAAAAAUAAAAGAAAGACUGGGAACUCUCAAGCUCUUUGAAGUAGACUAUUCAUCAGAAUCUGAAUGUGCAUCUUUGAAGAACUCCCAACGCUCCCCUGCGCUGAUAAAUUGUGAUAGCCUUGUGCUCUGAGCUCGGAUCUGAACAUUCUUUUUUACUAUUUGCCGUCUCAGCUUGUGAACCUCAUGCUCUUGUUGUUCUAUCUCACCACUCAUAGUUUCCAUUUUGAGCAUAGCUUCAUCAUACUUCCUCUUCCAAGUAGCACCCACACAUUCCGAUUGGGCCAACCUCUCUUGACAUUCCUCCACAGUUGCGGGGGCCAAGGGUAAAGCCGGCGCUGGGGUUGUUGAAGAUAGGUACCUCGGCAAAUGAUAUGGUAAGACCAGAUCGGAAGCUCUAUUGAUGACCCAUUGAGUGUAAGACCCCUGUAAAGAGUCUGAUCUCCUCGCCAAUUGGCUUCUAUUGAGUGUGCGAAUGGCAUGCCAUGCUUGGACAAAUCUCCCUCUUUUGUUUGAGGGAUCUUCAUGGUUGAAGUAGAAUUCACCCUGUAAGUAGAUGUUAUCUGGCUUAGCUUCCAUCGGGCAUCCGAACUGACGUUUGGCAAGGAUAGGAUUGUAGCUGAUUCCUCCUUGCGUACCGAGAAGGGGUACAUUUGAGUAUUCUCCACAACUGACAAUGAUGUUCGUGAAGUUACAAGUGGCACGGUACCAGGUUAUGUCGGAUGGGGUAAGGGACAUGAUUCUUUUGGGCCAGGAGAGAUUUUCUGGGUUGGCUUGAAAGGAGUGGGUCUGAGGUAAGUGAGAGGUAAACCAUUUGUAUAGUAAGGGUGCGCAACCAAGGAUAGCUCCACGACCUACCUGGGUUCGAUCGUGAAUGGAAUGAUAUAUAUCAGCUAACAAUGUGGGGACUGGGUUCUUUGUGAGGAAAAUUUGGAUGGCAUGGAUGUCAACAUAGUUAUCAAUAUUCGGGAACAAUACUAGGCCAUAGAUGAGUAAAGCUAGGAUAGAGUAAAAGGCCUCAACAUUGUUUGUUUUGGAAAAAUUGAAGGCUUGUUGGUAAAGAAAUUUAGUAGGUAAGCUUGGGAGAUUCCCUUUUAGGGUGAGUUUUUCUUUUAUGAGGGAGGUUUUGAGAUGGAGGGCAUUUGCAAUAGUGGCGGCUUUGGGAAAAGGUUCUAAACCAGUAAAAGGUACCUUAUCAAGUACGGGUAGGCCAAUUAAGUGAGAGUAUUCUUCGAGGGUAGGCAUAAGCUGGUAGUCAGGAAAAGUGAAACAGUGGUAAGCAGGGUCAUAGAACUGGACCAAGGUCUCCAAGCACCCCUUCUCGAUAUUUGUCCAGAGGACACCAAGCAACUUCCCAUGACGAUCACAAAAGUUCUCCAAGUUAGUUACUUCAAAUGCAAGCUUCUUUAAGUUCUCUAGAUCCAAUUUCCUGAAUGUAAACUUCCUAGUAUUUCUUCUUUCCAUGCCUAUGAUAUUUACAAAAACAAGUAUAAGCCCUUCGAUAUUUUUUGAUGAAAAAAGAUAAAAUUAUGAAUGAAUGCAUGUAUGCAUGAUUAUGCAUAGGUUAAGCUUAUCAUGUUGGAGUUUAAAGGUAGUAACCCCCAUUUGGUAAGGACUAUGGUUUCAUUUGUACCUGUAUCACGGGUUCUAUUAAGUUCCCAAAGUCAUCAACUACUUCCGAACGUUAUCAGGUUACAAGACUACUCUCGAUCCAAUAAUAUCCGUAAGAAAGUUUCAUUUGAGUGUAGUAUCGCGUAUCAACUAAUUCAAGACUACUCUUGAUUAGCCACCGCACUACGUCCUAAAAGGCUAAGAUGGGUUAAGGGUAACUAAAGGUCCUCAACUUCGACGGUCACUUGAAAAUAUAAUGCCAACACGACUAUUCAUGCCAACAUAGAUUACUUUCAAGAUUCCUCCAUUGAGUGGGGUUGUACCACAUGAACCUAAACACGAGACUUGACUCUCGGAAAGGCACUUUGGUUAUACCACCGUCCUAUCUUAUGUUUCUCUCAAGCCCGGGUGUAGGGCUUUAUCUCACCACUCAUAUUUAAAAAGAAAGGAAGAAAGAGAGAAGAUAAAAGAUAUAUACAAUUUAUUUCCAUCUUUAUUUUUUUGUUUUUUUUUUGUUUUAAGCAAGUUAUAGCACAAAGAAUUAAAUAAAGCCAAGUUAGGCUCAACCCUCUUAGGGGGGGGUCCCCAGUGAAGUCGCCAUUUCUGUCGCGUCAUUUUUGGAGAUCAAGGCUAUUUGAUUAGCUUUUGACUCACUAAUUAUUUCACGACUGAACAUUUAAUUUUUAAGGAAAAGGGGAAAAAAGUUCAAAACACCCCAUAUUGAAAAGAUUUAGGGUUCGGGGGUUAGUUACAUAAAGGGAAGGUAUUAGCACCCUUUACGUCCGUAGUACUCUACGGGAACCUCUUGGUUUUAUUUAAUUUAAUGUGCUAUAACUUGCUUGCUUUUGAAAAAGAAGUUAAUGUGAUGAUUAAAAGAAAAAGAAAGUGAGACCUAAUUUAUCUACAUUUUUUAUUGUUUGGAAGGACGAGUGUCCUCUGCCUACGUACCCGUGAAGGAUCAAAACCUCGUAGUUCGGGGUAGAAAAUGACGCUUGAUUGGUUUUGUGUUUUUUUAUUAGUUUUUGAAAAAGGUUUUAAAGAUAAAAGCCAAGUGGCAAAUAAGAAUUUGUUUGUGUUUUUUAAUUUAAAUGAAAAUAAACUCAAGGUAGAAUUAAAUUGAUUGAUGUUUGAUUAAGAAAAGAAAAUAAAGAUGCGGUCACUUGAUUUGGAUCAAGGUUUAUUAUAAAAAAUAUUUUUUGUGAUUUUUUUUUUGGUUAUUUGCAUGUUUUGUGAUUUUUUUGAAAAUAUUUAAACUAACGGAGCAUAAAGAAUAAAAGCGUGGCUACCCUAAGUUAGAAAUAUAAAAUCUAUGACUAUUACAUAAAAACCUAUUUACAUUCUAAGGUCUGCAAUAAAAUUAAAAUGCUAAGAAAAAUAAAUAAAUACGAAAAAGAAUAAAAAAAGGUCCAAACACAUGGUGGGGUGCAGUGGUAAACAGGGGUGUGCAGAAAGCAGAAAAAAAAAGGAUUGGGCUCAAGGAAAAUGAACCGGGUUGCGGGUCAUGGGUCAUGGGUCGUGGGUUGACCCGUUUGGGGGGUAUAUAAGGGCUGUUGGGCCCUUUUUCUUUCAUUUUUCUUUUUCCUUUCUCUCUCUUCCUCACCGGUUCUCUCUCUUCUUCUCUGUUCUCUCUCUAACUCUCUUCUUCUCCGGCGGAGUGGGGUGGGGGUUCCGGCGGGAUUCCGGCGCGGUGGCCGGCGAGCCAUCGCGGCUGCGCCGCCGCGCCGGAGCUAAAAAAACUCCCCCUUUUUUAUUUUUUCGCUCUUUCUCUUCCUCUUUUCCCCCCUUACGUGAUACUAAACCCAAAAAUCCCAAAACCUUUACUCAAACGUCUAGAUCUAAAAAGAAAGAAAUUUAUACCUUUUUGUUUUUUUGUUGAUCCGGUUUCGUGAUGUGAUUGUCGCUGUUGUGACGGUUUGUGCGCCUCUGUGUGUGCGUGUAUGUGCUGUGUUGUGUUGCCCGCGGCCGUAUUCCCGUUUCUGUGCACGUGCGUGUGUUGUGGCGUGGACUGGUGCGUGUGUGUUGUGCGCGGACUGGUACGGUUUGGACUAGUGCGUGGCGUGAGUUGUUGGCUUGUGCGACUGUGUUGUUGCUUGUGCGACUGUGUGUUUGGCUCUUCUUGCUGCUUCUGUUGUUUGUGGCCUCUUUUUUUCGUUCUGCUGCGUUUUUUGUUGUGUUUUUAAUUGUUGUGCAGGUCUCUAUUUAUAGAGUGGGUUUGAAGCUUGAAUUUGUUACUGAUGAGCACAAAAUCAGUGGCUUGUGGAGGAGAAAAAAGGAAAUGUGUCUGUUUGUUACUGGAUUUGUUUCAGAGGAAGCGUGAAUCCGGAUUUGGAUUAGAAUGGAAAAGGAACAGAACGUGUAUAAGGAUUGAGAUGAAUUUGGACUAUUUUGUUGGACUUAUUUUUGGACAAUUUUGGGAUUUUAAUUAAAAAGAAAAAAUUAAAAAUAAAAAAAGGAUAAUGUCUAUAUUUUUGGUUUUUAAAAAGGAAAAUUUAAAAUGGGAAUAAAAGGAAUUUAAUCUAAAUUGGACUAAAAUUAAAAUUAGAGUUCUAAAUUAAAAAUUUAAAAGAUGGAAAUAAAUAAUUAAAGACUGAGAGAAGAGGGCCCGAUUCGGAACUUUAUGAGGUAUUUCAAAAUACCUCCCUGCCGAAUUUUUCACUGAAAUGCGAGUCUGGUCCGAGUUCGGAGACGUGUGUCAGUGGGACCUUAGGUCAAAAUUUGGGGUAUGACACACUGCAAAGAAGAUUGACAUCGAAUGUCUUUUUCGCAUUAGACAAGAAACAUACCUUACCUGGGAGGGUUUCCUUUUACCCUAAGAGGGUUUCUUUUUACCCCAAGAGGGGUAAAAAGUUCUUGGGGUCAAAAGAAGCAGAUUUAGUACUACCCAGGGUUUCUUAUAAUAGAAAUUUUUGCUUUACCCCUUCACCUUCAUGUUCUUCUGAAGUAGAUUUAGUAUGAUCCUAAUCCCCCUUCCCUAGACAAGAAACAUAUCUUUUUGUAAAUGUAUCAAUUAUAUUAAUAAAAUGAGAUUUUAUGUGCUAUAUUUUUGUUUUUUAUUUAUAUUUGCAUUUAUUUUAUGAUUUUGGCAUCUAAAUAAAAGUUGUGUAUUUAAUAAAUAAAUUCGAAUAAAGACUAAUUAAACCCAUCAUGAAUUUGAAUAAAAAUUGCAUAUUGAAUAAAUAAAUUUGAAUAAAGUCAAUUCAAAUAAAAGUAGCAUAUUGAAUAAAUAAAUUCUAAUACAAACUAAUUAAACCCAGCAUGAAUUCGAAUAAAAAUUGUGUAUUGAAUAAAUAAAUUCGAAUAAAGUGACACAAGUACACAAAAUCAAUUAAAAAAAUACACAAUUUUAUUUAGUUUUAAUUUCAUCUACAUUAUUUUAUCCCUAAAUAUAUGUGGUAUCAUCAUGAUGUUGGAUUUAAAUUUAAUUCUUGAAAGUUUGCUAAAAAAGUUGGCAUGGAAGUGUCGUAUACUUCGGGUAGAGAUUUGCAACACCUUUGAAAAGUCAAAAGAAUGAAGAGAACACAACACAUGUGUAACACCCCGUUUUCCCAACAUAAAAAUUUCACAUAAAUAAUCAUAGUAUUCACAUAAACGGAAUGUCACACUUCUUUCGUAAAUUAUAAUCGGGAUAAAAUUACUAUUUAUCCUUCAAAAUUCAAUAGCAUAAUCAUUUCAAACUUCGCAGCGGAAUUAUUUCAACAUUUAAACAGUCUUUGGUACGAAGGCCUCAUCAUAAUAUCUCAUAUGCUUAAAUAUGCAAACUGUCCCUGUAAAAAAAAAAAAAAUUAAUUACAUCCCUGUAAUUUUUUUUUUUGUUUUAAAAAUGUCCUUGGCCCCACUUCGCUGGUGAUGUGGCAACGUUUUGGGCCACGUGGCAGUUGCUGACUAGGCAACUGAUGCCACGUGGCAGUCCAUAUAAUUAAAAAAUUAAAAUUAUUUUUUUAAAUUUAAAAAUAUAAAAAAAAAACAUUUUAAAAAAUCUGAAAAAAUAAAAAAAUAUUAAAAUAAUUUUCUGAAAUUAUUUUUAUCAUAUAAUUUUUAUAAAAAAAUAUUAUUUUUUUAAAAUUAUAAAAUCUGAAAUUUCUGAAAAAAAAUGAAAUGAUUUUUUAAUUUUUUUUUUAAAAUAUGAAGAAAAAAAUAUAAUUUUCAAAUUAAAGUCGAAAAUUUAAUUUUAACAGUUUUUUUUUUUCAAUUUUUAUAAUGAUUUUUGAAUUUAUUUUCAUAUUUUUUUAAUUUAAAAAUAAUUUUAAUUUUUUAAUUAUGUGGACUGCCACGUCGAGUGCCACGUGGCAGAAGUUGCACAGUCAGCAACUGCCACGUGGCAAAACCCAUGCCACAUCACCAGCGAAGUGGGGCCAAGGACAUUUUUAAAACAAAUUUUUUUUUACAGGGAUGUAAUUAAUUUUUUUUUUACAGGGACGAAAAUCAAAAUGAGCCCAAAUUACAGGGACAGUUUGCAUAUUUAAGCCUAUCUUUUAAAUCAAUCAUAAAUAUCUCAUAAGUCAAAUCCAACAAUCUAGUCAUAAAUCCUCAUAGAGCAAUACAUAAGGAAUAGAAAGAAAAAAAAACAAUAACAAGUUUCAAUCCCGUUACGUAUCAGAGCACCUAAAGACACACGUGAGAGAGUCCACUCACGACCGCAACUAAUCUUGGUUACCUGCAAGUUACCCAUGUAUAGAGGCAACAUUUCAAAGCAGAAGGGGUGAAAUUCACAAACAAUAAUAUUAAGCAUAUUAUUCAUCACUUAUAUUUAACAACAUAAACAUCUUCAACGCAUCAUAAUAUUAAUUCUCAAUAAACACUUCAUUAAAAUAUCACAACUUAACAACUUGACUUGACAAUGCAACUUCAACUUGACUAUGCAACUCUAUCUUCUUAAUCAUGCAUGUGGUACCAAUCCAGGGCAUCAAGCCCUCAACAUAAGAGUAUAAAUAUACUCACAGGGCAUCAAGCCCUCAACGAGUAGAGCAAAGGCUCACAGGGCAUCAAACCCUCAACGGGUAGAGCAAAAGCUCACAGGGCAUCAAGCCCUAAACAUAAAUGAGUAUGCAUGGACUCAACAUCUUACAACUUAGAAAACAUCGACAUCUUAUGAUUCCAAUAAUUUGGAUCAACAUCUUACAUCUUAGACCGACUCAUGCAGCUUAAUCAAUAAUAAACAGCAACAUAGGCAGCACAUAAAACAGCUCAUGAUAUAGCAAUAUCAAAUGAUAAUCAACAUCAAUCUUAAACAUCUCUUAUAAUUCGCAUACUGUAUAUACAAUUAUAUCACAUUAUUAGCAACAUCAAAUCAUUUAUAUCAGGCUUACUGAAACAGCAGCAGUAGUAUAAGCAACUUCAUUUCCUACCCCAAGGAUCAUCUCACAACAACUCGUGCGACAAAAUCACAUAAAUCCUAAACAAGGUAGUUUGUCUAACAGGAGCUCGCGAGGCGAGGGCCUCUACUCGCCUGGCGAGUUCACAAAUUUGGUUGUUCGCCUUGGCGAACAAGCAGCUCGCCUUGGCGAACUAUAAACUAGGUGCUCUCGGGAACUUGACAUUUUUCACCCAAAAAUCCCAUUUUUAACUUCCCUGUGUUCAAUCUCAGUCUAAAAACUUGCCUAAUCAUUCUUAUACAUAUUCUGGCACUCAAAACCAUCUAAAGCUCGACUAAAGGAUUAAUUUCCAAAAUCAAGGUUGACUCAUUGGUCAACUCGCUAUGGCGAGUGACUUGCUCACUGUGGCGAGCAACUUCUAGGUACUCGCGUGGCGAGCGAUGAACUUCAUCCCUCGCGAGGCGAGACAUGCUGCUCGCAAGGGCGAGCGAUGAAUAUAGGCUUGGGCAGAAUGCAGAUUUUCACGAAAAUCCACCUAAUCACAUGGUUUUAAGCUUAACAUUGAUUCCUGUAAUCAUCGUAUGGCUUAUCUAAGGUCUGUACACGCUUUCUCCAUCAAUUCAAUGGUUUCUCACCCUCUAAUCAUCAAUUCUCACUCUUAACCCGAAUUCUUAAAUUCUCAAAAACUAGUCCUACAACAUGUUAAAUACAACUAUCAGAAUUAGAGGCUUAAGAAAAUUGAGUGCUAGUCCCACCCUUACCUUAAGGAAUCGAUUGGACAGCCUCUCUUGGUUAUUCUCUUCUCUUGUUCUCCCUUUUCUCCAAAAACUGCUUGUACGUGAAAACUUUUCUAAACCUAGUUCUCACCUAUUUAUAUCUCCCCAUCUAUCUUAUCUUAUUCCACUUUUUUCCACAAAACUCUCUAAAUUCACAAAACAACCCCUCAUCUCAAUAUUUAUUUUAUUUUCAAAUCUUAAUCUAUUAAAUAAUAAAAUAAGCCACAACACCUCAUAAAAUUUCUAAAAUCACAUGAAUCACAUAAAUAUAUUUCAAACUCAAUAAAAUAAUUCAAAUAAUCAAAGUGGGCGUUACAACAUGUAUUCUAUCAAAUCAACUAUAUAAAUUCUCUUUCUUAAAAAAAAAACUAUAUAAAUUCUCACAUCGAAUUCCCUCAUAUAAAAUGAGUAUUCACACAAAGGAAUGCAUUCCAAGAGGUUGCUUUGAACUUAAUCUUACUGCCCUGCCAACUGACAAGUUUCAAUUGACAGAGGAGCAUGAUCAAGUUCAAAGGAACCUCUUAGAGGUGCAUUCCCGUCAUUCUUUGACUUUUUAAAGAAUAUGCAAAUAUCUAUCCUAAGUAUACGACACUUCGAUACUAACAUCUUCAACAAACUAACAAGAAUUAAACUUAAAUUUCUAACAAAAUAAAGACAAUACAUAAUAACGAUGCUACCUAAUCAUAAUCUUUUGGCGGAAUCAAACUGUUGAGAAUAUCUUCAGGCAAUCUCAUCAACGUGACAAACAUAUCAAUCCACGGAAACAUGUUGUGCUGCCAAAAAAUCGAGAACAUGCUCCUCACGUCGUCAUCGUUCGUUAAUUCUAGCCAACUGAAUGUUAUUCUGCCCCUCGUCCAACGUUGGGCAUUCAUACCAAAUGUAUUUCACUCUCCUUGUGUCUCCGGGGUUGAGUCCUUAGUUGAUUUCAUUCAGUUGAUCCUUGAGACCUUUUAACGUGACAUUAAUGUAAAGAACCUUGAACAUCUGAGGAUUUUCACCGUUGAAGCGUAUGCAAACAUUGAACAAAUCAGCCAUUGUUUCAAAUCUACACCAUAAAAAAUUAAACGAUCAAUGAAAAACUCAUUCAAACAUUUCAUCAAACACUUGGAGUGCAAAUUAUACAUAAAUCCUAAAACUAAUAACUACAACAUCAACAUGCAAACAUCUAAACAAUUAAGGAAUAUAAAUCAUUUACAUGUAAUAUUGUAUCAUUGCUUGCCAAAAAAAAAUGAAAAUUUAAACAAACCCUAAAACUAAAAAAAUUCUAAUGUAAGAAGAAAAAUCCAACAUAUAAACAUAAAAAGGUUAAUGGUGUUUCAUUAUGAAAACUUACUUGUUAUUGGAGUGUUGUUUGAUUUAAACUUGAAGGAAUUUUGGAUUUGGGUGAUUUGAGAGAGAUUUUGGAGAUUUUAGAUGGGAAAUGAGGAAAUAAGGUUAUGUCUGCCUUUAAAAUAACACGCAACGUGAGUUAAGUCACGCAAAAUUAACACUAGCAUGAGUUAACUCACGCAGGGGUAAUUUUGAAAAUUUGGUUGGAAAUGAGCAAAACAUGUUGGGAGAAGAGCAUAAUUCCAAUGACGAUGUGGACCGACCCAUCUCAUUUAGACUUGUCCUGCUGGUAGCCAUAAAAAUGGGACUAUUACUUUUCCCACCCUAUGCCUUUACUCGCGAGCCCUAUUUUUUUCCAAAAUUACCAUCUGAGCAUUCCGGAUUUCAUAAUCCGGAAUGGUAUUUUCCUUUGUUAUAGGGUGAAAAAUGGAGUUACGGGUUUUUCCGGAUUUUGUAAUCCGGAAACUUCAAAAAAUAGGGCGCGUUACAUGAUGUUUCCGGAUUACAUAAUCCGAAAACCCCCUAAACACCCUUUUUCAACGUAAAACAUUUCAGAUUAUAUAAUCCGAACUGUAUCAGCACAAAUUCUAAACAUGUUUGUAACAUGGAUAGUCAUUUUAUGGACAAUAUUAUUCUUCCUAAUUCGCAUCCUUCUGUUUUGGGUCAUUGUUACAUGUUCUUAGUCAAAAAUCGGGUUUCCGGGCUACUUGACCGGAUUGCUCCGAAACUUGCCCAGAAAAUCAAAAAAAAUUCAAGGACCAUGCCUCCCCUAGAAGGGACUUCCAAUGGGACUCCACCCCUCAAAAUCCAAAAUUCCAUCGUUUAGACCAAUUUUUAAUUUUUUUAAUUUUUCAUAUUUUCAGAAAAAUCCGAAAAAAUUUGCAUUAUUUUUAUUUGAUUUUUAGAAUUUUUUGAUGCUAUUUUUAUAUUUUUAUGAUUUUAUUUGAUAGGUUUUAAGCAUUUUUUACUUAGUUUUUUUUUUGUUGUUUUGAAAAGCAAAACUCAAAACUGUUAAAAUGUGAGAGAGUCUGAUGUCUGAUUAUACAUAAGAAUUGUCCGGAUUAUAAAAUCCGAAAUAAUAAACAUGAAUCCGGAUUUUAAAAUCCAGAAUGCACAAGGGCAUUUUUGAAAAAAUUAUAGGGCGCAGGAGAAGGCGAUAAGAUGGGAAAAGUAAUAAGAGUAAGGCGAGACGGGUAAGUUUGAGGUAGUGCGUUCAAACACAAAUUUCAUUUUAUUAAAAGACAUAAUAACGAGUUUUAAUUAUUAUUUUUUAGGGCGACUGAGGAGUUGGUAGUUGACAAAAAAAAUUAGGAAGAAAAUUUGCAACAUUUUGUUUUUUUAAAAAGCGUUGUCUACGAAACUUAAACUUUUAUAUGUAAGAUAUAAGAGCAUUUCUUAAAACACGGAAAAAAAGAAAAACGUUAAGAAGGAAAUUUGCAACAACUUUUUAUCUCCAAAAAGUUUUUUUUAUUGAAGGAAUGAUUCUAAAAAUUUUUCUUUAUUUGAGGGAAUAUCUCUAAAAAGUUGUUUAAUUGACUUAACAAGUUUUAAAGAAAAAAAUUAGUAAGAAAUUUUCAACAACUUUUUUUCUCGAAAAAGUAGUCAGAUAGAUUUUUUUUUAAAGAAAAGUUGCCUAAAAGAUUAAAGAACUUUUUUUUCCCAUAGAAGAUAAGAUAUCAUUUUAAAAAAAAAAAAAAUUAGUUAAAAAGGAAAUUUGUAACUUUUUUGACUGUAAAAAGUUGUCUAAAAGACUUAACUUUUAUAUAUAAGAUAAGAGAUCAUUUAUUUAAAAAAAAACAAAAAACAAAAAGUUAGCAAGGAAAUUCGAAACAAUUUUUUUUUCUCAAAAGAGUUGUCUAAAAUCAUAAGAACUUUUAUAUAUAAGAUAAGUGAGAGAAUUCAAAAUAUCAAGAAUAGGAGUAAUCUUCAACUCUUCUUUUGACUUCAUUUCUAAUAGGUUACUUGCAAUCAUACAUAUAUAGUAUUGACCUUGAUUAAGGGUGUCGAGUUUACUUGAUAGCAAAUUCAAUCAAAUGUCAUUUAAUGAUUUGAAUUACUAUGUUUUAAGCUUCUAAUCUUUCAUUAUAAAUGACCUUUUUUGUCUUUUGAAAAAUAUUUAUUGUUGCAGUAAUGAAAGCAGUGUUGUGAAGGAAAUAGUUGGCAAUGUUUUGAAAAAACUAGACAAGAAAUACUUGCCUAUCCCAGAUUUUCCAGUAGGAUUAGAAUCCCGUGCGGAAAAAUUGAUUCAGUUUCUAAGAAAGAAUACAAGAGGAGUUUGUUUAGUAGGGAUUUGGGGAAUGGGAGGGAUUGGCAAAAGCACCAUUGCCAAAGUCGUCUACAAUAAUCUUUGUUAUGAAUUUGAAGAUCAAAGCUUCCUUGCUAAUAUUAGACAAGUUUGGGAGAAAGAGAGGGGGCAAAUUGAUUUACAAGAACAACUUCUUUCAGAUAUCCUUAAAACAAGAAAUGUAAAGGUGCAUAAUGUUGAGUGGGGAAAAGCUAUGAUCAAUGAACGACUUUGCACGAAACGGGCACUUGUUAUACUUGAUGAUGUCAGUACACGCGAGCAAUUAAAUGCAUUAUGUGGAAAUCGAAAUGGGAUUGGUCCAGGAAGCAUAAUAAUCAUCACAACAAGAGAUGCACGUCUACUUGACAUCCUUGGAGUUGAUUUUAUUUAUGAAGCGGAGGGAUUGAAUGUGCACGAAUCUCGUAGGCUUUUCAACUGGCAUGCGUUUAAGGAGGCGAAUCCAAGUGAAGCUUUCCUCAUACUCUCCGGAGAUGUAGUUUCCUAUUGUGGUGGACUACCACUAGCUCUUGAAGUCCUUGGAUCUUACUUAUUCAAUAGGAGAAAACGAGAGUGGCAGAGUGUAAUAUCCAAGCUACAAAAGAUACCCAAUGAUCAAAUACACGAGAAACUAAAAAUAAGCUUUGAUGGUUUAGAGGAUCAUAUGGAAAAGAAUAUAUUUCUUGAUGUCUGUUGUUUCUUUAUCGGUAAGGAUAGAGCUUAUGUUACAGAGAUACUAAAUGGGUGUGGACUUCAUGCUGAUAUUGGAAUAGAAGUGCUGAUAGAGAGAAGCCUCCUAAAAGUUGAAAAGAAUAACAAGCUUGGAAUGCAUGCUCUGCUACGAGACAUGGGAAGAGAAAUUGUUCGUGAAAGUUCACCUGAGGAGCCUGAGAAACGUACUCGAUUGUGGUGUUUUGAAGAUGUAGUUGAUGUACUGGCCGAACAAACCGUAAGAAUUCUACAUUGCAUUUUGAAUUUUUGUCAUCCUUCACGAUCUUUGAAGAUAAAAAUAAAACUAUGUUUCAGAAAUGUUUUUUUACUUUUCCCAUCUAUUGGCUGAAAAUUGUGGGAUUCAUCAUCUCACAAGUGUUUGUCCAAAGUUUUUGGAGAAGUUAGUUCAUGAGAAAAAUGUCAUUUUAUAUAUGAUUGGGUAAGGGUUUAAGCAGAAAUUUUAUGUGUUGCUUUUUAGUUACCAAAUAGCAAGUUAAGGAUUCCUUUUUAUUUUAUUUUAUUUUUGUUUUUUCUAUGGUCUUUCUUUGUGUCACAGGGAACAAAAGCCAUCGAGGGAUUGGUUUUGAAGUCGCAAAGGACCAGUAGAGUUUGCUUCAAUACAAUUGCUCUUAAGAAAAUGAAGAAAUUGCGAUUGUUGCAACUUGAUAAUGUACAAGUCAUCGGAGAUUAUGAGUGUUUUUCGAAGCAGUUGAGAUGGCUUUCUUGGCAAGGAUUUCCUUUAAAAUACAUGCCAGAAAACUUUUAUCAGAAAAAUGUAGUUGCUAUGGACUUAAAACACAGUAAUCUUACACAGGUUUGGAAGAAGCCUCAGGUACAUAUGACAAUAGAUAUUCCUUUUAAAAUUAAUGGUUAAUGGAAAUAGUUAUUUUGCAUCUUAUUCUCUAAUUUUUAUUUAAAACAUUUAUUUUCUUGUAGUUGAUAGAGGGACUGAAGAUCCUAAAUCUCAGUCAUUCUAAGUACUUGAAAAGAACCCCCGACUUUUCAAAAUUACCAAACCUAGAAAAGCUAAUUAUGAAGGAUUGUCAAAGUCUGUUGGAGGUACACCCGUCCAUUGGAGAUCUCAACAAUCUUCUUCUGAUAAAUUUGAAGGACUGUACGAGUCUUAGCAAUCUCCCAAGAGAGAUCUAUCAAUUGAGAACAGUGAAAACUCUCAUCCUUUCUGGUUGUUCAAAGAUUGACAAAUUAGACGAAGAUAUAUUGCAAAUGGAAUCCUUGAAAACUCUAAUGGCAGCAAAUACUAGAGUCAAACAAGUGCCUUUUUCGAUCGUCAGAUCAAAAAGCAUUGGAUAUAUAUCUCUAUGUGGAUAUAAAGGAUUAUCACAUGAUGUUUUUCCUUCUCUCAUUAGGUCUUGGAUAUCACCAGCAAUGAAUUCCUUACCAUGCAUUCCCCCUUUUGGUGGCAUGUCAAAGUCUCUUGCUUCCUUGGAUAUAGAGAGCAAUAAUCUGGAUUUGGUGUCUCAAUCACAAAUACUUAACAGUUGUUCAAGACUUAGAAGUGUUUCAGUACAAUGUGACUCAGAGAUUCAACUGAAACAAGAAUUCAGAAGAUUUCUUGAUAAUCUAUAUGAUGCAGGUCUUACUGAAGUGGGAACAUCACAGGCAUUACAAAUUUCGGAUCUUUUCAUGAGAUCCCUUUUGUUUGGUAUCGGAAGUUGUCACAUUGUCAUCAAUACUCUUGGCAAGAGCUUAUCACGGGUUUCUUCUCCAUCCUCCCACCUUUACUGAUAAUUAUUAAUUUAUUACUUAGGAAAACAUAGAACUACUUUCCAUUUGCAUUUUUUUUUUUUCAAAUGGUAAAAGAUUUUAAAAUAUACAAAUUUAUUCAAGUAUCAUAAGAGAAAACAUAUUUUUUCUACAUAUCAUUUUUUCUUUAAAUUUAUCUUCAUUGCAUUUAUUUGCUACUGUUAAUAUUUAUUACAUUUGUUUAGCUUAUUCAUAUAUUCGUAACACAUGUUUAACUUUGAAAGGAUAUUUGAAUAACUAUUGAAGCUAUACACGGGGUUUAGUCGUUUACAUAUUGAACGAGAAAGAGAAACAGAAUAAUAAAAUUAUAUUUUUGUUGGUCUGGAUGGUUAUAUUGGAUCUUCUUGCCAUACAAAACAAAUCACUAGCUCGACAAUUGUUUUAUAAAAAAAGUUUAGUACAUAACUACAAUCUAAAACGAAUAAGGUAACUAGAUAACUUUUUACCUAUAUUUUUUGAAGUGCAAGUAUAUGUUAUGUUUUUGCUCUCUACAUUAGAAGGGAUCCAUGACCAUGUAAGCUAAUGUUGCUACAAUGCUACCUUUUAUUAGAAAUCAAAGCUUCCAGAUGUUUCAUAUGUUAGCUCACAAGCCUUUUGUAUUCAUGAAAGUGAAUCGACUGUGUGUGAAAAGGAGACAAAUUACUCUACAUAAACGAAAACAAUACUAUUCCUAAUGUUUUGAAGACAGAAAAUGAUUGGUUUUUCUACGAUGUUGAUACUAGGCCUUACAUAUUAUCAGACACUCUUCAAAGAAGGGAAUACAAAAGUAAAGUGCAAGUAGAGCUAGUUAAUGAAAAAUCUUCUUAUGGAUUCAUAAGAUAGUAGAACCCUGAGAGUGUGUUUGGAUGGGGGAAUGUUUUGAGGGAAUGUAGUGUUUUGAGGGAAUUCAACUACUUUGAGUUGAAUUCAAAUUCCCUCAAAACAUUACAUUCCCUCAAAACAUUUCCCCAUCCAAACACACUAUGAGAGAAUUUGUAGACAAACAUACAUAUGUUAUUACAAUGGUUACUGUGAAAGAUGAGUUGUAGCCUGUAGGAAAGUGGAAAGAAACUAUACUGCAUUUUCCAUUCAAUCUGUUUCCUUGUUUAUAUUUUUUUGUACACUAUUUUAAUUUUUAACACAAUAAAUUGCAGAAGUUGUCCAUUUGCGUAGCAUAAUUAGAAUUGCAUAAGUAAGUAACGAAGCAUAUUUUCAUGAUACAGGGAUUGACAACCAAUUUAGGUGAUUCCCUUCCGGGUGACAAUUAUCCUUCUUGGUUAGCCUAUAAAGGUGAAGGACCUUCAGUACUUUUCCAAGUGCCGAAGGAUAGUGAUUCUUGCAUGAAGGGAAUAGCUUUAUGCGUUCUUUAUUCAUCAACACCUGAAAAUUUGGCAACUGAAAGUCUCACUAGUGUCUUGAUCAUUAAUCACACAAAAUUCACUAUCCAGAUUUACAAACGAGACACAAUAAUGUCGUUUAAUGAUGAAGAUUGGCAAGGCAUAGUGUCAAAUUUAGGAGUUGGUAACAAUGUGGAAAUAUUUGUAGCUGUUGGGCAUGGAUUUACUGUUAAGGAAACUGCGGUUUAUCUAAUAUAUGAUCAAUCUAUUUCUACGGAAGUUGAGCCAUCAAGUACUAUUGAAGUUGACCCAUCAACUAGCACAAAUAUUGAGCCAUUACAUGAAGUGGAAGUGCAAUCAUCACUUAGUGUGAAAAUGGAGGCAUCGGCCGAAGAGCAACUACAACCAUCACUUGAUGUGAAAACGGAGGCAUCAGCUGAAGAGGAUGUACAACCAUCACCUAAUGUGAAAAUAGAGCCAUCAGCUAAAGAGGAAGCACAACCAUCACCCGAUGUGAAAAUGGAACCAUCACUUGUCAAGAAUGAACCAUUACCGAACGCAAAUAGAAAAAUAUUUACAAGACUUGCAAAGAGAGUGGGAGAAUGUUUAUGCUUGAACCAGAAAUGAGUAACAACUUUUGAUUGGGCAUGCCUAUUGUCCUGAUAUGGAAUUCCCAUGUAUGUGUUUUUUGCUUAAUGAAAAUAUGUAGAAAAUAUGUGUUUAUGCUUGAACCAGAAAUGAGUAACAACUUAAUGAACCUAUUGUGCCAAGUUGCUUGCCUUUGUUUCAUCUUCAAAUACACCAUUUUUGCACGUCUACUAUUCUGAUGGAAUACCAAUUACAUGAAUGUCAUUCUUUCGUCAAUUGGUUCAUUUGGUUCUUGAUUCUGAAAAUUUGACUCAUUUGUUGUGUUUCCUUCUACCUACUGGUUCUUAUUUUUCAUUUCUUUUACUACUGGUACUCUGGUAGCAUGUGUUGGAUCAAAUUUACAUUCUCACUAUAGUUGAAAUUUUCAUGGAGAGUAAUAUGCACUGUUAGUCUGUUACUCCUGUUAGUCCUAAACCGAGAUUCCAAUAUUGGGCGUACAGUAAAAUUUGAAGUAAAAACGACCAUCGUAGUUAAUGAAGUAAACUGGAGAAUGCAAAAAUAGUACAUUUCCCCUUAAAAAAAUAGUACAUUUCACAAAAAUUCAAAUAAAAAAUAAACCUAAAAUGCACACAUUAUUUUUUUUUCUUUCAGUGAUAUAAUAUAUACUAAAAUUAUUUCUAUAAAAAAUAUUACUAAAAUUAUUGAAGGAAAAAAAAAUUGAGUGAGAGUGAGAUAUUGUGUUUGAAAUGAUUUUGAAUGGUAUGAAAUGCCAGUGCUUUGUUAUAUCUUGGUUUUCUUCCAAACUUGUUUUAUACUACUAUGUUUUAAGUCAAUAACAAGAUUUCUUUGAUAAAAGUCAUCAGGUAUUUUGUUGAAGGUAAAUCCUUUCCAAUGUAUUCGUCUCAGGUCAUUAGAAAGACACUUAUAAUCUCUAGUGAGGUCGACAUGAUCAAGUUGUAAAAGUCUCGUUUCUUCAUCCUUUUUAAAGAAUCAGUACUGACGAAAAGUUAAAUGCUUUGCAAACUUCAAAGCCAAGUCAUUUACAGGUUCUGUUUCCUACAAAAACAUAGAAGUGUAAAGUGAAACCAUUUUCGCUUCCUUGCUAGAGAAAAGUAUAACAAGCUGCAGAGAUGCAAACCGAGCAGAAGCUACUCAAGUCGAGAGGGAAUCAAUAAAUACACUGCUUGAUGACUUAAGACAUAUAGUUUUUUCAAGUAACCUUUUGAAAUAUCUUCCAAAUCACACAAACUGUAGAGAAAAGUUAAAACAUUUAUUAUUCAAAAUCGGAGAUAGGGUUGAUGAACUAUCUGAGAAACAAGUUUUGGGUCUUACUUAGUUCACUAAAAUCUUCAAAGAAACAAAUUCAAUUACUUAAGGAGCAAGUAAAUAAGCUUCAUCAAGAAAAGUCUGUCUUGAAAGAUACUUGUUCGAAAUGUCAAGAAAAAAUGGUCGACAUUCUGAAAGAAAUCAAAAACUCUAUCAUCCAAUACUUUAAAAAUCCUUGAGAAAACUUCUCUCCUUGAAAAGAAAGAACAAAAAUUCAAUUGGAAUUGCAAGAGACUCCAAGAGCACUAUACCAAAAUGAAAUCAGCACCUCCUUGAAUUUAGAUCUUUUUAUCAUUUGUUUAACUACUUUAUAAUUUGCUAUAUGGUAUAUAACUAUGAUUACCAUAUUUCUUCUCUUUGUUGUAUAUAUGUAAUUGGGAAUGAUAGUUUUCUAUCUCAAUACUGAAGUUAAAUCGGAAACAUUAUGUAUUGUGGUUGUAUUUUUCUUCAUUCAUCUCUGUGAGGCACUAAGAAGUUGUUUCAAUCUGUUUAUUUAUGUUAUCCCCCAGAUAUAUUCAUUGUUUUCUAUUGUUUUGGCUUGAAAAAUGAAGAGAAAAUGAAUUGUCUCCAGUUGAUUAAAAAACACUACAGGAUUGAUACACUUUUAUAGACUUUAUUGAAUCUAUCCUAAUUAAUGAGAUAGAAUAUAAUAAAAUCAGAAUAUAAACUGUAAAUAUGAGUGAAUAAAUAAUGUGAUAUAGUUGCUUCUUGUUCGUUAUAUGUUAGGAGCACAGAUAGCCAAUAUCAGUAAUGGUGUAUUGCCAUAACAUUAUGAUGCUCACAAAGCAGAAAGUAAAAUAAAACUAAUUGUUUUUUCUUUCAAGCGGUAGAAGGCUUUCCUUAUAAAUCAUUAUCCGGCAACAUGAGUCACCUUUAACACCAAGCUCUUCGAUUCUCUGGGUGCUUAAAUCAAACCAAACUAACUCAUUAUCCUUUUUUCUGAAGAAUAUAUCGCCCUUCUUACAAAUUCCAAUAGGAUGUUCAAUGCCAGGCAAAGGACCUACAAUAAAGAGUUUGGUCCAUGACUCUUUGAACCCAACUUCACCCAAAAUUGAUAUGUGAAAUUUUGAUUUCUUCAGUUUAAUUUUUGAUAAACAUCAACUACUACUACCUAUAUAUUUCUUCAGUUUAAUUUUAUUACAUGACUAUAAUCCUAUUGCCUUCAACAACAAUCACACAACUCAAUCCUUCACCAAAAAUCAAUUUUCACAUAAAAUCCAUUUUCACAUGCAUCAACCAACCACAACAAAUCUAAAGUUCAAAAAAUAAGACAUAAAAUAUAACUACCUUAGCAUCCUGAUCAAACCUCCUUAAGCAUCCCAAUAGAACCAGGAUCACAAGCAUCAUAUGUGUCAUUGAAAAAUCAACAUAAACCCAACUUUUAUUGGACUAAAGGUAACCACACAAGUACUUUUGAAUUAGGAGGAACAACCUAUGAAUUAGGAGGAACGACCUAUACGCACUGCAACUUGAUCUUGAGUGGCCAUGAAGUAAGAGAUAUGAAAUCAGCUAAUAUAUGUUUUUUAUAAUUUGUAGUCAACAGAAUCAUCAACUGAUAUAUUUGCAUCAAUUUCUUUGUUACAAAAAUGCAGAUAUUUUUGUAAGAAUUUAAUACCAGAAGUUUUGCUCGUCCUAUGAAUAUUUGUGCACAACUAUUUUUUGUGAACUAGAAACCUCAUUGUUCACAUUGAUAAUAGAAAGAUCUUUGAAGCGUUUCUUCAUUGAUUUUGCUCCUUUAAUAAACAAAAGGCAUGUCAUAUUAACUAAAUAGUAUGUCUUUGGUUAAGCUAAUUAGUAAUUAGAUAAUUGAUUGAAGAUUAUUAUGUUCUAUUAGAGUAUGUCUUUAUUUCAAGGAAUAAAAAAAAUGGAUAUAUGUUGAAAUUAGAAGUUGUUGCUAACAAAAAUUGAUCAAUACUUGUUCUAUUGAAUUGAUAUGCUUGUCAUCAAUAGGAAACUGCAUUAUUAUGUCUUUAAAUUUUGGCACAUAUGUUGUGCUUUCAAACCACAUCUACCACAAAAUAUAUGUAGCUGGUUGUAAUUUGUGGCAUGCCUAAAUUUUUUUUUUUUUUGGUGUUGUAACAAAAAACACAUAUAUAUAUAUAUAUAUAUAUAUAUAUAUAUAUAUAUAUAUAUAUAUAUAUAUAUAUAUUAUGUCCUGAAUGUUUAUAUAAUUUUUUUUAUGGAAUUAUAUAUAUAUAGGGGUUUGCUAGAACACACCCACUAAUUUUUAUGUGGGAGUGUUUUAGCAAAGCUACACCUUAGGGUGUAUUUAACCACUUUUUAGUUAUUAAUUUGCUAAAAUACUCCUUCUAAAAAAUAAGUGGGUGUAUUCUAGCAAAUGCCUAUAGGAUUUGCUAGAACACACCCACUUGUUUUUUUUAGAAGGUGUGUUAUAGCAACAUACACCUUAAGGUGUAUUUAUUAACUUUUAAGUUGUAACUUGCUAAAACACUCCCACAUAAAAACUAGUGGAUGUGUUCUAGCAAAUUAUAUAUAUAUAUAUAUAUAUAUAUAUAUAUAUAUAUAUAUAGCCGAGUAGUCCCAUUAUCCUUAAUCUUAGUUAUCUAAUUCUCUUUUCUCUCUUUACCUGAUCCAUGUGAUUUCAACAUAGUACCAAAGCCAUAUUUAAUUCAUAUUUUGUUAAAACAAAUCUACUUUUUUAAAGAUUUUUACAAUAUUCUACAUAUUUCUGCAUAAUUUCAUUAAAAAAAAUACAAAUAUUACUCAUGAAUUGACUUCAAAAUUGGGACCAAAAGUGGAAAUUGAAAAUCUUAUAAGGACUAAAAGUUGAAAAAAAUAAAUUAAAGGAACUAAAACGAAAAAUUGAUAUAUUUAUUGAGACUAAAAAAAAUAUUUAACUUUCCAAUGUCUCUCCUCCUCUGUUUGGACUCUUUAUUAAUUAGAGGUGAUUUUAAACUUCAGAUGUUUCUCUUGUUGUUUUGAGAUUUGCCAUUAAGCACCAUGUUUGGAUUGCCUUUUUUCCUUCUGAUAUAAAUUGGUUCUAUUGUGGUUUUGUUUAGCUCUUUUAUUUUUUUUACCAUUGUUGCUUUUGCAUUAGCACCUUAUUCUUAUUUUUGUUUGUUUAAAGGAAUGAUCAAUAUAAAUGCUUCCGGUUGUUAUACUUAUGGUAGCUUUUAUUUAUAGAUAUUUAUGAUUAAUUUAUAGAAAUAUAUAUAUAUAUAUAUCAAGGAUUAAUUACAGAUGAAUAAAAGACAAGCGAACAAUAAGUUGCGUCAUUAGGCCUUUAAGAAAGGCAAAAUCAAUCCUCGUGAACACGACAUUCAUGGGCCUAGGAGACAUGACAUUGCUAUACAUGACCAUUUUGAACUCUAUAUAGGUCAACAACCUCUCGUGCUAGGAAAGUCAUCAAAUGUAAAAAUGGAAUAAAUUUUGUUGGAUGUAGUAUAGAAUUUGCCCACAUAUUAUUCCGUUCAUGCAUGUGAAUGCUUUUGUUGCGGCCGACUCAAGUAUUACUGCAUCUCCACGGUGGACGCCAAAUGUUCUUGCUGGUACACAUGGAGACGAGCCAUGAGAUAUUUGUGCCAUUUGGAUAAAAGUUAAUUAUUUAAUAUAUAUAUAUAUAUAUAUAUAUAUAUAUAUACACUCUUUUUUAAAAUUUUAGUCCCUAUUAAAAUUUAUUGAAAAAUUUAGUUCUCCAUAAUAUUGUAGCUUAAAAUAACGGUUCCUAUUUUAAAAAUAUUUUACUUAAAAUGAAUACUUUUAGUCCUCAAAAUAAUCGACAUAAAAGGAAAAUAAGGUUUCAAAGUGAAUAGAUUUUUUUGAAUAACUAAAUUUGAAAGCUCCUGUUUUUGUACUAAGAUAUUUAUAACCAGUAAUAAAAUAAAUUUGUAAGCCAAAUCUUGAGAAAACAAUUGUCAAAUGUAAUGUUGUAAACUCUUUUUGAAAUCUUCUUUUACGUAUCUUAUUCUUAUGCUUGAAGGCAGCGACGGAUCUAGGAUUUUUUAAUAGUGGAGGCAUCAUAUAAAAAAAUUUGUAGCAUUAAUAAUUGUCCUCUACAAUUUUUCAUAUUACGGAAACUUUGAACGGUUUUCUUAUUUUGAAAAUCAAUAAAAAUAUAUUUCUCUAUAUAAAUAACUAAACAAUCAUUUAACCGAUCAUCUCUCAUUCGAUUUUGCAUCCAAUUCUUGAUAAUAUUCAUACUAUCAAAAAAUAAUUUGAGAUAUAUGAUGAUAUAUGUGGGCCAAAAGAAAAAUAAUUUGUGAUAAGUGUAGACCGUGUGGUCAAAAUGUGAACUAUUGAUACAUUAUACUACUAAAAAUAAUAGUUUCUAAAAAUUUAAUGUAGGCACAAGCCCACACAUGGAUGAAUGAACAUACAUCCGUCCCUGCUUGAAGGACUUGUGAGCUUUGAUUAUUUUUAUUUUAUUUUGGCUUUUAAAAAAAAACAGAGAAAACAAUUGUAAAAAAAAUUAAAAAAAAUCCUGCAAAAGAGUCAACAAAACACUUCUUGAGUAUUUAGUUUUCACGUAUUUGCAAAAUCUUGCCUUAGCAAGCCUUAACUCAUAACAACCAUGUCGUUCUUUCCCUCUCGGACUCACACGAAAAAAAGUAAAUUGACUAUUACUUUUCUCACCUUAUGUACUUUUCACACGCCUUAUUUUUUCCAAAAUAUCAUUAGUUCGGAUUUUAUAAUUUAAACAAGAUUUCAAGAAAUAUUCAGAUUAUAUAAUCCAAAAAUGUCUUUUACCAAAUUUUUAAUUUGAGUUUAGUUUAUUUUAUAUUAUUUAGAUGCGAAAAUCAUAAAAUAAAUGAAAAAAAUAAAAGAACAAAACGAUAUACAUAAAAAUUUUAUUUUAUUAUUAUAUCAAUACAUUUAUAAUAAAGUUGAAGCUUAAAGCUUAUUACAUAGAACAUUCAAACAUAAACCAACCUAACACUCAGACAAACCGUGCUUCUUUGUAGCGCGUUGUCUUCCCCGUUACCCGUUCAUACAAUCCUUGAGUUUCCAAAGUAGCAUCUUUUUAUGAAAUGCCAACGAUGGAAACACAUUGUUGUAUAAGGAAGAUGAGGAGAGGAUGAGAGUGUGAGAUGAUGGUGUGAGAAAUGGUGAAGGUUUGAACGCUAUUUAUAGGGGGAAUGGUUGCAUAGAGUGUAUCUACACUUAAUGUUGAGUAAAAAAAUAUGGUUCAAAGGGGUUUUACCACCCAUCAAUGCUGAUAAAAACCUUUGAAAACAUGUUUUAUGUGGUUCAGACCACCGGCCAAGAAACUGACUUGGUUCAAAUUAUAUAAUCUGAAAUCAUACCCAUGGUUUUCGGAUUAUAUAAUCUUAAUUUAUUCAAUGUUAGGUGGAAAUGAAGGAACUUCAUACCUUAUGCAGGGUGAGAGACAUUUCGGAUUAUAUAAUAAGAAAAUGUUUAGGACAUGAUUUUUUCUGUGGUCCACAUUGCACCGACAGUUUAUGUGCUACAAGACACCCAAGUACCUCUAUAAAUAGGUGUCCCUGUUUUCAUAACCAAAAAACCACACACAAAAAAAAAAACAUGGAAAACUCUCUUUGAUCUGAACACCAAGCUAGUUACAGUGUACUACAACGGGGAGAAACCAAUCCAUCUAUUUAGGAUUCACACUUAUGUCGCCCUCUCUGUGUUGAAGGGUCAGCUGGAUCGAAUCAACCGCCAACUCAACUAAAGAGACACACGGAGGGUGGAUGGUGUUCAGUAUCGACAUCCAUCGAUCGACUCAGCCAGGAGUGUGCGGUUCACCCGGAUGAAGCUUAUGAACGGCGACGUGAGAACCAUAUUCUUGAUCUUUGGUCAAUACAGUACUAGAGGACCGAUCGAGUUGGACGCUUCGUUGGUCAGAUAUGUUGAACAAAUUCAUAAAAGUUUGAUCCGACCCAAGAACUACGAAGAGAUUAGGGCACUCUUGGACGCACCAUAUGAAGACAUUAAUUUAGCUGAUCUGUGGUAUGAAUGUCAUCAAAGGGUCCAUAUUGUCUCUGGUUCCCAUUCUCUAUUUUAUGGUUUUAUGUUGACGUGUAAUGCGUUUGAAUCAGGUACCUUAUUGGGAAUUCGUGUCUUACAAUUGGACCUUGACCCGGUGAAAAACAAUACCUGAAAAAAGAAAAACAAUGUGCUAGUUAUUGGCUUAUGCAGUUAAUACUUAGUAAUUCAGUUUUUCAAAGAUCACUUGUUCUUUAACAUAUUUGAAAACAUAUACUAAUGUAGAACAAUGUUAAAAAAUGUCAGAAUUGUUAACCUCUAAUUGUUGCAUAUGAAACAACAAUUACAAACCAUCACCAUCAAAAUAUAAAAUUGAAUUAUAAACACUUUUGAUGUCUAAACUACCAAUUUAAAAGUUUUUCCUCUAUAUUUUAUUUCAUUUACUUUUAUUUUAUAAACCCUCUAAUUCUUGCCUUUUUUACAGUUCAUAUAUAUAUAUAUAUAUAUAUAUAUAUAUAUAUAUAUAUAUAUAUAUAUAUAUAUAUAUAUACACUCACAAUUUUGUCUAUGCAUUAAUCAUUAAUGAACAUGAUGAAGUUAUAUCAGUUUGAAUUGCUCUUAUCCUUUCUAUUCAUCAUUGUCAAUACAACCCUUUCGGGUUAUAUCCCUCAAUUGCCUCAUUCUCUUGUCAAACAAAUAGACAAGAUCAAACAAUCUCCUCCAUCAGAUGAAGAUUCAAGGUCUAUCUCAAAUCAAAAAACAUUUGAGCACUUUCGGCUACUUCCGACAAUUUCUACUGAAAUUUGAUGAUGUUCUAGACGAGGAAACAAUAUCCGCUAUUAAGACCUACCAACAAUUUUUCAAUCUCCAAGUUACUGGUAACCUAAACACCGAGACUUUACAAAAAAUCUCGUUACCGCGAUGUGGUAUUCCUGAUAUGAGAUACGAGUAUGGCUUCGAUGUUGGAAGUGAUGUAUCAUUUCCGAAAGGAAACAAGUGGUUCCCUAAGGGCACAAAAAAGCUGACAUAUGGUUUUCUUCCAGGGAAAAAAUUCUCGUUACUGCGAUGUGGUAUUCCUGAUAUGAGAUACGAGUAUGGCUUCGAUGUUGGAAGUGAUGUAUCAUUUCCGAAAGGAAACAAGUGGUUCCCUAAGGGCACAAAAAAGCUGACAUAUGGUUUUCUUCCAGGGAAAAAAUUCUCAUUAGACAUGAUCGAAGGGUUUAGAAAUGCCUUCACACGAUGGUCGCAGACCACUAGGGUCCUAAAUUUUAGCGAGACUACAUCAUACGAUGAUGCUGACAUUAAGAUUGGAUUCUACCAUAUUUACAACAAUGAUAUUGUUGAUGAUGUUGUGGUGGGUGACUCUUUCAUCAGCAGAAACCUUGAUUCGAAUGUGAAAUCAGGUAUGAUACGUUUGGAGCGUUCAAAGUUUUGGGUGUCGCCAACUACCACCUACUUUAAGAAGUGGGAAUUGCAAGAAUUCGAUUUGGAGACUGUUGUCAUGCAUCAAAUAGGUCAUCUACUAGGACUUGAUCACUCUUCUGAUAAGGAGUCUAUUAUGUACCCAUUAAUAGAUCCAUUGCAAGAAAAGAAGGUGCAAAUAACAGAUUCAGAUAACCAAGCUAUACAACAACUCUACACCAACACUGCCAAAGCCAAUCCAAACUCUGAUCAUAGUGGGUGCUUUAAGCUUUUUGAGUCAAGUAUGUUCUUAUUAGCUUUUUGUCCCUUGGUUUUGCUUUUGUAGCUCUCGUGAACUUGGCUUCCUAAUUAAUAUAUCAUUUGAUUAGGGACUCACUUUAAUAUCCAUUGGAGUGCAAAAAUCACUUCAACUAGACUUUCGACCUAUCGACUAUAAUAAAGACCAAUAAGUUAGAUUAUCUAUUUUUAUUGAUGUUAAAUAAGUCGUAGGUUGUAUUAUCCUAAACUACAGUAUUCCCUUCGUCCCAUAAUAACUGAGCUAUUUGCACCCAAAAAAAUGUCUCAAAAUAACUGAGUCAUUUCACUUUUCAAUACAAUAUUAAUUAUUUUUUUCUUUAUAACUCUAAUUAAUACUACUUUCAUCACUCCAAUUCAAUAUGAUAGUGGAAAAUACACAAAUACUUAACAAGAGCGCUUAAAAUAAUUUUUCUCUCUCCUUCAUUUAUACAUUUUUUUUAAUAUAUGUGAAAUAAGCAAAUGACUCAGUUAAUCCGAGAUUGAGGUAGUAUGAUAAACAUUCAUAUAUUUUAGGAAUAAGGUGCAAACAACGUUAGUUAUUAUAAAUAAAUAAAAAAUACUUCUUUAUUACAGUCAAUAGGACCCGUGCAAUGUAUAUUAAAAAAUACAAAAGAACUAAAUGAAGAUAUAAUAUUAAGAUUAAUAUUGUCCUAUUACGACUUUCAUUGACAUUUAAAAAAAAAUAUGAUAUGACCAUGGUGAUUAACAUUCCUAAACAAAAAAUUUAAAUUGAAAUAGUACAUAAUGAUGAGUUCACUCAUUUAAACAUAUAUCAAAAGUUAAACUUAUCACCAGCUUACAGCCACUUUACUUUACAAACUGAUCUAUAUCCAUGGUAUAUAUUUGUUUCUUUAUUUCAGUUCUUUAUAACAUGCACUCGUAUUUCAUUCCUUAACCUCGACUGAAUUAAUUGAUAUACAUUCUUUUUCGAAACAAUGCUAUUCACAGUGCAUAGAUUUUGAAAAACUCACAAACUAAGAAUUUGAGCUUUGCAAAUAUAGAAAAAAAAGUGUAAGUGCAAUAAAUUGCAAGUGCUUUAUCAAAUAAACCCUACUUUUAUUGACUAAAGGCAAUUAACCACACAAGUACUUUUGAAUUACAAGGAACAAAAGGCAUGUCAUGUUAACUAAAUAAUAUGUCUUUGGUAUUAAUUAAGCUAAUUAGUAAUUAGAUAAUUCAUUGAAGAUUAUUAUGUUCUAUUAGAGUUGGUCCAACAUCCUAUAUCUAUUGGAUCACACUUAUCAGAGAUUUCAGUUGCUAUGUAGCUCAUGCUUUUUGUAUAUAUAACUGCAUCAAGGAAUAAAAAAAAUGGAUAUAUGUUGAAAUUAGAGGUUGUUGCUAAUAAAAAUUGAUCAAUACUUGUUUUAUUGAAUUGAUAUGCUUGUCAUCAAUAGGAAACUGCAUUAUUAUGUCUUUAAAUUUUGGCACAUAUGUUGUGCUUUCAAACCACAUCUACCACAAAACAUAUGUAGCUGGUUGUAAUUUGUGGCAUGCCUAAAUUUUUUUUUUUUUUUUUUUUUGUUUUGGUGUUGUAACAAAAAACAUAUAUUAUGUCUGGGAAUGUUUAUAUAUAUAUAGCCGAGUAGUCCCAUUAUCCUUAAUCUUAGUUAUCUAAUUCUCUUUUCUCUCUUUACCUGAUCCUUGUAAUUUCAACAUAGUACCAAAGCCAUAUUAAAUUCAUAUUUUGUUAAAAAAAAAUCUACUUUUUUCAAGAUUUUUACAAUAUUCUACACAUUUCUGCAUAAUUUCAUUAAAAAAAAUACAAAUAUUACACAUGAAUUGACUUAAAAAUUGGCACCAAAAGUGGAAAUUGAAAAUCUUAUAAAGACUAAAAGUUGAAAAAAAUAAAUUAAAGGAACUAAAACGAAAAAUUGAUAUAUUUAUUGAGACUAAAAAAAAUAUUUAACUUUUCAAACAAUAUCUCUCCUCCUUUGUUUGGACUCUUUAUUAAUUAGAGGUGAUUUUAUAAACUUCAGAUGUUUCUCUUGUUGUUUUGAGAUUUGCCAUUAAACACCAUGUUUGGAUUGCCUUUUUUCCUUCUGAUAUUUAUUGAUUCUAUUGUGGUUUUGCUUAGCUCUCUAUUUUUUUUACCAUUGUGGCUUUUGCAUUAGCACCUUAUUCUUAUUUUUAUUUGUUUAAAGGAAUGAUCAAUAUAAAUGCUUCCGGUUGUUAUACUUAUGGUAGCUUUUAUUUAUAGAUACUUAUGAUAUAUAUAUAUAUAUUUCUUUUGCGGGGAAGUCAAAAGUUUCAAAUGUAAAUGGAAUAAAAAUAUCUUGAUUGUCAAAAACACAUUUUCUCAUGUUUGGUCACUUUAGCGCGGCUUUUAGAAUUGUUUGUCAUAUUUUAAAACCCCCGACCUCUAAUCCCACAAGUGAUGAAACCCCGAUCGAAUAGAAAUAAGAGAAAGAAUGAAUGAAAACAUAAUUGCAAUAAUUAAUAGAGUAGUUUAGAGAUUACAAAGCAAGAUUACAAUAUAUCAAGGAGAGGAGUGGGCUCUAAUUGCAGUAAUCAAUCAAAAUGUUGCUGAAAUUUCAAUUAUCCAAGAAGUAACUAUCAUGUUCAUCAAUGGAAUGGGAUGAGGGGUUGUGAGGUCUCAAAUGGUUGCUAACCCUAGCUGGAAACGACCGCUGAAAUUGGGUGAAGAUUUCAGACCAUUAACAACAUUGUCAUCAUCCUAGUACAAGUCUUGUCUAUACGUCCCAAGUUAUUCCCUUUGAUAAUUUUCCAUGUGAGGUGUCCUAGUCUUAUCCUUUGGGAAUCUCAUAUUCCUUAUCCUUUCCAGUAUUGCUAACCAUUGGUGAUUCAUGGAGCUUCGUUUGCAAGUAUCACUAUUGAUGGACCCACGUUUUACAAUUGUACUAGGUACCGGUUUAUCAUACUGCAACUUCAAAUUUAAUUUAAAUACCAUGCCAAUAUUUUUUGUCAUUCUAUCUCCACAAUCAAUAAUAGCAAACAUAUAUGUCUGUGGACAAAAACCAUCUUCAAAAAAAAAAUCAUGCUUAAAGUCAUGUAACACUUAUCCUUCAGACUCAUUCUCUUCACACAAUCUCACCAAAGUUCUCUCAAGUGUUUAACGGUUAAGCAAAUCACUCAAAGCGUAGAUCAUGCAUCCCACUACCGUAGGCUUGAACAAAUUCUCUACGACGUCACAAAUACAUGGUUUAGCACAAAUACAUGGUUUAGGAGUAUAUAUUGUAUAAAACCCAUAUAAAACACUAAUAAGUUUCAUUUCGAUAAAUGUUAUUUGAAAGUUAAACUAAAAACAACUUAGUUUAACUGAGUUUAUAUAGACUCAUUUGUUUCUUCAAUUUAUGAGGUUUACAGUUUACGCGAAUUGAGUUGUUUAUAGUAUAGUACAUACAAGUACGUAAACUCAAUUUACAUACACUACAGUAAAUCCAGUUUACAUGACUUACGUAAACUGAGUUCACCUAGACUUAGUUUGUUGAAUAAUAUAAUGGAUCAUUUGUUUUAUUUUAAGAGUAUUUUAAUCAUUUUAAGGUGUAAUCAAUUUUUUUUAGGUAUGACUAGAAAAAAUCUAAACAUAACUAGUAGAUCAAAUUUUACAAAUUCAAAACGCACUAAGUCAUUAACCCAUACAUUCAGUUUUGUUACUCUAGCAUACAACUAGCAUGUGCAAUUAAACAGACAAUCAGCCAUAAUCGAUUAGAGAAAAAUAAUAACGCAGAGAAUAAAUAUCACACACAACGAGUUUUAGUUGAAAAUUUUCCUUCAAUAUGUGAAAAUAAAAACCACGGAACGUAGUCCGGUUAAACCUUCAUUAUAAGCAAUAAUAAUAAAAGUCAUAGAACCUAGUCUUCUUCAACGGACCAGGGGUCAAAUGGUGGUGGAAUCCGGCGUGUGUUUCAAGAAGUUUCUUUUUUUCUUUUUCGGGUGUUUAAUUGUACUCAGCGGUGGUGAGUUGAUGAGAAGUUGAAGUUAUGUUUUCAUGGCUUUUGAUUGGUUUGAUAGUUUUUGAAGGGUUUUAUGUUGAUCGGUGAAAGAUAGAUUAUUGGAUUUUGUUUAUGCUAUGUGUUGAUCGGUGAAAGAUAAAAAGAAUUAGAGUCAACCUCUUAUUCUAAAAAACAUACUCCCUCCGUUUUUCGGUAUUAGUCGUUUAAGGUUUAUGCACGAUUAUUAAGGAAAUGUUUAAUUGUGUUGAUUUCAAUGGUAAAAUUAGUAGCAUAUUUACUAAAACACCUUUAUUAAUUGUAAUCAGUGGAGUAGUUAAAUUGGAUGAAAUUUAAUAAAUAAAGGCAUAAUAGUGGAAACAAGUAAUUAAUGUUGCAUUGGUAUUGUAAAGUGACAGUUAUUUUGAGAAAAAUAAAAAUGCUAAAGAGACAAUAAUUGUGAGACUGAGGUGGGUGACUUUGAGUUUUUGUGACAUUAGUAUUUUUCUUAGAGUAAAUGAUUAAAAAAAGUAAAAAACCAUUUUGAUCAGAGGGAGAAUGAAUGAUUAUAAGAGAGAUAGAAACAAAGUUACCAAUAUCACCAAAAGUCAAAGUCAUAUCAAAUUGGCAAGUGGAAUUACUUGAUCAAUCUAUAUAUAAUACAUACACUCAGUUAUGUUUGUUCAUUAACCAAAAUGAUGAAAUUAUAUCAAUUUGAAUUUCUCUUAUUCCUCCUCCUUAUCAUUGUCAAUACAACCCUUUCCAUUUCUUUCUCUACACUCUCUCAAUUUACGAAACCAUUGGAGAAGUUUGACAAGGUGAUUAAUAGUGAAGGUUCUGACAUAGCAUGGGAUAAGUUUGUAAUGGACCCGCUCAAGGACAAAGUCAUGGAAUCUGAAGCGAAGAAGAUGGUGGAAAAUAUCAAACCGUCCCCUCCAUCACAAUUACUAAAAUACAAAGGUCUAGAUCAGAUCAAACAAUAUUUGCAAAAUUUCGGCUACCUCGAACAAUCUGGGCCGUUCAAUAACACUCUAGACCAAGAAACAGUCUUAGCCCUUAAGACCUACCAACGAUAUUUCAAUAUCUAUGCAGGCCAAGAUAGCUUACGCAAAAUUUUACAACAUAUAGCAUUACCACGAUGUGGUGUUCCUGAUAUGAAUUUCACGUACGACUCCACCAAUGAUAUAUCGUAUCCGAAAGGAAACCAAUGGUUUCCUAAGGGAACGAAAAAUCUUACCUAUGGUUUUGCUCCCAAAAAUGAAAUCCCACUCAAUGUGACCAACGUGUUUAGAAAAGCCUUGACACGAUGGUCGCAGACCACUAGGGUCUUAAAUUUCACAGAGACGACAUCAUACGAUGAUGCUGACAUUAAGAUUGUGUUCAACAAUAUGACUUACGAUGAUGGAAUCUAUGAUGUUGUCGUGGCUGUCACUCUUAUCAAACUUGAUUCAGCGAAUAUGAACACGGGUUUGAUAAGUCUGGACAUUACAAAGCACUGGGUGUUUCCAACUGAGGACGGAGAAUUGGAUUUGGAGACCGCCGCGAUGCAUCAGAUAGGUCAUCUGUUAGGACUUGAACAUUCUUCUGAUAGCAAGUCUAUUAUGUAUCCAACUAUAUUGCCAUCACAGCAAAAGAAGGUGCAGAUAACAGAUUCAGAUAACUUAGCAAUCCAAAAACUCUAUUCCAGCUCUACAAAAGCCAAUGCAAACUCGGAUGAUAGUAGUGGGUGCUUUAAACUUUCUGGGUCUAGUUCUAGCCUCUUUAUCUCUUUGUCCAUUGUAUUUGCUUUUGUGGCUCUGUUGAACUAGCAUUUAAAUUAUGUCAUUUGAUUAGAGUCUUUUUUUUACAUAAGUUUAAUAAUUAAUGUGUAAUCAAUUACACAUUUGGGAAGAAAAAAAAUUGUCUUGUGGUUUAAUGAUAAAUAAAAUUUUUAGUUUUUGUUAUGUUGUUUGCCUUCGGUUUAUCAAGUUGUUGAAAUAGUUUUACAAUCAAACACAAUACAAUUGAUGUUGUCAUGUCCAACCCAUUAAAAACACUUAUUGUAAUUUUUUAUUGAAAAACAAUAAUUAUUUAUUAAAAGGUAUUAUAUUUAAUAGAAAAUGUUCAAAUUUCAAUACAAAUUUACUAUUUUGAAUUUCUUGACAUGUGUAAAUUUAAACAUGAUAGAAAAAACUCAUCUAUUAUACCUUUUGAUGAUUAAGAAUCCAUUUCACAUGCUAUCCCAUAAACACUGCUUCUUACCCAAUCAUUAACAUCAUUUAGUAAUGAUUUCACAAAUAUGGAAAGGAAGAUAUCCAGCUCUUCUUGAAAAUUGUUUUAAGGUCCUUAAACUGUUCAGUGCUGCUGAAUUGUAUUAAUGUCAAGUCCCUUCAUGCUUCACCACUAAUUCUACAUGUCCCUUUAGAGUAUGAAGUUCCCUAAGCCUGUCACCCAUUUUAAAAAAAUUGUUAAAGGAACCUUACUUAUCAACCAUGCAAUAAUAUCCCCCAAUAUAAUUGCCACUUGCUAAACAUAUUUUUUUGGUAAUAACUUGAUGCUUGGCUUGUUUUGCAGUCUCCUAAAGUACCCAAUUGUUAUUCUUUUCAUUGUUCUUUGUAGUAAAGGUAGUUUGUGAUGAGAGAAGCAUGAACAUGAUUAGAUCACAUUGAUUCAACCAUAUGAUAUCAUAUUGAUUUUACUUGGAAAGGCAUUUUAAUAUAUCAUAUUGAUUUUACUUUGAGGGUUGCUCAAUCCAAGGCCCGUUCAUUACAUUCAAUAUACUGCAUGCCUCGCUAUAUUGAAGAUCUGGCAACAGCUUUGAUGUAAGUAAGAAACACCUACAUACGAUUAAUCAUCACUUACGCGUUAGAAAUUAAUGUGGGGGAACAAAGCCCAGCAGUGGCUGGCAAAUCUGCAAAGAUCAACCUUCAUUUCCAAGUUAGAACGAAUGCCAAGCAUCACAUUCAAAAUAUAUGGGCUUUUUUGCCUCACAUAUAUUACUCUUAUUAGUGUUUCGUCUAUGUGUACUGGGUUACAGGCUCGGCCCUAGUUAAUCCAAUAACUCUUACAGCAUUUCACUCUUUCAAGCUUCAUGCUUGGCCCAUAUCGUCAUUAUUGCCUAAGCCCAUUGGCCAAACUAAAGAGCCCAUCAUCCGAGACCUAUACACUCCUAAUGUGGGGAGCAAGGUCCCAGGCCCUAAGCGAAAUUUAGGAGCAAACAGGAUAUACUUUAGGAACAAGCAAGAAACCCUGAAAUUCUCCUAUAUAUAUAGGGGUCACUAGCUAACCCAAUUCUCAUCUACUUCCUACCCGCCUCAUACACAGUGUACAAGGCCUAGUGAACGGCUCAUCGUAGGCUAGGUCAGACAUCAGUCUAAGCAAGAACACCAUGCAUGCAUUAAAGAGUGUUUCUCUUCAAGCUGAUGUGAUGUGACACCAGCCAGUUGAUAUAUAUAGCCAUUGUUUAUCCUCCUUUAGUUCAAAAGUCUUAAAAAAUGAAAAUACGGUCUUUUACUGACUGAAUUAGGUAUUAACAUGCAUUUAUCAAGUUUUAAUAUCAAAUUUUAAACAAAGGAACCAAAAAGAUCAAGUAAUAGUAGUUAGUAGUACUCGCUGUGGCGUAUUUGGCUUGCUUGCUGCUCUCACUAGUUGCUGAAACAUCUUCCUCUCAUUUAUUGGGUCCAUCCCUGAUGAAAAUAGAGUCAAAGAUCAUUUCAGUUCUGAGCCGUUAAUCCUGAAAGGAUUUACUUCAAAGAAUAACCAACCUUGAUUGAUCUCAUCCACAAAUCAAAAUGGGCAGUUUGUAGGAUCUUGAAGGGAAACAAGAUAAACAAUAGUUGAAACUGAUCGCUCCUGGAUAACCAAAAUUAGAGGUUAAUUAGUGAGAGUGGCGGUGGGGGAGCACAAGUUUUGUACCGCAUACAACUACAAUAAGUAGUGUACAGUACAUAAAUUUAUGAAAGCAAAUAUUUCAUAACAAGUUUUGUACGGUACACAAAUCUAUGCAUUCAAAGUUUUGCCCUUUGUUUCUAGCAGGUGUAUGUGUCUUACAGUAUUUUCUUUUCCUGUUUUUCCGACACUUAUUUUGUUGCCGAGUUAUGCCAACGAUGUUUUCACUGUUUAGUCUUAGAGUCCUGUUUCCUGAGCUUGCUGUUUGUUAUUUUUUCUGGAAUUUCUUGUUGAAUAUUUUUGCUGUUUUAUAUUCUGUUUGAGAAGGAUUUCACAGCAACAGAAAUAGAGAUGACAGAGACAGAUUUAAAAGAAGGGACUUUGACCACUGCAGGUACAGCAGCACCCUGUCUACGCCUCAUUCCGCUGUUUCAGAGCAGCGUUUUCCACAGUCUAAUGCAGCCAAUAUUGCGAGAUCAUAGUGAUGCUGUGAUCCUUAGUCCCACCCUAGCUAGUCGUAGCCCAGUGUGGCCAUUCCCUCGCCAUCUGUGGCCUCUCAUAACGAUUACAUUAAUCAUAAUAGUCAGACUGAUAUCAACAACUAUGUAGGCUUAGGCGGGGUUUCCCUCUUAACAAUGAAGUUGACUACUAACCAGAAGUUACAACAACCAAUAAUAAGAAUGAACAGUAACCACUUAAAAGUACAUUCUUAGAAACAGAAUAAACAAAAUAACUGGUUCAGAAUAACACUCACCUGAAUUUGACUUUUAUAAGUAUUCCAAAUUGAUCAAAAUCCAUAUCAUUCAUUAUCGGUGUUGUCUUAUAGUGCAAGAAAAUUCAACCAUAAAAAGAAAAAACUUCAGCAAUUUAAAGAAAAACUCCAAAGAUCGUUCAUUAUCAGUGUUGUCUUACGGUGCAAGAAAAUUCAACUGAAAAAAACAAAAACUUCAGCAAUUUGAAGCAAAACUCCAAGGAUCAUUCAUUAUCAGUGUUGUCUUACUGUGCAAGAAAAUUCAACCAGAAAAAGCAAAAAAACUUGACAAUUUGAAGCAAAACUCCAAAGAUCAUUCAUUAUCAGUUGGUGGGUGACCAUUUCUUUCUGCUAAAAUAUUUUUCUAUGAUUCUCAAUUAAAAUUUUGUGCAGCCGCGCAGUCCAUUAUCAAAUUGACAAGUGGAAUUACUUCAUCAAUCUGUAUAUAUAAUACAUACACUCAGCUUAGCUAUGUAUUAAUUAACAUGAUGAAGUUAUAUCAAUUUGAAUUGCUCUUAUUCCUUCUCCUUAUCAUUGACAAUACAACCCUUUCACAAAAAAUUUCUCCUAAAAUUGUCUCUUCUAUUCUCAAACCAAUAUUGAAGGAGGUUAGACAACAAGCUACUGAGUAUGCAUUGAAGAAGUCAUUGGACAAGAUCACACAAUCUCCUACUCCAGAGCAACAAGCCGAAGUGAUACAAGGCCUAUAUCAAAUCAAACAAUAUUUGUACUAUUUCGGCUACCUCCAACAAUAUGGGCCAUUCAAUAAUGUUCUAGACCAACAAACAAUGUCAGCCAUUAAGAUCUACCAACAAAAUUUCAAUCUCCAAGUUACUAAUGGCUACCUAAACACUGAGACUUCACAACAAAUCUUGUUACCACGAUGUGGUGUUCCUGAUAUGAAUUUCGAGUACAGCUUCACCAAUGAUAAGUCGUUUCCCAAAGGAAACAAGUGAUUUACUAAGGAAAAAGAAUAUCUUACCUAUGCUUUUGCUCUGACGAGCCAAAUCCCACUCGACAUGACCAACGUUUCACACGAUGGUCACAAACCACUAGGGUCCUAAUUUAGCGAGACGACAUCAUACGAUGAUGCUGACAUUAAGAUUAGAUUCUACAAUAUUAAUUACAUCGAUGGGGUUGAUGAUGUUGUGGUGGGUGACGCGGUUAUCAAACUCGGUUCGAAUGUGAAUUCAGGUUUGAUACGCCUGAUUGCUUCAAAGUACUGGGUGUUGCCAACUGACAACUACAUGUGGUCAUGGCAGAACGGAGAAUUUGAUUUGGAGACGGCGGCAAUGUAUCAGAUAGGUCAUCUUCUAGGACUUGAUCACUCUUUCGAUAAGGAGUCUGUUAUGUAUCCAGCCAUAUUGCCAUUACAACAAAGGAAGCUGCACAUAACAGAUUCAGAUAACCAAGCCAUACAACAAAUCUAUUCCAAUGCGAACUCUGACAAUGGUGGGUGCUUCACAAUGUUUGGAUCCAGUUCUGGUCUCCUUACCUCUUUGUUCCUUGGAUUUGCUUUUGUGGCUCUCUUGAACUAGCAUCUUAAAUUAUCCUUUAAUUUUGGAUAUGCUUUUUUAAUUUGUGUAAUACUUUACUUCAUGUGCCAUUUUUCGUUAAUGCUAAUUAUGUUACGGUAUCCACUACUCUCUUAUAAUGAAGUACAAAAAUUACAUUAUUUAUGCGCAAAUCCUUCAACCACCUUAUCGCAUAUGACACACCUAAAGCUUCUCCUUCAUCAACUUUAAGGAUGGGUGAAAUCCAUUUUGUUUUUGCUAAAACGAAGCUUCCUUGAUCGUCCCUGAUGCAUAUACCAAUGCCAACUCUAUUAGUUGCCGUUGAGAAUGCUGCACCGACGUUGCAUUUAUAUCUUCCUCUGUCUGGCUUCUUCCACGUGUGAUUGGAAAUAUGUUGCUGCUGUAUCAUCAUCGUUCCACUACGACACACCUGCGCAUUUUGCCAACAGAUUUGUUCCCCUUGCACAUACUGCCACCGUAAAUUAUUUCACUCCUCCAUAUCAGAUAAUUCAUUUGCUUCCAAAUUGACCAAAUAGUGCAACCAAACACAGCUUGAAGAUUCUUACUUAAUUUGUGUAAAACGUUGAAAAUCAAAGAACUCACACUUAGCUCAUCUUGUAUCAACGGUUGAAUUACUUGUCCAAUGGCCAAUAUGUUGCCAACAAAAACUGUUGUUGGAGCAAUGAAAAAAGAUAUGCAUGCUGACUUCCAUUCCACCAUCACACAAAACACAAUUAUACAGACAGUUGACACCGCAGUCGUGACUUCUUACCCUUGUAGGUAAACAGUUUCGACAAAACCGCCAGAGAUUCUUGACUUUUAAUUGAGCUUGGAUAAAGAUUCUUGACUUUUAGGUGAGCUUGGAUAUUCCAGAUUUGAUUCUAGUUGUCUUCUACUCUAUGAUUAUUCAAUGCAAGAACUUGCUGCAAACUAAUAUGAUAGCCACUCCUAACAGAAUAUAUACCAUAUGUCUCAAAUUUCCAGAUUCUCCUAUCAGUUUGAAUAAAACCGGUGUUUGUAGAAUUCGCUGUAAAUCAACAUUGGUUACCAAGCUUUGAAGUGAUUUAAUAUUCUACACCCUCAAUUUGAGCAUUCCAAAAGUCUGCAAUUGUAAAGCUGUUAAGCUCUUCAGGAAAGUCUGCAGGUUUGUCAAUUGCAUUACCGUCAACUAGCCAAUUUUGAUCCCAAAACGGAAUAGUUUCGCCUGAAUCGAUACUCCACUUUUUUUUUAUCCGAUACUCCACUUAUAUCUAUCUUUGACCCCAAAUACUACGCCAAACGUAACUUGGGUUGUAUCCACUAUAAAUAGCAAACAUGCUUGCGGAGAAAAAACAUCAUGCUCAGAGUCAUUUUCAUCCACAAACAACCAAUAAAAAAUGCAACACAACUCAUUUAUUACUCAUCCUUCAGGCUCAAACUUUCUCUUCACUUAGUCUCACCAAAGUUCUCUCAAGUGUUCAAUUGUUAAGCAAUUCACUCAAAUUCUAGGUCAUGCAUCCGCCUACCAUAGGAUUGAAAAAAAUUCUUUACAGCAUAAAAAAUAUAACAUGGUUAAGGAGUAUAUUGUAUAAAAACCCAUAUAAAACACUAAAAAGGUUAAUAUAAAAAAAUACAUCUAAAGUUAAACUAGAAACAACUAAUAAAUAUAAUUAAUACAUUAUAUGUUACAAAUACAAACCUUACUGUUGUAUCUUGACGAAGAAAAAGAACCUCACCGUUGUACAAGCAAUAGUAGCAACAACGGUUUUAAUCCUCAUAACAGCAUAAACAAAUAGGAAAGAUAUUUUUACAUUCUUAUAGGUACACAUUCAAUCCAAUCAAUGAAACAAAAGCAAGUUCACCCGAUUGCAGGCUAAAACUUUCUCCAAAAAACUAUACAAAAUGCUAAAUAAGCGCUAUUGCUCUGCAUCGCUGCAACUCCAUAGUGUUUUUUUUACUUUAACAUGAAAUCUCUCCAACAUGUCCAGUGAUAAUACUCCAUCGAUCACCAGUAGUCCAGGCUGAUUUACAACGAAAAAAUGUAUGGUAAGCAAUAUCAACAGUUAAAGAAAGAGAAUAUAUGCAGUUUUCAGUAUGAGAAAUUACCCUUCGAGGGCUUCUCAAUCCAAGGGCCAUUCAUUACAUUCAAUAUACUGCAUGCCUCACUAUAUUGCAGAUCUGGUAACAGCUUUGGUGUAAGUAAGAAACACCUGCAUAAGAUUAAUCGUCACUUACGCGUUAGAAAUGAACAAAUGUUGGGGAAAAAAGCCCAUCGGUGACUUGAACUAUUGUGUAGCUAGUAUGAAUGACAAGCAUCACAUUCAAAAUUUACGGGCUUGUUUGCCUCACAUAUAUUGCUCUUAUUAGUGUUCCAUAUACAUACUACGUGGACUGAGCUAAAGGAUCGGCCCGAGUUAACCCAAUAACUCUGAACAUUUCAUCCUUUCAGGCUUCAUGCUUGGGGGUUGUGAACUGGGCUAUGGUCUCGGUCCAUAUCCUCAUUGUUGCCUAACUCCAAUGGCCAAACUAAAGAACUCAUCAUCCAAGACCUAGAUACUCCUAACUUGGGGAACAAGGCGGAGCCGGCCCUAAGAGAAGAUUUAGAACCAAGCAAAAGACCCUAAAAUUCUCCUAUAUGGGUCACUAGGUAGCCCAAUUCUCAUUCACUUCCUACCCACCUCAUACACAACGCACAAGGCAUCGUCUAACCCCAAUUCUAAGCAAGAACACUAUGCAUGCAUUAACCGAGUGAUUCGCUUCCAGUUGAUAUAAAUAGCCCUUGUUUAUCCUUCUGUUGUUAAGAAGUCGUAAAAUGAACAGUCUUUGACUUACUGAAUUAGGUAUUAACAUGUAUUCAUCAAGUUUUAAUAUCAAAUUUUAAUCGACCGAACUGAAAAUAUCAAGUAAUAGUAGUUAGGAGUACUCACUGUGGUGUACUUGGCUUGCUUGCUGCUCUCACUAGUUGCUGAAACAUCUUCCUUUCAUUUAUUGGGUCCAUCCCUGAUAAAAAAGUCAAAGAAGAUCAUUUGAGUGUUGAGUUCCGUUAAUCCAGAAAGAAUUUACUUCAACAAAUAACCAACCUUGGUUGAUUUCAUCAACAACUCGAAAUGGGCAGUUUGUAAGAUCUUGAAGGGAAACAAGAUAAACAAUUGUUGAAACUGAUCGCUCCUGGAAAACCGAAAUUAAAGGUUAAUUGGUGAACGGAGAACAAGGGGAGCACAAAAGCACUAAAAAGAUAAUCUUUAGUACCCCUCCAGAUUGAUGAUGGGCGCUGAGAACUUUAAGCUGUCCAUUUUCUCUGAUAAAAUAAAAAUAUACUGUAAAACAAAUAAUAAGAGAAACUGGAAUGUAAGGUAUGGGAGAAUAAAUAUUAUGAGGAAAUUCCUUUGGAUUCCUUUGUUUUUAUUAGGAUAUUGGUACCCUUAAAUGAGUAGAAACAUGACAACCACUGCACAUACACCAACUGAAGAUGAUAAUCAAUUACUUUUACCAAUUUUUUGUAACGAUCAUUUUCAUAUUUUCUGAAAUAAAUGAGGCCUACAAUAAUUGAAAAUUUAAAGAGUUUUGUACCAUACACAAACCAUUUGGUUUUUGUAACCUAGAAGCGACCCAAAUUAUGAUGAGAAUCGGAAUCAAGAUAACGAAUUAUUAGCAAUAUUUAAAAGUGCAGAUUACAUUAAUCAUAACAGUCUGACUGAAAUCAAAAACUAUGUAAUCGUUGUAGGUUUGGUUUCCCUCUUAACAUUGAAGUUGACUGCUAACCAGAAGUUACAUCAACCAAAAAUAAGAAUGAACAGUGACCAUUCGUAAGCGUGUUCUUAUGAACAGAAUAAACAAAAUAACUGGUUCAGAACAACCCUCACCUGAAUUUGACUUUUACAAGUAUUCCAAAUUGAUCAAAGUCCAUAUCAUGCUCAUCUGAGGAGUGGAGAAACAUAGGUAAGGAUGGAAGCAUAAGAAGACCAAAUAAAAUUAAUUUCAGUUUACCAUUUGACAUACCUAGUGAAACUUCUCCGGCAACAGCCAUCUGUUGAAAAUUUCGAUUAAAAGUUUCAUUUAUCUGAGCCACAAGAUUUCUGAGAGUUGGAAGCCACUUUUCCUGCAGAAGAACUUAAAAUAUUUGAGCUUUUCUCAAGAACCAGAAACACAAAAGAAGAUCAUGCAGACCACAUACUAUAAAUCACAUUAUAUAUGCAUAGAAAUCAGGACAUAGCAUAUUUCAGGUGUAAAUCCCAAAUUCACAGGAAAUAUAUUAUCUCACUCUUUAACCCCUGAUCUAAAAGAUUAACUCUUCAAGUCAAGUUAUUUUUGAAAUAGCAUCAAUACUACUUCAGCUACAUGCUAACAAUUCUGGACUUGAAUACUGGCUUCUCUCAAUUAGUUCUGAAGAUUUUAUCACGAAGAACUAGCAAGCUUAUUUAAUAGGAUGGAUCAAAUUAUAUCAUAUCAGUACAUUAACUGUAUAGGUCGACCAAUCCAUUUUGGACCUCUUCUCCCUUUCUCUCUAACCUAGAGAAAAAAUAGCUACAAACAUUACAAAUGUAUAUGCAAGCAUACACAUGUUCUGCAAAACACAUAAAAAUAAAAACAUGUUUGUUCUUCUUUGCCUUUCUCUUUUUAGUUUUUACCAUUCCAAACGCAUUUUAUUAAGAAAGAUUGAUCUAUUUAACUCUACACAAAUGAAACUUAGCAAACAGAUGAUUAGGAACUUUGCAAAUUUAUAAUUUUACAUCCACAUACAUAAAUACAAAAAAAAUAUAUAUAUAUUGGGUAUGAAUUUGUUUGCCGAAAUCCAUACAAUCUAAUAACAUUCAGUCAAACAGACAAAAAUUGCUAAAACUAACGUAGGAGAGAGAUUUUCUAAACUAAUCCAAAAUAUUAGUGAAAGUGCGUAUAGAAAAAGAUGACAGGAUGCUGCAAAGAAGAGCUACUAGAAGCAUUCUCUACAUCGUAAAAUUCUAGUUAUGUAAAGAAACACUUUUCAGACCUUAAUGGUUUUCAAUUCUGCAAGACAUUUUGUAGCUUCCACCUUGUCUGUGUCAAGUUUUUUUGCAAGAUCUUCUAUCUGUAUAGUCACUGUAAAUAUAGAGGGCACAUGGAAAUGACCAAAAUAAAUUACAACAAUAAAGAGUACCUGUCUUUGACGAUCCUCAUAUUGUUGCAAUAUGUGAGGAUUCACAAAAAGCAUUGAAUUAGCUUGAGAUGUUGUAUAUUGAAUAGCUUCUUCCAACUCCUCAAUUGUAGUAGGCAUCUACAUUGAAAAACCCAAAUGUGUUUAGAAUUCCCAUUGACUUAGAAGUUACAUUCAUUAUUCGUAGAAUUUUGGGUUGAGUCUAAUAACCUUACAAAACCGGCUUGUAAGGUGAGGGCUUCCUAUUUGGGUCUUCCUAUUGGUGGUGAUCCGAGAAAAUUGGCUUUUUGGUAUCCUCUGGUCGACCGUAUUAAAAGAAGGUUGUCUGAUUGGAAAAGUCGUAAUCUGUCUAUGGGUGGUCGUUUGAUAUUGCUUAAGCCUGUCCUGUCCUCCAUUCCAGUCUAUUUUCUUUCCUUCUUCAAAGCCCCCUCAGGUAUAAUUUCUACCCUUGAAUCUUUAUUUAAUGCAUUUUUUUGGGGGGGAUGUGAGGAUAUUAGGAAAAUUACUUGGAUUAAAUGGGAGACUGUUUGUUCGCGUAAGGGGGAAGGCGGAUUAGGGGUGAGGAGAUUGAGGGAGUUUAAUUUAGCUCUUUUGGGUAAGUGGUGGUGGCGAAUUUUACAAGAGCGUGGCACCCUUUGGUAUCGUGUCCUUUGUGCCCGUUACGGAGAGGAGGGAGGGCGGCUUUGCUGUUCUUGUAGAGAUGGUGGUUCAGUGUGGUGGCAGACUAUUUUAGAUGUUAGGGAUGGUGUAGGUCAGAUUGAUUCAGGUUGGAUGCUGGACAAUAUUUCUCGUCGUGUAGGGAAUGGUUUGUCCACUUUGUUUUGGGUCGACCCUUGGCUGGAGGAGAAACCUUUGAGUUAGCGGAGAAUAAAUUAUACACGGUGGCCGAGUUGUUUGCGAGAGGGUGGGGAGUUAAUGGGAAGCGUGGAAGUAGCGUACGAUACUUUUCGCGUGGGAGGAGGGUUUGUUGGGGGAUUGUAUUACUCGUAUAUCUAAUUUCUCUUUUCAGGGUGACCGUGCAUAUAGUUGGAUUUGGACAUUACAUGAUUCUUCUUGUUACACUGUUAGUUCUGCUUAUUAUUAUUUAACAGACAUGGAGGUUGAUGAGCAUCAUCAGCAUAAUAAUAAUUAAAGGUUCUUAUGGCUGAAAGCGGUGCCUCUUAAAGUAGUAAUUUUUGCUUGGCGCCUGUUCCUCAACCAGAUUCCUACUAGAGACAAACUUUUUCAUCAAAAGGUUUUGCUUGCUUCUGAACAGGGGUGUAUCGCUAAUUGUGGUUUUAAUGAAGACAGAGAUCAUUUACUUCUCACAUGCGGUUUCUUCGCCCGUGUGUGGCAUAUCAUUGCGCUUUGGCUUGGUUACUCAACGGCUUUUCAUUGUCACUUCUUUGAACAUUUUCAUCAUUUUAGUGGUUUGCGUGGGUUCUCUAAGAAAUCGAUUGAGUCCAUGCAGAUUAUUUGGUUUGCGGUAUCUUGGACAAUUUGGAAAGAACGGAAUAACAGAAUUUUCAAAGGAAAGGAGGAUAACUUGCUAAAGCUAGGUGAAAGGGCAAAGCUUCAAUCUUUUUGGUGGUUGAAAUCGAAAUACACUAACUUUGAUUUUGACUAUCACGAAUGGCGGCGGAGUCCUCUAACUUGCUUAAACAUUAUUUUCUAGCUUGUUGUUUCUUUGUUUCACUUUGUUUCUGCGCCUUUUGGCUUGUACAGGAUUGUUUUGUGUACUCAUUGUGGCUAGGCGUUUUGGCACGCCUUGUGCUUUAGCGUCUAGGUUUAUUCAAUAUAUAUUCCAUUUUGGCUUUUUCAAAAAAAAAAUUAUAUAUAUUAAGAUUAAUAUUGUCCUAUUACGACUUUCAUUGACAUUUUAAAAAAAGAUGAUAUGGCCAUGGUGAUUAACAUUCCUAAACAAAAAAUUUAAAUUGAAAUAGUACAUGAUGAUGAGUUCACUCAAUUAAACAUAUAUCAAAAGUUAAACUUAUCACCAGCUUACAGCCACUUUACUUUACAAACUGAUCUAUAUCCAUGGUAUAUAUUUGUUUCUUUAUUUCAGUCCUUUAUAACAUGCACUCGUAUUUCAUUCCUUAACCUCGACUGAAUUAAUUGAUACACAUUCUUUUUCGAAACAAUGCUAUUCACAGUGCUUAGAUUUUGAAAAACUCACAAACUAAGAAUUUGAGCUUUGCAAAUAUAGAAAAAAGGUGUAAGUGCAAUAAAUUGCAAGUGCUUUAUCAAAUAAACCCUACUUUUAUUGACUAAAGGCAAUUAACCACACAAGUACUUUUGAAUUACAAGGAACAAAAGGCAUGUCAUGUUAACUAAAUAAUAUGUCUUUGGUAUUAAUUAAGCUAAUUAGUAAUUAGAUAAUUCAUUGAAGAUUAUUAUGUUCUAUUAGAGUUGGUCCAACAUCCUAUAUCUAUUGGAUCACACUUAUCAGAGAUUUCAGUUGCUAUGUAGCUCAUGCUUUUUGUAUAUAUAACUGCAUCAAGGAAUAAAAAAAAUGGAUAUAUGUUGAAAUUAGAGGUUGUUGCUAAUAAAAAUUGAUCAAUACUUGUUCUAUUGAAUUGAUAUGCUUGUCAUCAAUAGGAAACUGCAUUAUUAUGUCUUUAAAUUUUGGCACAUAUGUUGUGCUUUCAAACCACAUCUACCACAAAACAUAUGUAGCUGGUUGUAAUUUGUGGCAUGCCUAAAUUUUUUUUUUUUUUUUUUUUUUUGGUGUUGUAACAAAAAACAUAUAUUAUGUCCUGGAAUGUUUAUAUAUAUAUAGCCGAGUAGUCCCAUUAUCCUUAAUCUUAGUUAUCUAAUUCUCUUUUCUCUCUUUACCUAAUCCUUGUGAUUUCAACAUAGUACCAAAGCCAUAUUAAAUUCAUAUUUUGUUAAAAAAAAAAUCUACUUUUUUAAAGAUUUUUACAAUAUUCUACACAUUUCUGCAUAAUUUCAUUAAAAAAAAUACAAAUAUUACUCAUGAAUUGACUUAAAAAUUGGCACCAAAAGUGGAAAUUGAAAAUCUUAUAAAGACUAAAAGUUGAAAAAAAUAAAUUAAAGGAACUAAAACGAAAAAAUUGAUAUAUUUAUUGAGACAAAAAAAUAUUUAACUUUUCAAAGAAUGUCUCUCCUCCUUUGUUUGGACUCUUUAUUAAUUAAAGGUGAUUUUAUAAACUUCAGAUGUUUCUCUUGUUGUUUUGAGAUCUGCCAUUAAGCACCAUGUUUGGAUUGCCUUUUUUCCUUCUGAUAUUUAUUGGUUCUAUUGUGGUUUUGCUUAGCUCUCUAUUUUUUGUUUUACCAUUGUGGCUUUUGCAUUAGCACCUUAUUCUUAUUUUUGUUUGUUUAAAGGAAUGAUCAAUAUAAAUGCUUCCGGUUGUUAUACUUAUGGUAGCUUUUAUUUAUAGAUAUUUAUAAUUAAUUUAUAGAAAUAUAUAUAUAUAUAUAUAUAUAUAUAUAUAUAUAUAUAUCAAGGAUUAAUUACAGAUGAAUAAAAGACAAGCGAACAAUAAGUUGCGCCAUUAGAUCUUUAAGGAAGGCAAAACUAAUCCUCGUGAACACGACAUUCAUGAAUCUAGGAGACGUGACAUUGUUAUACAUGACCAUUUGAACUCUAUAUAGAUCAACAACAUCUGGUGCUAGGAAGUCAAAAGUGUCAAACGUAAAUGGAAUAAAAAUAUCUUGAUUGUCAAAAACAUGUUUUUUUUUCAUGUUUGGUCACUAUGACGCAUCUUUUAGGAUUGUCUGUCAUACUUUAAAACCCCUGACCUCUAAUCCCAUAAGUGAUGAAACCCCAAUCAAAUAAAAAUAAGAGAAAUGAAUGAAAACAUAAUUGCAAUAAUUAAUAGAAUAGUUUAGAAAUUACAAAGCAAGAUUACAAUAUAUCAAGGAGAGGAGUGGGCUCUAAUUGCAGUACUCAAUCAAAAUGUUCCUGAAAUUUCAAUUAUCCACGAACUAACUCUCAUUCUCAUCAAUGGAAUGGAUGAGGGGUUGUGAGGUCUCAAGUGGUUGCUAACGGUUAAGCAAAUCACUCAAAGCGUAGAUCAUGCAUCCCACUACCGUAGGCUUGAAAAAAUUCUCACGACGUCACAAAUACAUGGUUUAGCACAAAUACAUGGUUUAGGAAUAUAUAUUGUAUAAAACCCAUAUAAAACACUAAUAAGUUUCAUUUCGAUAAAUGCUAUUUGAAAGUUAAACUAAAAACAACUUAGUUUGCAUGACUUACGUAAACUGAGUUUAUGUAUACUUAUUCGUUUCUUCAGUUUAUGAGGUUUACCGUUUACGUGAAUUGAAUUGUUUAUAAUAUAGUACAUACAAGUACGUAAACUCAAUUUACAUACACUAUAGUAAAUCCAGUUUACAUGAUUUACAUAGACUAAGUUCACCUAGACUUAGUUUAUUGAAUAAUACAAUGAUCAUUUGUUUUAUUUUAAUCAUUUUAAGGUGUAAUCAAUUUUUUUAGGUAUGACUAGAAAAAAAUCUAAACAUAACUAGUAGAUCAAAUUUUAAAAAUUCAAAACUCACUAAGUCAUUAACCCAUAGAUUCAUUUUUGUUACUGUAGCAUACAACUAGCAUGUGCAAUUAAACAGACAAUCAGCCAUAAUCGAUUAGAGAAAAAUAAUAACGCAGAGAAUAAAUAUCACACACAACUAGUUUUAGUUGAAAAUUUUCCUUCAAUAUGUGAAAAUAAAAAUCACGGAACAUAGUCCGGUUAAACCUUCAUUAUAAGCAAUAAUAAUAAAAGUCAUAGAACCUAGUCUUCUUCAACGGACCAGAGGUCGAAUGGUGGAACCCGGCGGUGUGUUUCGAGAAGUUUUUUCUUUUUUUUUUUUCUUCUUUUUCGGGUGUUUAAUUGUACUUGGCGGUGGUGAUGAGAAGUUGAAGUUAUGUUUUCAUGGAUUUUGAUUGGUUUGAUAGUUUUUGAAGGGUUUUAUGUUGAUCGGUGAAAGAUGUCUUUUGCGGGGAAGUGUGGAGGUUUGAAUUUGAUUUAGAUGUUUACUUUAUUUUCUUAUGACUAGUUUUUUUAUUGGUGUUUGUGGAAUUUUUUUUUUUUCUUCUGAGAGAUGAUGUUUGAGAAAGUUAGUUGGUGUUUUUAUUGUUUUCCUUUUGAGUGUUUCGCCUCUAUGGGCCCGUUUGUUAUAAAGAUUCUAAAAAAAUAAAUUUUCCUUUGUAUUUUUAAAAAUAAAUUUUUUGGAAAUAUACUCAAAAAUAGUAUAAGUUAUUUCAAAUUCAUUUGUUAUAAGUUAAAAAAAGAUAUUUUAACAUUCACCAACCUAAAUAUUCAUUGUUCGAGAUUUUACAUAGUAAAAAUCGAAUAUUUUUUCAAAACAAUAUAUUUCAAAAAUGAUUUUUAUGAAAAGACAUUUGAAAUAGCUUUUAUUUUAGAGAUUUUUUCAAAAUUUUAGUAUCCAAAAAAAUUAUAACAAAAUGAUAAAAUAUCUAGAAUGACAUUUUAAGAUAAACUAUUCAAACCAAUUUUUUAUUUGAAGCUUUCCUUAAAAUUUUCUUUGUUAAAUUUUUUUUAACAAAAAUAUGUUACACUACAAGAAUAUAUUUUAUAAAAAAGGUAUAACAAACGGAUAUAUGACGCAUUUGUUUUUGAGUUUAUGUCAGGCAAUCUCUAUUCAUCUUAUAUAAGAUUUGAUUAUUAAUAAAUUUUACCCUAAAAAAGAAUACACAAUAUUCUUUGAAGUAAACAGUAGAGAUCAACAAACAUCACCAAUUAUAAAAAUCAACAACAAAACAACUUUUUCAUAAGAAUUGAUAAACCAACCAAUCUAUAAAAACCCAUAAAUAAAAAAAACAAAAACAAAAACUAACUAAGCCAUAAGAAUCUAAAACUUCUUCUCUCUAUAGGUUUGCCGCCGCUGCAUUAUUCUUUUUCUUUCUCGUGAUGCUACAGUUCUUCUUGGCUUCAUGCGACAACAUGGUAGCAUGGCAAAAUCCAAUAAACAAACUAACCAAACAUAAUAAAAAAUAAAAACUUAUUAUUCAAUUCACCGCUAAAUACAAAAAUUAAUGAAUUACUUUAUCUGCAACUUAGUUUAAACUAAAAAAAUAUAUAUAUCGUAAAAUCAAAACCAAAAGUAUAGUCAAUAUAAUGAAAAGCACCUAAAAAACACCUAAAUAUAAGGAAAACUGACUCAUACUUUUUUGUAUGGUUUUUAGCUAAAUUCACCAUAAUUUCAUCCAAUAUAAAUAUAUUUUAAAGCAAAAAGGAAACUUUUUAUGCAUUUAUUACACAAUUUAUACAUUGAUUACACAACUUUUAAUAUAAAAUACUACCUGAUUUGACUCUUAACGAAGCACUGAUUGAAGUGUUUUAUUUUCUCGCCGGUCAUUUUCACUUGGUUCGUAUACAGGAAACUUACUUCAGCAAUUUGAAGCAAAACUCCAAAAACCAAAGUUACAAAUAUCACCAAAAGUCAAAGUCAUCUAAUUGAAACUUGGUACUCUUGUUAUGGCAGCCGCGCAGCCCAUAUCAAAUUGGCAAGUGGGAUUACUUGAUCAAUCUAUGCAUAUAAUAGAUACACUCAGUUAUGUUUGUUCAUUAACCAAAAUGAUGAAAUUAUAUCAAUUUGAAUUUUUCUUAUUCCUUCUUAUCAUUGUCAAUACAACCCUUUCCAGUUCUUUCCCUACACUCUCUCAAUUUGCGAAACCAUUGGAGUAUAUUAAGAAAACAACGGAAGCUGCUGACUAUAUAUGGGAUAAGAAAAUAAAGAAGUUGGUCGAGGACUUAAAAGACAAGAACUUGAAAAAUAUCAAACCGUCCCUUCCAUCACAAUUACCAAAAUACAAAGGUGUAGAUCAAAUCAAACAAUAUUUGUCCGAUUUCGGCUACCUCGAACAAUCUGGGCCGUUCAAUAACACUCUAGACCAAGAAACAGUCUUAGCCCUUAAGACCUACCAACGAUAUUUCAAUAUCCAACAAGAUACUCUCAGCGAAAUUCUCCAACAUAUAGCAUUACCACGAUGCGGUGUUCCUGAUAGGAUUUUGAAGUACAACUUAACCAAUGAUAUAUCUUUUCCGAAAGGAAACCAAUGGUUUCCUAAGGGAACGAAAAAUCUUACCUACGGUUUUGAUCCCAGGAAUAAAAUCCCACUCGACAUGACCAACGUGUUUAGAACAGCCUUGACACAAUGGUCGAACACCACUAGGGUCUUAAAUUUUACAGAGACGAAAUCAUACGAUGAUGCUAACAUUAAGAUUGGAUUCUACAAUAUAACUGACGAUGAUGGGAUCAACGAUGUUGCCGUGGGUUUCACUUUUAUCGUACUUGAUUCAACGAAUGUGAAGUCGGGUUUUAUAACUCUGGACGCUACAAAGUACUGGGCGUUGCCAACUGAGCACAGAGGAUUUGAUUUGGAGACGGCCGCGAUGCAUCAGAUAGGUCAUCUGCUAGGACUUGAACAUUCUUCUGAUAACAAGUCUAUCAUGUAUCCAACUAUAUUGCCAUCACAUCAAAAGAAUGUGCAGAUAACAGAUUCUGAUAACUUAGCAAUCCAAAAACUCUAUUCCAGCUCUACUAAAGCCAAUGCAAACUCAGAUGAUAGUAGUGGGUGCUUUAAACUUUUUGGGUCUAGUUCUAGCCUCUUAAUCUCUUUGUCCAUUGUAUUUGCUUUUGUGGCUCUGUUGAACUAGCAUUUAAAUUAUAUCCUUUGAUUAAGAGUCUCUUUUUUACAUAAGUUAAAUAAUUAAUGUGUAAUCAAUUACACAUUUGGGAAAAAUAUUUGUAUUGUGGUUUAAUGAUAAAUAAAAUUUUUACUUUUUGUUAUGUUGUUUGCCUUCGGUUUGUCAAGUUGUUGAAAUAGUUUUACAAUCAAACACAAUACAAUUGAUGUUGUCAUGUUCAACCCAUUAAAAGCACUUAUUGUAAUUUUUUUAUUGAAAAACAAUAAUUAUUUAUUAAAAUGUAUUAUAUUUAAUAUAAAAUGCACAAGUUUCAAUACAAAUUUACUAUUUUAGUUUUCUUAACAAGUGUAAAUUUGGAUAUGAUAGAAAAACUCAUCUAUUAUACCUUCUUGAUGAUCAAGAAUCCAUUUCACAUGCUAUCCCAUAAACACUGCUUCUUACCCAAUCAUUAACAUCAUUUAGUAAUGAUUUCACAAAUAUGGAAGUGUCCGUCUAUACCUUGGACUAGAAGUUAACAAAUUAUUUUAUUCGAAUAGUUAUAAUUAUGGAGAUAAAUGAUGUUACAAAGAAUUAGAGUCAACCUCGGAUUCCUGGGAAUAUCUCUUGGUGACUAUGAGUUUUUGUGACAUAGUGAUUUUAGUGUAUUUUGAUGAAAAUAAAUAAUUUUGAUGAGAGGGAAUGAUUAAUUAAAAAAGAGAUAGAGAUAAAUAAUCAAUAUCAUUAAAACUCAAAAUCACCCUAAUGAAAGCAUGUUUUCUGAUAUGAAUUUCGAGUACAGCUUCAGAUAAGUUGUUUCCGAAAGGAAACAAGUGGUUUACUAAGGAAAAAGAAUAUCUUACCUAUGCUUUUGCUCUGGCGAGCCAAAUCCCACUCGACAUGAUCAAGGUGUUUAGAAAUGCCUUCACAUGAUGGUCUCAAACCACUAGGGUCCUAAAUUUUAGCGAGACAACAUCAUACGAUGAUGCUGACAUGAAGAUUGGAUUCUACAAUGUUAAUUACAUCGAUGGGGUUGAUGAUGUUGUGGUGGGUGACACGGUUAUCAAACUCGGUUCGAAUGUGAAUUCAGGUUUGACACGCCUGAUUGCUUCAAAGUACUGGGUGUUGCCAACUGACAACUACAUAAAAAAAUAUUCUGAAAAUUUUAAUAAAAAUGAAAAGGAAUCUGGUAAAAAAAUAAUAAAAAACGAAAAAAACAUAAAAAAUUAAAUAAAUUCAGGAAAAAUUAAUAAAAAUGACAAAUAUUCAGAAAAAUAAAACGAAAAAAUUAAUUAAAAUAAAAAAUAUGAUUAAACAAAUUAAAAAAAUUCUGGAAAAUUUAAUAAAAUAAAAAAUAAUCUGAAAAUUUUAAUAAAAUGAAAAAGAAUCUGGUAAAAUGAAAAAUAAUGAAAAAGUUUUGGAAAAAUUAAUAAAAAUUUAAAAAGUUCUAGAAAAUUUGAAAAAAUAAUAAAAAAAUCUGGAAAAAGUUAAAAAUAUGAGAAAAAAAUAUAUAUUUCUGGAAAAUUUAGGAACUUAAUAUAUUUCGAAAUUCAUGAAUAUAAUAAGAAAAUACAUUUUAUUUUUUUUAAAAAAAAAGUUCAAAUUUUUCUUUCGAAAUUAUAAAGUUUGUUUUUUUUAUUUUUUAUACAAAAAAUAAAAAUAUUGGAAAAUAUCUCAAUAAUUAAAAAAACAUAACAUUAGAUCAUGAAGAAUAGAAAUUAAGGGCUUGUUAUUCAAUAGUAUAACAUGACUUAUAUACCGGUGUCAAUCAAAAUCCAUUGUAUCUUGUUAUUUAUCUAGAUUAUAUUUUCGAAUAAAAUAAAAUUCUAGAAAUAAAUUUUCAUAAUCAAAAUAACUAUAUAAUAUUAUAUUUUCGAUUUUUUUAUAAUUUUAAUUUAAUUCAGAGUUUUUUUAUAUUUUUUGAAAAUUUUGAUAUAUAUAAAUUUUUUCCAGAAUUUUUUUUUUUUUUAACUUUUUCCAGAUUUUUUUUUUUAUUUUUGUGAUUUUUUUCUUAAAUUUUCUAGAUUUUUUAAUUUUUUCAGAUUAUUUUUUAUUAAAUUUUCUAUAUUUUUUUAUAAUUGUAAUAAAAUUAAAUAAUAAUACAAUCAUCACGCCACAUAAUCAGCUAUGCACAGUCAUCAUGCCACAUCAGCUCGCCACGUCAGCAAUUCUGCAGAGUCACAUAGGUCAGGGGCUAAAAUCAAAGAAUCUUAUUUUACAGGGUUGGAAUCUAAACUUUUUUUUUUUACAGGGGGGUAAACCGGAACUCGCCUAAAUUAAAGGGGGGUAAAUACAUAUUAACCCAAUAAUCAAUAUCAUUAAAACUCAAAGCCACCCUAAUGAAAGCAUGUUUCCUGAUAUGAAUUUCGAGUACAGCUUCAGAUAAGUUGUUUCCGAAACUAAACAAGUGGUUUACUGAGGAAAAAGAAUAUCUUACCUAUGCUUUUGCUCUGGCGAGCCAAAUCCCACUCGACAUGACCAACGUGUUUAGAAAUGCCUUCACACGAUGGUCGCAAACCACUAGGGUCCUAAAUUUUAGCGAGACG
Molecule: long non-coding RNA, 118902 nt
Filed under: Medicago truncatula (barrel medic)
Lineage: Eukaryota; Viridiplantae; Streptophyta; Magnoliopsida; Fabales; Fabaceae
Description: long non-coding RNA (MTRU_LNC003037)
Rfam family: MIR2680 microRNA precursor family (bases 35789-35956)
Source: RNAcentral